This 150894-nucleotide long non-coding RNA is filed under the name Triticum aestivum (bread wheat). RNAcentral describes it as "long non-coding RNA (TAES_LNC028163)". The record is from RNAcentral. Lineage: Eukaryota; Viridiplantae; Streptophyta; Magnoliopsida; Poales; Poaceae.
AGAUAUAGAUAUAGAUAUAGAUGUGGAGUUGUGGAUAAUCUGCAUAUAUCACCUCAUAAUACAUGACUAACUUAGCUAUAACAACACAUAGGUCCUGGCCCAGAUUUUAUCUUUUGAGCAACUUUAACUGGAUUAGAAAGUCCAAAAACAAAUCAUACAAACUAAACAUGUGCAGGUAAACUUUAUUUAUUUUCUUUUUCGCAGGGCAAUGCCCUCAACACGAAGAGCAAUAACAAAAAUCAUUAGGGCUAGGGCCACGACAACGGCCACCAUUAAAGUGUAACCCGGUGCAAUAGAGUUCACAGACGAUUACUGGAUGAACGUCACGACAUGGCGGGCCAUAUGCCUUUGUUUCCUUGCAAUCAUGUCUGAGUGGUAGCACUGGAGCCAAAUUAUCAUCGCCUCUAUCUGUUCCUGUAGAUGGAGCCAAAGCCUUCCCACCUCGUCCGGGAGAUAAAGGUGAAGCACCACCACCAAUAAACUUUUGGCGGCCUAGUUGCUCUCCACUACUGGGUUCUGUUUGUGAAAUCAAGUCCUGAAUUAGCAUCAAGAGGUAAAGGGACAAGGCAAAACUGUGAAAUAAAAGGAAAAUCAGAUAAGUGUGGAUCAGUUUUUCCUUUGGUAUAAGUUGAACACAAGAACCGUAUACCAAGCCUAUUAUUAUCAUAAGUUCACAAUGACGAAUUUGAGAAAAUAAACAAAUACCAAGUACUGCUAUGAAUAUAGAAGUACUACACCUAUAACUAAAUAUAAGAAGGUUUUGGUAUAGUCUUUCUAUAUAUACAUAAGUAUGGCAUAUGUAGGUUAACGUAUGAUUCAUUGUACCUUCAAUGGUUAAUAGGACCAGAAACAUGAUCACUAGAAUUGUCAUUUUCCCGGCCAUCAUUUUGCUCUGCUUGCGAAAAGCCAGAAGUGUUCUUCCAGAGGGACUCUAUUUAUGGAAGCUUGGAUUAAGCAGGUUUGCUGAAGUGAUGUGUAGAAUAUCUUUAAGAUAUUGUAGCAUUGUCUCAUGACUUUUAUCAAUAAAAGAAAUUAGAAGAUAUGCAUCUACCAUUAGUUCCACUUACAUAAUAUAUUUCCACAAGAUAUACAUGAUGAUGAAGAUAGAUAUCUCCACCAGAUAUACAUGAUGAUGAAGAUAGACAUCUCCAUAAGAUAUUCAUUAUGUCAGAAGGAUUGUUGCAAUAUGGUGUAAGUGGGUGUUGAAGCAUCUUCCAUCUUAUAUCUUAUAUCUUAUAUCUUAUCUUGUCUUAUCUAUCUAUCUAUCUAUCUAUCUAUCUAUACCUAUACUAAUUAUGUACUCCCUGAAAAUUCAUACGGUGUAGAUCGAUCAGCCGAUAUAAUUAGGAUGUAGAUUUCUUUAAUUCUGCGGAGAAUUACUAGUUAAAUUGUUAGUAAUGGCGCACCUAUGGGCAGUGCGCCAUUACUAGUUAAAACUAGUAAUGGCGCACUGUCCACAUGUGCGCCAUUACUAACAAUUUUUUUAAUUUUUUUUUUCAAAACUACUAAUGGCGCAUGGUGGGUGUGGUGGGCCAUUACUAUGUCAACUAGUAAUGGCGCACUACUCCCAUGGUGCGCUAUUAGUAGUUUUGAAAAAAUUAUAAAAAAAAUUACUAAUGGCGCACCAUGGGAUGUGGUGCGCCAUUAGUAUUUGCACAUUAAUGGCGCAUCAACACAUGGCGCGCCAUUAGUAUUUAGUAAUGGCGCACCACAUGUACAGUGCGCCAUUAGUGUCCAUCCCAUCUAUAACCCUUUUCCUAGUAGUGUUUAUUAGCCGAUAGUCGCACCCAAGCAACCCUAAACUCAAGAAAAGAGUGAAGUAACUCUUUAGCCUCGUCAACUAGUUGCCCAUUUGCAAAGAAAUCCCGUUGCUUGUUUCUGAUCUUGGUUACCACCAAUUGGGAGUCCGUCCGGGCGUUAAUUCCUUUGGUUAGAACAAGGGCCCGUUGACACGCCAUCAGCUCCGCCACCUCGGCAUCGUGAGCGGAAGGGAAAAAAUGGCAUGCUCCCGCAAUGAACUUGCUAUGGUGGUUCCUAAGGACGGCAACUCCCCCUCCUGAUUCUUGGUGCUUUGCCAUAACACCAUCAGCAUUAGCUUUUAUCCAUCCUUCAGCUGGCUUUUUCCAUCGCUCCAAUGCGUUUCUUUCUCUCUGUUGAGGUAUUUUCUCACGCAUAGACUUCCAUUCAGCAGUAAGCUGAAGCACUCGUUCACAUAUACUUCCUGGGUCUUUCAUUCUGCGGAAGGGAAAAAUUGGAUGAUUGAGAUAAUGGGUGUGAGUACACCCGGGAGUAGUCACACCUUUCCGGUCUUUCAUUCUGCAUGUUUCCUUUGCUUCAUUCCUCAUAGUCCAUAGCUCGUACCAACUCCUAAUCACAAUUUCCUUUUCUUCAGACCCUGUGUAGCUAAGCCAAUCCAUGAGCCAUGCACGUAAGGCCGCAGGGUCAUGAACUUGCACCGAAAGGCAUGGCAGCGGGGCAGCGACAGCCUCACGCAGGCACCUCCAAAACUCAAUUGCAUGCGGGCACCUCCAAAACCUAUGCAUAGUAUCUAUCUAUCUAUCUCUCUCUAUAUAUCUAUGAUAAUUAUGGACGCCCUGAAAAUUCCCACGUUAAUCAGAAAUUAAGAGCCAUUAAUCUCAUGGGAUCAAUUUAUUACGGUGUAGAUCGAUCAGCCCAUAUAAUUAGGAUGUAGAUUUCUUUAAUUAUGUGGAUAAUAAAAUCUGUCUAUCUAUAUAUAUAUAUAUCUAUCUAUACCUAUACUAAUUAUGGACUCCCUCAAAAUUCCCAUGUCAAUCAGAAAUUAAGAACCUUUAAUCUCGUGGUAACAAAUUAUUACGGUGUAGAUCGAUCAGCACAUAUAAUUAGGAUGUAGAUUUGUUUAAUUCUACAAAUAAAAAGAUGUGGCAAAUCGAAGGCUCACGGCCCUUCGUGGAAAAACGUUCAAAAUUUAUUUUGCAAAAGGUGAUCUGAUUCUAAUCUAUACUAUUACACCGUCCUUUCCUCAUCUAUUUAAAUAUACUAGUAAGCAUGCACGUGCAACGCACGUCUCAUAAUCUGACUCUUAUAAAAACAUUUAUUUUGAAUAUAGUUUCUCUGUUAGCAAGUUAUUUUUACCGAACCAUUUAAAUGUGUCUUAUACGAAACAAUAUGAUCGCACAUGUAGCAUACAAUUCGUGGGACCUGGGUUGUUUGCAUCAUUUUUCAUGUCUCAAUUUCUUAAAUUAUCAUAAUUCAAGUGCACUAAAGUGACAGCUAGUUUUGGUCUACAAUCUGUCGUAUGAGCCAAUAAAGUAGUAACCUAGUGGUACAACAUAGAAUAAGUAUAAUGAUACGUGGCGAAAAAUACAUGUGUAGGAGUGUCAGAAAAAAUAUCUCACGUGAAGUACGCUGUAAAAUUUAACAUCCAUAGACUACACGAUGACCUAACUUAAAUAUAUUCAACAAAAAAUUUAUCAACUUUUAUGGAGAUUCAUAUAACAAAUUUUAAAAUCAUCAAACAAAAAUGACAGUAACCAACGCUGAUGAUUUUUACGUAGAAGAUAAAAAGGAUGGCAGGCAUGCAGGGGAAUCGGAUAAAAAAGAAUGGGUCUUUUUAGAAGAUAUUUUUUUGAUUUGGACAAGGCGCACAGUCACAAUCUCUCUCUGGUAAGUUCCUAAUUUUAUUUAAAAAAACAUUAGUUAUCCUCCCCACCGCCACCUCAGUCCCUUACAUUUCUCUCCCCGUUCCCCAUUCUCCCAUGGUGGCCACACCCCUCACUCCACAGCCGGCCCUCUUCGUCACCAACGCCGGCGCUCCCUGGUUAGGCCGCCGCUCACCUUCGUCACCACCGUCGGUGCUUCCUGGUCAGGCUGCGGCUCCCCUUCGCAGCCGCUGCUCUUCCUCCCCUUGAUGUGGAAUCGCUCGAGGAAGUGGCCGAGGAGGCCCUCGAGCUCGGCAUGCUCGCGCCAGCGCUAGGCGCCGGCGAAGGUGGACGCGAAGGUGUGGCACUCGCACGCGCCUGCUCUACCCCGCACCUUCUCCGAAUCCGUUGGCCGAAGUGUUCGAGAAGGCGCUCGAGGUCGGCAUGCUCGCCGGCGAUGCCGGGCCCCUCCCUCCUCCUGAUACCCUCUCUGUUGCCGCCUUGAGCCUCUCCACCCUCUCCCGUGCGGUCGUCCGGGUCCAGGUAAGUCCCUCUCUGCAACCCUGCCACCUGCUCCACCCCGUCAAUUUGGUUCUUCGCCAGGUGCAUCCCCUCAUUGAGAAAUCACCAUGAAUAUUCCCAAGACUGUGUAUAAUUGUUCUGUUAUAGGGCUUUUUUUUGCGGGGUUAUAGAGCUUUAUUAUAAAAGCUGAUUUAACUGACUAUUAUUCUGCUCUAGAUUGCUGCACCUUCUGGCUGUGAGUGGAUCCAAGAGUCAGCAUGAUACAAUAUCUUUUCAAAAGAUGAUAGAUUAUCUUCAUGAAAGAAAGGAAGUUGGAGAAUUAUUAUUGAAGAUGAAUUCAGUGUCAUGUGUUUCUCAAGAGCUAAAAUGGAACAAGAAGUGCAAAACUGGCAAUUCUUUUUGUAAUACUAUUAAGCUCGUCAUGGUGGUUACCAUGAAUGAGUGUCUGGUUUAAUGUUUAGAAAGUGAGUUUUGUGUUACAAUGUUCUCUUUCAAGACUGUUAUAUGAGAAAUCAUCCGUUUAAUUGGUGGCUAUGUUGAUGAUAAGGCCCUUAAUGGUUCAGAUUUCCCGAGGGAGGAAAAGGAGGUGCUGAAAGGGGAUGGGAGCAACAAGUAUAAAUCGAAGAGUAUGUUUUGAUUCUGAGUUGCAUUGCACAGUAUUUCUAUUGUUCUAUGAAAUCCAUGGAAUUGUAUGGAACAUUCCUUCAUGUGAUAGGCAUAUUUGUUUACUAAAUCAAACUGCGUAGUUCCAACAAACAGACAUUCAAAUGCACCAUUUUACCCUUUGAAAGUAGGAAGUGCAACUUCUUUAGUGUUUAGAAUGGAUCAGGUGUACUUCAGAUGUUUUCAGUUUUAAAUAAUUAUGCAGAUUCUCAAUCAUCAUGUGUGCAAAAAGUGGGUUUAUACAGAUUUGUACAAUUCAUUGUAACAUCCUGGAGCUUAAACUAAUUAUGAUUAAUUUGGUCAUUCUCUGAUGUGUUAUUACAUUAAUACCUUUGGCACCUUUGUAAUUUGCUAAGCUAAAUUCAAUAUUUCAGGUGUUCUGCGACAACUCAAGUCACCUUCGUAAAUUCUGGAAGCCAACUUUUUUGACACCAGACCAAGGAGAUAGAGUGCAUGAUUCAGUCAGUUACAAAAGUGCAGUAGCCAAAAACACUAACCAUUUUCCACAUAAAAAACCAUUAAUGACCUUUCCCUCUCCAUUUGCCUCUUCAGAUCCUUAGGGUCUACAUCUAUGAUACAUUCUAGUUAGUUUAGCAUCUCACCAGUUAUCUGAAUAAUACAUAAGCAUCCAGUACAAGGGCAUUUUUACCUUGGUACAUGGCAUCUCAUCAGUUAUCUGAAUAAUAAAUAAGCAUGCAGUACAAGGGCACUUUUACCUUGGGACAUGGCCAGGGGUGUAUGUGGUACAUUUUUCUCGUCAUUAAGCAGUGAUGUUGAAGCCUGUUUCUUCUCAUGGGCUUCACGACGUCUUUUAAGAAUAUCAUCUUUAUUGCGUGCAUAAUACUCUUUUUUCCUCUGCCUCUUCAAUUCUUCAAGGUAUGUAUAAAUACAUGCCAUUAAAUUUUGCACAUAAGCAACAGCAAAACAGUAGCGCAAAGUAGGAACCGAUUGAUGAUAGUUACCCAAUGUUUGGUUGUUGCUUAUAUCCUGAAAUGGGGUGCACGCCCCCGCACUAUUGGGAUAUGUCAUACCUUCGCCUUCAUGUGAAUAUUCAUGCCAUUAAAUUUUGAGAAGCAUGGAAGCUGUGGAAAUUAAUCAUGAACACCACCAUCAGAUGCAAACAUACUACACUGUCCUUUCUCUUGAUAUUGUGUUUCAACGGAGUUCUAAUUUGACAUUAAUAACAAUUUUGAAUGGCAGAUCCCCUUACUGGACCACAUUAAGUUGUUGGCCCUGCUAUUUAACGUCCAUGGUGAUGCUGAUGAUGAUCUUGGCAGGGGUAAUGCUUUGAUUUCAUAGACCUGUUGCUUUGAUAGCUAGAGAACUAAUUUCUCAAGAGGACUUGAUUUAGUGUUCUUAUGAUAUUUUUUAGCUGGGGCUGUUUUUUUUCAUGGAUUUUCUUUGUCCACUACAUCAUAAAUCUGGUAAUGUAAAAGUAAUAUCUAUUUCUGAUUAUGUAAUGACCGACUGUUAUCUUGCUUCUUAUUCAUGUAUCUUCAGAUUUAUGUAUCUGCCUGGGGUGUUGGCAUGUCCUUGAGCACGCAUCAGGUAUGUAUGUAUCUGUUGGUAUCUUAGUGCACUUUGUAGUUUCAGAGUAGCACUCUAUAAUUUGGCACAUGCCUAUGAGUGUAUAUGUAUGUGCAUGUGUACUGGCCAUAGGCCCGAGGUGAAACUAAUUAUGAUUAAUUUGCUCAUUCUGUCAUGUGCUCUUACAUUAAUACCAUUGGCACCUUUGUAAUUCUAUAAGCUAAAUCCCAUAUCGCAGGUGUUCUGCGACAACUCAAGUCAAGUUCGUAAAUUCUGAAAGCCAAGGAGACAGGGUGCAUGAUUCAGUUAGCUACAAAAUUGCAGUAGCCAAAACACGAACCAUGUUCCACAUAGUAAACAAUUAAUUAUAUAUAUAAAACGAACGGCUUAUAGCAUUAUGAUGUGAGGGGACGUGGGCUCCCACCAAUCAUGUUCAACAUUAUGAUGUGCAGGCAGGAGACGGGGUUGGUGGGAGGCACCGUGAUCAAGGGAGAGGGGAGCUAAUUUAGUUGAGUUUCCCUAUUAGUUUGUGAUCACAAUUGCGUGAUUGUAGGGGACGUGGGCUGGUACUUGGAAUAUUCCUCCGGUGGUGGAGUGCGGUCAGUCAUGUAUGCUAAGUGCACACCAUAGAGGUAUUAGAUUAAUGAUGGCUGUUAGAUUACGACUUGUGGGACUAAUUGUGUGGUGUUGAUUGGUUCGUAUAUUUUGUGGUACUAAUUAUUGGGUGCACAUAAGAAAGUUCUUGUUUGAUUGUUUAAUAGUAGUAGUGGAGAAAAAGUACUUGAUGGGUUAAUCAGAAAAAGAGAAAUAGGCUAGAAAUUACCACAAAAAUUAGAAACAUCCGUCUAUCAAUUUAAUAGAUCAAGUUUUCAUAACAAUUAGAUAUCAUUGUAAGUCAAAAAAUUACCCACCACUGCCACUAUAAUUAUAUGGAAAGAAAACGUUUUGCUACAUGUAGCCAAAGUUAGGACGUGGGAUGCAUCUAGGAAAAAGACGCGGCUGCUCUUAUAUGUAAAAAAAGGACAUCAAUGCUCAGUUAGAAGAAAAAAAAAAGAGUACAUGCGACGAUGCAUAAAGGGACAUGAGAUCCUCAGUUCAAGGAAAAGUGCGCACAGCUUGCUAUAUGCAUGCAUGCAUUUAGGUGGAACAAAAAACGUGCAUCUGUGUGCCCUUCGUAUGCCUGCAUGGCCUGCCAAAAAAGUGUGCACACAAGCCCUUGAUACUAUAUGCGCGUAUUUGGAGAUUUUAAAUGGUGGCGCACCAACUAAGAGCUCGCAUGGACACGGUGAAUUUCUGUUGCUCCGCAUCCAUGCCAAUAAAGCCUUUGUUUCGUACAAUGGAAUCGUCUUUUGUCAUCAAGUGAUGCUAGGGAAAGCCUCAAGAGUUGUUCCGGAGGGAGCCGUGGGACAUGUAGUCUGCUGCUGCAAUGCAUAGAAGCGGUGGAACAUGAAACACUACGGAGCACCAGAUCAGUAAUUAGUACAGCAAAGAACCAAGACAAGAAGAUGAAGCAAUUGACACGUCUGCACAGAUCAGCAAUUAGAGAGGUGGAGAGCCAGAUCCCACAGAGGACUCCAAAAGACUUUGUUUUCUGAGAUUGGCAAGGUUUAUGAAUUAUUAUUAUUUUUUUGUAAAUUUGCUUCAGCCAUCAUGUCACACACAUGUAUACACGAGAAUUAGAUGCCUCGAAGGCACAACUGAAGGUUUUCUGGUAACCUAACCUAGGAGAGAAGGGUGUGCCUGAUGCCUUUUUUAUAUCCACAAAAUAAAUUCCAUGGAUUGCCUUAGGAUCCCUGAGUCCAAUUCUGAUCGGGAGAGCUCUACCACCUCCACCGGUCUGGAGGGAAACGUGCCGGGGAGUAGGCGCCGAAGGACAGAAUUAGAGGUGGGCCGACACAGGCGACAAACCUUCCAAAAAUAUGAUCGUUCGGAGUUUCCAUAUGUUGAUGAACUUCGUGUGCCUCAGUGUGGUUUUGCCUGCUUUCAUCUGAGUCGUUUUGCUACCAGGCCGCGACUCUCCGGUUCCAACGCCGUUCCAUACAUGAGGACAAGCAGCCGAUAUCGUUGGCUUCUACAUCUAGAUGUUCAUCAUAGAGUGAUGAACUCAUUGAUUCGGGUAUAAUUCUGAUCGGAGUUUCAUCCACACUAAGAUCGAUUUUUUCUCUGGUAACAAAACCUUAGUUCCGCUUUCUUUGAAAAUCUAAAGGAUUUCUACUUGUCUUUUCCUUCUGUGAGCACACUAAUCCAAUUUGUUUUGUCAUCUUCUUCUCAUAAUCAUGCAUCUAAUUAGUUUUCCAUAUGUUUGGUGGUCUGUAAAGAUCCUAUUGCUCAAAGAUUGGUAAUAAAUAUGGUAAUAAUAUGUAUAGUAUAUGCCAUAAGUUUCAGCAUAAUUUUUACACACCACUAGUAGAAAAGGGGGCAAUGGUCCAGGCCGGGUCAGCCCAUUAGUCCUGGUUCAAUCCAGAACCGGGACCAAUGGGGGCAUUGGACCCGGUUCGUGAUCCCCGGGGGCCGGCCGGGCCACGUGGGCCAUUGGUCCCGGUUCGUCUGGACCUUUUGGUCCCGGUUGGAGGGACGAACCGGGACCAAUGUGCCAUGGUCCUGGCCCACCACCAUUGAUCCCGGUUGGUGGCCUGAAGCGGGACCAAAGGCUUCCCUUUAGUCCCGGUUCAAGCCACGAACCGGGACCAAUUAAUUCCCUAUAUAUACCUCUCGCCCGCGAGCAGAGCACUCUCACUGCUCUGUUUUUCGUGGCCGGCGAGGAGAGAGCUUUGUGGUGCUCUAGCUCACCUCCUAUGCACACGAGGUGUUCGAUGGAAUGCCCGAGGCACACUACUUAAGCUUUCUCCUCCCCAAGCUCGACCUCCAAGCUCCAUUUUCCUCAAUAUUUGUCUAGGUUUAGCGGUCCGUCACGUCCCGUCCCCGUAUUCACCGUCGUCGAUCGCCCGCGCCGAUCUCGUCGCCGGCACCACCGUGGUGAGCCUCUUGUUCUUAUCUUCUUUCUGAAAGGAAAAAAAUUCUUACUUGUAUGUUUAUAUAGAUACUUGUAUAAUUUUUUUAUUUUUAUUAUUGCAUCUUAUAUAGUGCGAUGGUUUUGGUAUCCGCCCCCGUCGGUCCUCGUCCUGUCUAUGAUUCGGAUGUGGUAUAUAUUAUCUUUUCAUAACUAUUGUUUCAUCUAUUGUUUAUGACAAUUAUGCCGACCAACGUGACAUAGAUUUUAUUUAUCUAGGAGGUUGUUGAACCGGAAAUUCCAACCGACCCUAUUGUCGAGAGGUUAAAUUUAGUUGAAGAAGAGGAGGAGAAGGUGAUAUUGGAGUUGCAUGUUGCGGAUGUCGUGGAUGAUCACAAGAUCAAGAUGGAUGCAAUGUGCUUGAAGAUUAGAAAGAUUAGAAAAUAUGCCAUUCAUACCGAGGCUUGGUAUCAUUAUGCCGUUGGAUCAGUUGUUACAUUGGUUGCGAUUAUGAUCGCAUUUGUUUUUGCAUUGAAAUGUUUUACAUAGUUUCAAUGUAUGGUUUAAUUAAUUUAGAUGCUCUGCAGAGCUUUAUGUUGUUAGAUGAGAACUAUGUAUGUACUUUGGUUUUAAUGUGAUGAUGAACUUCUAUUAAUUUGGUCACUUAAUUAUCUAUUCAUGAUGUUCUGUAAUGAUUUUUGACACACUUAAUUAUAUAUAAUGCACGCAGAUGAACCGGCAAUGGAUGUACGGUUCAAGACACACCUCCGAGGCAAACAAGCAGAAUGGUUUUAUGUGUUGUCCAUGCCCUAUAUGUGGGAAUACGAAGUCUUACUCUGACCGGAAAAUCCUGCACACCCACCUGCUUUACAAGGGUUUCAUGCCAUACUAUAAUGUUUGGACGAGGCACGGAGAAAUAGGGGUUAUGAUGGAAGACGGCGAAGAAGAAAAGUACGAUGACAACUAUGUGCCCCCUGAAUACGGUGAUGCUACUGAAGAUCAAGAGGAACCAGACGAUGUGCACGAUGAUGCUGCAACAGGCGAAGCUGCUGAAGAUCAAGAGGAACCAGACGAUGUGCCCGAUGAUGAUGAUCUCAGCCGGGUCAUUGUCGAUGCAAGGACGCAAUGCGAAAGUCAAAAGGAGAAGCUGAAGUUCGAUCGCAUGUUAGAGGACCACAAAAAAGGGUUGUACCCCAAUUGCGAAGAUGGCAACACAAAGCUCGUUACCGUACCGGAAUUGCUGCAGCGGAAGACAGAUAAUGUUGUGCCUGACGAAGGAUUUGAUAAGCUACUGAAAAUAUUGAAGAAGAGGCUUCCAAAGGAUAACGAAUUGCCCGACAGUACAUACGCAGCAAAGAAGGUCGUAUGCCCUCUAGGAUUGGAGGUGCAGAAGAUACAUGCAUGCCCUAAUGACUGCAUCCUCUACCGCGGUGCGUAUAAGGAUCUGAACGCAUGCCCGGUAUGCGGUGCAUUACGGUAUAAGAUCAGACGAGAUGACCCUGGUGAUGUUGAUGGCGAGCCCAACAGGAAGAGGGUUCCUUCGAAGGUGAUGUGGUAUGCUCCUAUAAUACCACGGUUGAAACGUCUGUUCAGAAACGGAGAGCAUGCCAAGUUGAUGCGGUGGCACAGUGAGGACCGUAAGAAAGACGGGAAGUUGAGAGCACCCGCUGAUGGGUCACAGUGGAGAAAAAUCGAGAGAAAGUACUGGGAUGAGUUUGCAAGUGACCCAAGGAACGUAUGGUUUGCUUUAAGUGCGGAUGGCAUUAAUCCUUUCGGGGAGCAGAGCAGCAAUCACAGCACCUGGCCCGUGACUCUAUGUAUGUAUAACCUUCCUCCUUGGAUGUGCAUGAAGAGGAAGUUCAUUAUGAUGCCAGUUCUCAUCCAAGGCCCUAAGCAACCCGGCAACGACAUUGAUGUGUACCUAAGUCCAUUAGUUGAAGAACUUUUACAGUUGUGGAAUGGAAACGGUGUACGUACGUGGGAUGAGCACAAACAGGAGGAAUUUCACCUAAAGGCGUUGCUGUUCGUGACCAUCAACGAUUGGCCCGCUCUCAGUAACCUUUCAGGACAGACAAACAAGGGAUACCACGCAUGCACGCACUGUUUACUUGACACCGACAGUAUAUACAUGGGAAGCUGCAGGAAGAAUGUGUACCUGGGCCAUCGUCGAUUUCUUCCGACCAACCAUCAAUGUCGAAAGAAAGGCAAGCAUUUCAAAGGCGAGGCAGAUCACCGGAGGAAGCCCGCCAUGCGUACCGGUGAUCACGUACUUGCUAUGGUCAAUGAUUUACAGGUAAUCUUUGGAAAGGGUCCCGGCGGACUAGUUGUUCCGAGUGAUGCUGGGGGACACGCACCUAUGUGGAAGAAGAAAUCUAUAUUUUGGGACCUACCCUACUGGAAAGACCUAGAGGUCCGCUCUUCGAUCGAUGUGAUGCACGUGACGAAGAACCUUUGCGUGAACCUGCUAGGCUUCUUGGGCGUGUAUGGGAAGACAAAAGAUACAGCAUGCCUCCAAAGCAGUAUGAAGGUCCUGUCAGCUAUGCUCUUACCAAAGAAGAGAAGGAAAUCUUCUUUGAAUGCCUGCUUAGUAUGAAGGUCCCGACUGGCUUCUCGUCGAAUAUAAAAGGAAUAAUAAAUAUGUCAGAGAAAAAGUUUCAGAACCUAAAGUCUCAUGACUGCCAGGUGAUUAUGACGCAACUGCUUCCGGUUGCAUUGAGGGGGCUUCUACCGGAAAACGUCCGAUUAGCCAUUGUGAAGCUAUGUGCAUUCCUCAAUGCAAUCUCUCAAAAGGUGAUUGAUCCAGAAAUCAUACCAAGGCUAAGGAGUGAUGUGGUGCAAUGUCUUGUCAGUUUCGAGCUGGUGUUCCCACCAUCCUUCUUCAAUAUCAUGACGCACGUCCUAGUUCAUCUAGUUGACGAGAUUGUCAUUCUGGGGCCCGUAUUUCUACACAAUAUGUACCCCUUUGAGAGGUUCAUGGGAGUCCUAAAGAAAUAUGUCCGUAACCGCGCUAGGCCAGAAGGAAGCAUCUCCAUGGGCGAUCAAACAGAGGAUGUCAUCGGGUUUUGUGUUGACUUCAUUCUUGGCCUUAAGAAGAUAGGUCUCCCUCAAUCGCGGUAUGAGGGGAGACUGACUGGAAAAGGCACGCUUGGAAGGGACUCAAUAAUAUGCAGGGACGGAUAUUCUUGGUCUCAAGCACGCUACAGAGAUCUACAGAACUCUACCUUGGUGACCCCGUAUGUCGAUGAACACAAGAACAGUCUGCGCUCCAAACACCCGGAGCAGUGCGACGAAUGGAUUACAUGUGAACACAUCGGGACUUUCAGUAGUUGGUUGGAAGCACGUCUCAGAGGUGACAACACUGUUUGUGAUGAGUUGUACUUGUUGUCGAGGGGACCAUCUUUGACUGUUACGAUUUGAAAAGGGUACGAGAUAAAUGGAAAUACAUUUUACACGAUUGACCAAGAUCAAAAGAGCACCAACCAAAACAGCGGUGUCCUCUUUGAUGCAACAACCGAGAGGGGAAAGGACACAUAUUAUGGUUACAUAGUGGACAUAUGGGAACUUGACUACGGACAUGAUUUUAAGGUCCCUUUGUUUAAGUGCAAAUGGGUCAAUCUGUCAGGAGGCGGGGUACAGGUAGACCCAUAGUACGGAAUGACAACAGUGGAUCUGAAAAAUCUUAGGUACACUGACGAACCGUUCGUCCUAGCCAAUGAUGUGGCACAGGUUAUCUAUGUGAAGGACAUGUCUACCAGACCGAGAAAAAGAAAAGAUAAGGAAGCGAAUACAUCAUACGAUGAGGCAAAGCGCCACAUAGUUCUUUCAGGAAAAAUGGACAUCGUGGGAGUGGAUGGCAAGACAGACAUAUCUGAAGAUUAUGAAAAGUUUCAUGAAAUUCCUCCCUUGAAAGUCAAGGCUGACCCCAGCAUCCUGAUAAGCGAUGAAGAUUAUCCAUGGUUACGGCGCAAUAAGCAAAUGACACAAGCGAAGAAAAAGUGAAGACUUUCUCCCAUAACUAUUAUGAUGAUACCAUGCCAACUUUGUAACACACGAGUAUGAUACCAUUGUCCGUUUUGUACAUGCACAUGCUAUGCGGGUGAAUUUAUGAUACCAUGCCAACUUUCAACUUUUUCAUAGUUCAUUUGAAAUGCUUUAAUGUCUUAUGGUUCGGCCCUCGUAAUAAUUAAAAAUAGCAACAAUAAAUAUUUUGUUGUAAGUAGAAACAAAAUAAAAUAAAUAAAGCAAGAAAGAAAACAAAAAACAAAAAAAAUGUUUUCAAAUUUGAAAAAUAAUGGCACUAACAGAAAGUUUAUAAUUUUUCUAAAACUAAAAGCAAAAAGAAUUAAAAAAUAAAGCANNNNNNNNNNNNNNNNNNNNNNNNNNNNNNNNNNNNNNNNNNNNNNNNNNNNNNNNNNNNNNNNNNNNNNNNNNNNNNNNNNNNNNNNNNNNNNNNNNNNNNNNNNNNNNNNNNNNNNNNNNNNNNNNNNNNNNNNNNNNNNNNNNNNNNNNNNNNNNNNNNNNNNNNNNNNNNNNNNNNNNNNNNNNNNNNNNNNNNNNNNNNNNNNNNNNNNNNNNNNNNNNNNNNNNNNNNNNNNNNNNNNNNNNNNNNNNNNNNNNNNNNNNNNNNNNNNNNNNNNNNNNNNNNNNNNNNNNNNNNNNNNNNNNNNNNNNNNNNNNNNNNNNNNNNNNNNNNNNNNNNNNNNNNNNNNNNNNNNNNNNNNNNNNNNNNNNNNNNNNNNNNNNNNNNNNNNNNNNNNNNNNNNNNNNNNNNNNNNNNNNNNNNNNNNNNNNNNNNNNNNNNNNNNNNNNNNNNNNNNNNNNNNNNNNNNNNNNNNNNNNNNAAAAGCAAAAAGAAUUAAAGCAAAAAACAAAACAAAAUAAAUAAUGCAGAAAACAAAACAAAAAAAUAGAAAAUAAUUAAAAAUAGCAACAAUAAAUAUUUUGUUGUAAGUAGAAACAAAAUAAAAUAAAUAAAGCAAGAAAGAAAACAAAAAAAAUGCCUCCUACUAGGCCCCACGGCCUGAAUACGACUAGAAACCCUACCAUGGGCCAGGAUUCAGGCCCGUAGUAGGCCCAGGAGGCCCAUCAGGCAAAGCAGUACCAAAUAGGCCCGCAAGCCUACGGUGGAGAGGAGCUCGAGAGGGGUGCGACAGUGGGGCUUAUAAACCACUGCGCGCCCCUCUCAACGAGCGAGGUGGGACUAAACUUUGGCCCCGACGCUGACAGCACAGGGUCCUUUGGUACCGGUUCGUGGCACCAACCGGUACCAAUGCCCACCCUUUAGUCCCGGUUGGUGCCUCCAACCGGGACCAAAGGUCGCCGCUUCCCGCCCGUUAGGCUGUUGAAAAGAGGCCUUUGGUCCUGGUUGGUGGUACCAACCGGGACUAAAGGGGGCAUUAGUCCCGGUUGGAGUCACGAACCGGGACUAAAGGGGGCUAUCUUGCCCACCAUGGCGCAUCCGCACUCCGCUUGGCGGCCGCCCACGACCUUCGGCUUGACGCCGAAGAUCUUUAGCCAUAGGCCAAAGUGAGGCUGGAUGCAGAGGAAGGCCUCGCACACGACGAUGAACAUCGAGAUGUUGAGGAUGAAGUUCGCGGCCAGAUCGUGGAAGUCCAGGCCGUAAUAGAACAUGAGCCCCCGGAUGAAUGGGUGAAGAGGAAAGCCCAGUCCGCGGAGGAAAUGGGGGAGAAAUACAACCCUCUCAUGGGGCCUAGAGGUGGGGAUGAGUUGCCCCUCAUCUGGAAGCCGGUGCGCAAUGUCGUCAUACAAGUAUCCGGCCUUCCUCAACUUUUUGAUUUGUCCCUCCGUGGCGGAGGAGGCCAUCCAUCUACCUCCCGCUCUGGACAUGAUUGGAGAAGGUUGGGGUAGGAAGUGCGGACUUGGGCGCUGGAGCUUGAGUGCGCAGAGAUGGAUAAGCAAAGGAGGAAGAGGGCGUAAAUCGAAAGGGUAGAUCCUUAUCCCCUUAUAUGGGCGGCCAAAACUACCAGCUCCCACCAGCCUAAUAAAACUCGCUUAUCUCCCAAGCACCGCGGUUAAUGGCGCGGUGGGGUUACCCACGCCCAUAUUGAUGAGAAUCCCGGAAUAAGGGGACACGAUCUCUGCUUUGACAAAACGUGCCAAGGAAACCGCCUCGCUAAACGCGCUGAGGUGGAACAGUAAAAUGAUUCGAAUAAAGGCUUGGCCGUGGCAUCAUGUCACGCUGCGGAAUACGUCAGCAGAUUGGAUUUGUGCAAAUGUUAUUCUCUCUACGGUGGUAUGUGGAACUUAUUUUGCAAAGCCGGACACUAUCCUUGUGUUCAACAUCUUCUAUGAAGUAUUUGGAUGAGGAACCCUCCUUGCAAUGACGAAGACAAACUUGCACACCGGACUCAUCGUCAUUGAAGUCUGGUUCAGGGGCUACUGAGGGAGUCCUGGACUAGGGGGUGUCCGGAUGGUCAGACUAUGACCUUUGGCCGGUCUCCCGGACUAUGAAGAUACAACAUUGAAGACUCUGUCCCAUGUCCGGAUAGGACUUUCCUUGGCAUGGAAGGCAAGCUUGGUGAUAUGAUAUGAAGAUCUCCUCCCAUUGUAACCGACUCUGUGUAACCCUAGCCCUCUCCGGUGUCUAUAUAAACCGGAGAGUUUUAGUCCGUACGACGAACAACAAUCAUACCAUAGGCUAGCUUCUAGGGUUUAGCCUCUCGGAUCUCGUGGUAGAUCAACUCUUGUACUACCCAUAUCAUCAAUAUUAAUCAAGCAGGAGUAGGGUUUUACCUCCAUUGAGAGGGACCGAAGCUGGGUAAAAACAUCGUGUCCCUUGUCUCCUGUUACCAUCCGCCUAGACGCACAGUUCGGGACCCCUACCUGAGAUCCGACGGUUUUGACACCGACAGUGACCCAGGGUCAUUUCAGACAAAUCCGGUCGGGUUGCAAAGUGGCUAUAAAUAGCCCACCCACUACACCAUAAAUUGGUGGCUGUUCAGAGUUAGUACACGGCUUUUGUCGUUUGAGAGCAACCCACCACCGAAGCUUUCGAGAGAGAAUCCUUGCAAGGACAAAGCCCAAACCACCCAGAGCCCAAAGAGUGUUUGGCAUCACUGAAGUCUUUCUGUCCGCGUGAUCUGAAGACUUGUUACACUUGAGCACUGUGAAUCCUCCAGCCGGUUAGGCAUCCCGUUCUAAGCAUCCAAGAGCCAUUGUGGAUUGCCGGUGAACGAAGUCUGUGAAGGUUCAGAAGUCUACCUUGAAGACUUACUAGAGUGAUUGGGCGGGGACUAAGUGUCCUUAGCUCAAAGGGAAUAAGGUGAAGACGCGGUCUUCUAAGUUGAAUCUCAGCCUCCCUAACCAGACGUACAGUUGUCACAGCAGCUGGAACUGGUCGAACAAAUCCCUGUCCUUCUGAAGCCACUGGUUCUAUCUCUUACUUCUCUUUACUUACAGUUUGUCUUCGUGAAGUAAUUGCUUGCUUGCAUUAUCUGUUUGACUUCACUGUGUGGCUACUUGUUCUGAUUGGCUUCAUACUAUCUUCCAUCAUGAUCUUACUACCUGGCUGCUAUUAGUCUUCGUGCUUUCACUUCAUUGAAUAUUUGACUAUGGCUUGUCUAGUGUAGUCUACCUUCCGCUGCAAUCGAAUAGUGUGCUUAUAUUGUUUGUCUUUGAAACUCUCAUGUUUUGAGGACUUUCCUAAAAAUCGCCUAUUCACCCCCCCCCCCUCUAGUCGAUAACUAGCCCUUUCAGUUCCGCGACACCAAACGGGCGCUCGGCAUACCCGGCCACGUGCCUUCCGCAUCACAGCCCACCCCUAGGGUCAGCGCUGCGCAUGGACUCCAACAUACUACAAACACCAGAAACUACUUGCAACUCCUGGACAGAGGAUAAGGGUGAUUAAGAAGCCGAGAGGGUUAAUUAAGGAUCCCAAUGAGUGGUAGUAGCUGUUCAUGGAUCACAAACACAGAACUCAGUUCCUGAGGACGGCUUCAAUGAGACAACCCACCAUGUACUCCUACAUGGCCUCUCACCGCUACCAUUACCAAAUAGUGUUUACACACUUAGCUCACACAUAGUAGGGCAUGUUUACACAGCUCCGAUCCAUCCCCGAUGAAUCAUACCUCAGUCAACUCUAAGCAGUAGCAGGCAUGACAAACAAGCAUGAAUGAGUCGGCACAUCAGGGCUCAAACAACUCCUACUCAUGAUAGUGGGUUUCAUCUAUUUACCGUGGCAAUGACAUGUCAUGCAGAGGAUAAGGGCUUCAACUACCGCAGCAAGUAGCAGAUGAAUCGUUGUUGUCCUAAUGUAGUAAAAGAGAGCAGAAGCGAGAGAGUGGGAUUGAUCGGAAUGAACAAGGGGUUUUUGCUUUCCUGGCACUUCUGAAGAUAGUAUAGCUCUUCAUCGGUGUCAUCGAACUCAUCAUCGGAACACGUCUACUGAGGGGGGACAAAUACCGGCAAAUAAGGAAGAACACAAUCAAUGCAAUGAACAAUAUGAUGCAUGAUCAUGACAUGGUAAUAUGAGUGUGUUGGCCUAAUGCAACUACAACCAGAUGGGUUUGGGCCAUUUUUCUGAUCAUUUUUCAUAUAUAACUUAUUUCAUUUGGAGUUACGGUUUAAUUUCUAUGAAUUUUAGAAGUUUUGGAUAUUUUCUGAAAUAAAUAAACGAUUUAAGAUUUAAUUAAAUUCCAGACGAAUUACUGCAUUAGCAUGACGUCACUGUGAUGUCAGCGGUUAACAGGGCCGAUCCAGGUCAAACUUACCAGUGGGUCCCGUGUGUCAGUGACUAACUAAACUAACCUAGUUUAAUUAGUACUAACCUAGGUUAAACUAAUUAAGUUUAAACCUAAACUAGAUUAAUUAGCCGGGCGGGGCACUCAUGUCAUAGACCCAGGGAGGUCAAAUCCCCUGGUCAACCAGGGCUAAACCACCGGCGGUCAAAGCGGUCAACAUGCCGGCGUUUAGCCGCCUGCGAGGCCGGACACGGUGGAGCGCGUUGGGUGCAUGUCCGGGACAAAAUGGUCACCGGAGCGUCACAGGUGACGAGCACGGGUGACGGCGCGUGUGGGUGUGCUCGGCGCGGUCUCUUUGGCGCGCGGCAGCGAGAACGGAGAGGGAGAGGAGAGGCAGAAACUCACAGCGGUCACGGUGAGCUAGGCAGCGGGGUCGGGGACGAACUAGAGCAAGCGGGGCAGCGAAGGCGAUCUCGGAGGACCGAGGUUAAAGAAGAUGGCGUGGUUGGCGAUUCGGGGCUUCCGGCGUUGCUUGGAACGGUGCAGAAGGCGUAGGAGACGGUGGCGGGGCUCGUGGACAGGUCAGUGAGGCCAGGGGGAGGCAGUGGCCAUGGUGAACGGCGACGAUGGCGACGAGCUCCGCUCGGUGGUGCGCGCAAGAGGGGAACAGAGGAGGGGUUUGGGUCCAGGGGGAGAGAGGAGUGUGCAGGGGGGCGAGGGGAAGUGCGUGGCACUCGGGGCUGGCUCUAGAAGCGUCGGAAGCAGGAGGUGGCUCGGGCGCGUGCGAGCGCACGGUGGCCACAUGCCCUCACCUACUGACGCGUGGAGGAAGGCGACAGGGAGCCCAUGUGGGCUGCGCCAGCCAUAUGGGCGCCAGGUAAGUUUCCAGAUGAGCGCCAGGUAAGUUUCUUCUCUCUCUCUCUCUCUCUCUCUCUCUCUCUCUCUCUCUCUCUCUUUCCUUUUCUUUUCUAUUUCUGUUAUUUUGUUUUGAUUUAGUUUGGAAAUUAAACCAUUUUAAAACUUUCUGUAAAUUUUUAUGUGAGCUCAGAGAGCUAGUCCAAGGUCACAUGCAAACUUACAAAAUAUUUGAACAUUAUUUCUUAUAUAGCAGAAAUAAUUCCAACCCAAAUACAUUAUUGAUUUAAAUCAAAGACCCAAAUAAAUUAUUUCUGUGACUCCAAAAAUAUUGGUUUGAAUUUUACCUCAUGCCAAUAUUUUCACAGAAUAAUAGGAACAUUUUCUUGGACUCAUUUGAUGAGAUUUAAAUGUUGGUUAUUUUUAGAGGUUUUACUGAGGCUUUUGAAAAUUCCUCAAUUCAAGUUUCAUUUGAAUUUAAACAUGAUGCUCACAUGGAAACUAGCAUAGGUCAGACCAGAAUUAGGGACUUGACACGGACUCUCAUGAAUCUGUUGCUUCAAAAUAAAGUGAGGAUCUAGAUGAGCUAAGGGGUGUGAAAAUCUUACUUUCCGGGUUACUCUUCGUAUUUUUUGUCUUGGCAAAAGCUCGGAGUCGGAGGAAAUAAUAGUUACCUCUUCUUCAACUCCCUGACUUGUUCCCGUGUCAUCCUGAUGAUAGUCCAUGUCAUUAAUAUGGUUCAAAAAAGAGCCAAGAGUGUCAAGGGCUACCUCCGACUCAGAGGAGUCCUCUAGGCGAAGCAAUUCAGAAGCGCUACGCUGUUUUCCUCUUUUCUUGGCGGCGGCUCUCCUUGCGGCUUUCUUGGCCUUCCUGGCUCUAUUUGCAGCCUCAUGGUCAUAUUCUUUCUUCCAAAACUCAUCAUCACCCUGUGAAAAUCAGCAAAGAUUUGAGUUAAGACAAAAUGUCAAAGAUAAAGGUAAAUUAACUAAGUUUGGCGGCUUACCCUUGGAGCGGGGUUAGCUUUGCAGAAAGGGCUUAGGCCCACCUUGCCAUAGUCUGCUAGGCUUUCAUUCAGAAGCGACUUUGUCAUAUCAUUAAUAAGGUCUUCAGGUAACUCAUCGGGGCUGUGGCACUGAGGAUCCUUUGUGUCACCUGUGUAAGUGCACAUUAACCCGGAGCGGCGGCUCAACCGGAUGAUCCGCCAUGCAACCGAGCACUGGACCAACUCAAUGCCAUUUAAGCCGUUCCCCAAAAGAGCCUUGACUUUAGCAAUGGUAGGGGCGAGCUUCGGGCGACCAGCAGCUGAAAACUUGUCUGGAAGAGGAUGAUUGGACUCGAGGCGCAGGGAGCGAAAGCCGGCCAGAGGGUUCUCAUCAGCCGGAGAAGUAUCUUGGUGUCGGUGUACUAGAGUAGGGGUACCGUAGUAUCCCGAACUCGUGCACGGGCAGUAGCAGCACCCCGCGACAAGGCUUGCCGGGUGACCGCCAAGGUCCUCCGUGGUUCCUUUGGAGCCAUUCAAGAACAAAGUAUUCAAGCCAAGGAGACAAGGCCCCGGCGAGAGGAGCUUGCUGGGAAGGCCAACCAAGGCAUCUCAAGGAACUUGCCAUGAAGCGCCACGCGUCCCGGCAAGGCCCGGUGAGCGACAAGCUUCCGGACGCGACAAGACAACGACCGCGGCAAGAUGCUUGCCGUGGCAAACUACCACUCAGUACCCGCGCUCCAGCACAUCCACCAACGUGUCGCCCUGAGGCCUUUCCAGACGCGCGUGGCGAGAGGCUGUGCAGCCAGCGAUGCGCGGUGGCAAGCGAUGCUGACAAGACUGCCAUCAUGGCGAGCGGUGGCGUCCCUGACGGUCCUUUUUGCACAAUUUGGGCGACGCAGACGGGCAUUUAAUGCCUUUGUCCCCUGCCGUCAGGGUUAGGUAGGAUACACUGUAUAGGUGGUUGUACCAACCGCAACUCCUUUUCCAUUUUUGCCCUUGUCUACGUUGCCACCUGUCGGAGACCCCUUGAGCAUAUAAAAGGAGGCCCAUGCGCAACGUAGAGGAAGGUUCGUUCCCAGAAAAACACUCACGCUCGGUCUCGUUAGCAGCUGGAGUGUAUUGUAGCACUCAGCGCUCCCGAGCAAGAACUCAAUACAAUCAGACAAGCAACAAUAGGAGUAUUACCUCUCCGGAGAGCUCUGAAGCUGGGUAAAUCUGCUCGUGUGCUUCCCCUCGAUCCGCUCUUCGUGCGACCUCCGCCCCCCGCCGAACCGAAAGGGGCUCGGUCCGCCGGUCCCAUAGGUGUUCGUGGAUCAGCUUCCCCGACAUCUUUCGCGUGCCAGGUAGGGGGCGUCGAGGUUGUGUGAACCUGAUCUGGCAUUCAAACGAGCUUGAUCUUCAUCUUCUUCAUCGACAUGCCACCGAAGAAGAAGACUUCGGCGGCAGCACUUCCGUCUACGUCGAUCCCACCACCAUCGAAGCAAACGAGUGGUGGGGUAGACGCCGGCGGAAGAACGGGCCUCGACGAGGGAGCUCAUGGUGCUGCCAGGUCCAAGGACAAGGCUACGCAGACCUCGGCGUCCGUACAUGCACCGCGCCCACCUUAGGAGGCGCAGGAUCGACAGCGUCAUGGUAUUUGCUGUGCCAUACGUUUGUUGGACCAAGAUCGAGCUGGUGGAUCUCGGGGUGCUCAAGACCAGCAUGCAUGCCAACGUCCUGGCACGAGCGAGACACGGUCGCCUGGACGGGAUACUGCUCCUUCUAACGUAGUUAGAAGUCCGAGCAUAUCCUGCUCCUCGCACCGUUCGCCACUGCCACCCACCACUCCAGCAGAAGCUUUGGCGCGAGCUCAACUGCUCCUGGAUUACCCUCCAACGGAAGACAAGUUCGAUCAAUGGAGGGCCACCAUUGAGAGUCUCAUCAGCUUCGCCAACGGCGACACUCCGCGGCAGCCGAGUGCGUCGCUGCCGCAGCAGGACUGCCAUGCACGAGCCGGUGGCGACGAAACCGGUGGGGGUGCAACCACCAUGCACUCUCCACCCCGAAGGCCAAGAUCGCCGACUCGCCGGAUCCACCUCGACAGCGACUCCACCGCAUCAUCAGAUCCACGAGCUCGUCGCGAUCAGCGCCAAGUUCUUCACGAACCACAGCAAGAAGACGCUCGUACUCGCAUCGAGCACCGAAGAGAAGCGCGGCGUCAAUUAGACCAGCACGCUGGGCCCUCUGUCGACAUGCAUGCGCCAGGGGAACCAGGCGACUUGCCGUACGCGGUAGGUUGCCCUGCGUUCACUCAUGAGCUGCGGCAAGUCCAGUGGCCCAGCACGAAGAAUUUCAAGCUAGACGUGCCAGAGAAGUACGACGGCAAGUCACAUCCGUCGGAGUUCCUCAGCAUCUACACCAUCGCGGUGCAAGCUGCCGGGGGGCGGGACAACAAGAUCCUGGCCAACUACUUCCCGCUGGUGCUCAGGCCUAAUGUCAGAUCCUGGCUCAUGCACUUGCCGGACAACUCCAUAUCCUCCUGGGCAGACCUAUGCCAUCAGUUUGUCGGCGCCUUUACGGGCAGCCACAAGCCUCAUGGCCAAGAGAGUGACCUUCAUCUGCUUGCCCAGAAGGAAGGAGAGCCCCUGCGCAAAUACAUUCAGAGAUUCAGCCGUGUACAGCACAACAUCCCAGAUGUCCACCCUGCCGCGGUAAUCAGCGCGUUCCAUCAGAAUGUGCGAAACCGCAGGAUGCGGGAGGAGAUGACGAUGUGCAAGAUCAGAGACGUCAGUGAGCAAUAUGCCCUGGCCGAAAAGUGUGCACGUGCUGAGGAAGAUAGGAAACUCCCCGGAGAAAGUAUAGGAGCAGGAGGAUCUGAUAGUGAGGAGGCUGCCCCGGCAAAGAAAAACCGGCGGCGGAACAACAAGAAGAAGAAAGGCAAAGAUGUGCUAGUCGUUGAGCAGUCCGGCAAUGGAGGUGGCGCCAAGAAAGCCAAAGCUGGUGGCUCCGGCGAGGAGGCUGUGGCGGUCGCCGACAAGCAGGACGGCACCAACAAGCAGUACUGCAAGAUCCAUCGCACCAAGGGCCAUGACCUCCACAGCUGCAAGAAGGUCGAGCAGCUUGUCGAGCAGCAAAAGGAUGAAUACGAGCGACGUGACAAGGAGAAAGCCCAGGAAGGUGCUGGAGGAGCCGGCAAGAAACGUCCCGGCCGAGGAGGGCGCCGCGGCAAGGCCAAGCAGCGGCAAGGAGACAGACCUCCCCGUGGCCGCGACAAGGAUGAAGAUGACGACGACGAUGAAGAUAUGGAUGAUGACGAGACCGAUGAGCAGGAGUUCCAGAAAGCCACAGAGGUCCUGUGCGUUGACGGCGGUGCUUCUCUGCAUACUUCACACCGCCAGCUCAAGCAGUGGGUGCGGGAAGUUAAUGCGGCAGAACCACCCGUCGAGUCACGCAGGCCUCUGAAAUGGUCCAGCAUGCCUAUCAUCUUGGAUAUUGAGGACCACCCUGAUCACAUAACUGCGGUCGGGUGCUUGCCGAUGUUGGUUUCACCAACUAUCCGCAACCUCAAGGUCACUAAGAUGCUAGUUGACGGCGGGGCCGGCUAUAACCUGAUCUCCUCCGCGGUACUCCAGAAACUCCAGAUCCCUGAUGGCGAGCUCGAAGAGACCGGCACGUUCCAAGGAAUCAAUCCGGGAAGGAGCAAGCCGAAGGCAAAGAUCACGUUGCCGGUGACAUUUGGCAGCGAGUUGAACUUCAGGACUGAGAGGGUCACUUUUGACGUUGCUGACUUUCCAUUGCCUUACAAUGGGAUACUCGGCCGUCCAGCACUCGCCAAAUUCAUGGCAGCCUCUCACUAUGCAUACAACAUACUGAAGAUGCCAGGCCCGAUAAGUGUCAUCUCUAUCCCUGGCGACAAGAAGGAUGCUCUUAUCUGCGCCGACAAGAUCUACCGGGAAGCGGCAGCCGCAAUAGAUCGCAAGUCACUUGCCAUUGAAGCUCCCGGGGCGAAGAAGAAGACCAAGUCCGGCAAGAGUUCUGAUGCCCACUCCGGCAAGCGCACCUCUUCGGAGUGCUGCGCUAUCGUCAAGGACGCACCAUCGAGCUCCACCGGCAAGUGUAAGAAAACAAUGGUAGCUCCACCUGAAACCAAGAAGGUGUCUGCCAAGGAGGAUGGCACUGGUGGUACCUUCACCAUCAGUGCCACUCUCGAGCCUAAAUAGGAAAGCGCGCUCGUUGCUUUCCUGCGGGCGAACGUCGACGUAUUUGCUUGGCAACCGUCUGACAUCCCCGGUGUUCCUAGGAAAGUAUCGAGCACCAUCGUGCCAUCUAUCCUCAUGCGCGGCCCGUCAAGCAGAAAGUCAGGAAAUAGGCAGUGGAGCGCAAGAAUUCAUCACAGAAGAAAUCAAGAAAUUGGAAGCAGCAGGCCUCGUCAGAGGAGUGCUCCAUCCUACGUGGUUGGCCAACCCUGUAGUUGUGCGCAAGCCAAAAGGGAAAUGGAGGCUUUGUAUCGACUUUACCGAUGUCAAUAAAGCUUGUCCCAAAGACCCAUUUCCCUUGCCGCGCAUCGACCAGAUUGUUGACUCCACGGCCGGAUGUGACUUGCUUUCAUUUCUUGAUGCAUACUCAGGAUACCAUCAGAUCUUCAUGGCAGAAGAGGAUGAGGACAAGACCGCAUUCAUCACUCCAUGUGGCACUUACUGUUUUGUACGGAUGCCUUUCGGUUUAAAGAAUGCUGGUUCAACAUUUGCAAGGGUAGUCCAUGACGCUUUUGAGCCACAAAUACACAGAAAUGUGGAAGCCUACAUGGAUGACAUAGUGGUCAAGAGCAAGGACAAGGCGACUCUGAUUCAAGAUUUAGACGAAACCUUUGCAAAUCUGCGCAAGAUCAACCUCAAGCUUAACCCCAAGAAGUGCGUGUUUGGAGUCCCCUCCGGCAAGCUUCUCGGGUUCUUCGUGUCUCAGUGGGGAAUUGAAGCCAAUCCCGACAAGAUCAAGGCCAUUGAGCAGAUUGAAGCUCCAAAGCGCGUCAAGGAUGUACGAAGAAUUGCCGGUUGCAUAGCUGCUCUCAACAGGUUUAUCUCUAGGUCUGCUGAGCGCGCCCUGCCAUUUUUCAAAAUAUUGAAAAAGGCAGGUCCAAUGAAAUGGACUCCGGAAGCGAAGGCUGUGCUGCAGGACUUGAAGAAAUACCUGUCCUCCACUCCAACACUUGUCGCACCUAAGCCACAAGAGAAGUUGCUGCUGUAUAUAGCGGCAACCAAUCAAGUGGUUAGUGCUGCGUUAGUAGUGCAGAGGGAGGCGGAUGAUGAGCCAGCAACCACGGCAGAUGGGUCCAGCGACAAGCAGGGGACUUCACCGACAAGCUCUGGUCCCGACAAAGAUGGAUCUGCGCAGGCGCGUGAGAAGAUGCAGAAAAGAAUGAUGCAGCGCCCAGUUUACUUUGUCAGUUCCCUUUUGCAGGGGGCUAGGUCAAGGUACUCUGGUGUGCAGAAAUUGCUUUUCGGCCUUCUCAUGGCCUCGAGAAAGUUGUGCCAUUACUUCCAAGCACAUGAGAUCACAGUCGUCACUCGUUUUCCGCUGAAGAGGAUACUGCAAAAUCCAUAAGCAACAGGCAGGAUUGUCGAGUGGGCACUGGAACUAUCAAGCUUUGGCCUCAAGUUUGAGAGCACUUCAACUAUUCAAAGCAGAGCAUUGGCAGAGUUCAUAGCAGAGUGGACGCCAACACAAGAUGAAGAAGUUCCAGAAACGAGCAUCCCCGUCAAGGAAGAAAGCAAAGAGUGGCUGAUGUACUUUGAUGGUGCCUUCUCGCUGCAUGGCGCCGGUGCGGGCGUGCUACUUGUUGCACCCACCGGAGAGCACCUCAAGUACGUAGUCCAGAUGCACUUUCCCAAGGAGCAAGCAACGAACAAUACUGCAGAGUAUGAAGGUUUGCUUGCCGGUCUCAAGAUCACAGCAGACCUCGGGAUCAAGAAGCUCAUUGUCAGGGGUGACUCACAGCUUGUCGUCCGCCAAGUGAACAAGAAAUAUCAGGGUCCGUUGAUGGAAGCUUACGUUGACAAAGUGAGAAAGCUAGAAGAGCACUUUGACGGCCUACAGAUGGAACAUAUUCCAAGAGCUCAGAACGACAUUGCCGAUGGCCUGUCAAAGUGCGCCGCACUUAAGUUACCUGUGGAACCAGGGAUCUUUGUGCUCAAGCUGACUCAACUGUCCGUAACACCAUCAACUGGACAGAGCAAGAAGAGGAAGUUGAUUUCUGGUGACUAUUUUCUGACAGGUGGUGGGGAAGCUGAUCCACGAACACCUAUGAGACCGGCGGACCGAGCCCCUUUCGGUUCGGCGGGGGGCGGAGGUCGCACGAAGAGCGGAUCGAGGCGAAGCACACCAGCAGAUUUACCCAGCUUCGGAGCUCUCCGGAGAGAUAAUACUCCUACUAAUGCUUGUCUGAUUGUAUUGAAUUCUUGCUCGGGAGCGCUGAGUGCUACAGUACACUCCAGCUGCUAACGAGACCGAGCGUGAGUGUUUUUCUGGGAACGAACCUUCCUCUACGUUGCGCAUGGGCCUCCUUUUAUAUGCUCAAGGGGUCUCUGACAGGUGGCAACAUAGACAAGGGCAAAAAUGGAAAAGGAGUUGCGGUUGGUACAACCACCUGUACAGUGUAUCCUACCUAACCCUGACGGCAGGGGACAAAGGCAUUAAAUGCCCGUCUGCGUCGCCCAAAUAGUGCAAAAAGGACCAUCAGGGACGCCACCGCUCGCCACGAUGGCAGUCUUCUCAGCGUCGCUUGCCACCGCGCACCGCUGGCUGCACCGCCUCUCGCCACGCGCGUCUGGAAAGGCCUCAGGGCGACACGUUGGUGGAUGUGCUGGAGUGCGGGUACUGAGUGGUAGUUUGCUGCGGCAAGCGCCUUGCCGCGGUCGUUGUCUUGUCACGUCCGGAAGCUUGUCGCUCACCGGGCCUUGCCGGGACGCGUGGCGCUUCGCGGCAAGUUCCUUGAGAUGCCUUGGUUGGCCUUCCCAGCAAGCUCCUCUCGCCGGGGCCUUGUCUCCUAGGCUUGAAUACUUUGUUCUUGAAUGGCUCCAAAGGAACCACGGAGGACCUUGGCGGUCACCCGGCAAGCCUUGCCGCGGGGUGCUGCUACUGCCCGUGCACGAGUUCGGGAUACUAGGGUACCCCUACUCUAGUACACCGACAGGAGAAAGGAGAAGAUAAUGGUGCGGACUAGGCAUCGUUCAAGGAAGUCUCGCCUAACCGGAAACCAAACGACAAAAAAGCUAAGUUGCCAAAGUUUGAGCAAUCAGUUUUAAAUUUUUAAGUUAUCUUCCUCGAAUGACCGUACUUUGUAUGGAAAACCUGUGCGCGGAUGAACCAACUCGUAGCUAGUUGCGCCCUUACUUUGUUUCGAGUCCGCUCAACAACUUAAGUGAGUUGCGGCUAGUUGCGACAAGGUUUCUUGUCGGUAGCGGCACCGCCAACAGGCUGCUGAUGUCCCGCACUCAGCGCUCGCGGCUAAGGUUCCUGCGCCGACAAGUUCCCUAAAAGCAUAGGGCAAAAACAUACAAAGGAAGGAAUCAAGUAAAGGAAAUAACACAGCAAUCUCUACCCAAAAUAGAGUUAUAUUACAAGAUAGCUUGUUGCAGCUCUAACAGAUUAUUCUUAUAACAUGACCAGCAGCGACAAGAAAAAGAGAAAACGGGCGGCCUAAUCUACGCGAUCGCCCUCAACCCUCUUGAUCUCGCUCACCUUGUCCACAAUGGGUGCGACAAGGGCCUUGAGCGCUUCCAGAUCAGCAUCCGGCGGCAGGGACCUGAGGACGUUGGUGAGGUUGAGGCCUAGGUUGCGGAAGGCCACCUUCACCAACACCUUUUGAAGAACUCCCACGCAGAUCUUGCGCGACUCGUCGGCCAGCUGCUUUGGGAUUUUCUCCCGGAGUCGCUGGAGGGCCGUCGCCACGCCUUUGAAGAACAAGCUGAGCUUGGCGCUGGGUUGGAGGUGCUCGUCGGAAGAAUACCUGAGGUCCUCCAUUCCCAGCUGCGCCAGCUCCUCGUCGAUGGCGGCGGCAACAUUCACGAGACCAUCGGUCCAGUGCUUCACAGUCUCCCUAAAAGCAUUCUGGGCGACACCAGCACUCGCCAGCAGCGCCUCAUCGGCUUUGAUCUUCUCCUUCAAGGCCACUUCCUGCUCCCUGGCGCCGUCUAGCGUCUUGGUCAAAGUGGCCAGCUUCAACUCAAGAUUUGCGUUGGAGUCCUUGGCGGCGCUAAGCUCUUUGCUCCUCUCAGCGAGACGACCCUGCAGCUCGCCAUGAGCGGCGGCGUCCUUCUCGCGCUCACGCUUGAGCGCGGCAAGCUCCUCGCCGCUCGCCUUGAGAUCGACCUCCAGCUGCGCCAUCUUCGUCUCCAGUUCCUUCUUGGCGGCCUCGGCAGCUACGGCAGCAUCCUUUGCUUCCUUGAGAGCUCCGCCAAUUGCUUGCUCGCGCGCGGCAAGCUCCUCCUCGUGGCUGUCAAGAUUGACCUUGCGCUGCGCCAACUCACCUUCCUGCGCAGACAGCUUCUCUGCAGCGAGCCGAUGUUGCUCUUCAACUUCAGCCUUCGCGAGGAGGAAAGCUUUCCGCUCCUCGGCAACCUGCUGCCGCUCCUCUGCCAGGGAUCGGAGAGUUUCCUGCCUGAGACCCCGGAGCUCCUCAGCGCGCUUCUCAAUGUCCACUCCCACCCUCGCGACAAGCGCUUCUCGGAAUUCCAGCUUGGCUUGUCGGGCGCGGUACAGCGACAACAGCUUCCGAAGCAGCCGCUCCUCCUCAGGCUCAUCGCUGCUGCUGCUUGGCGCGUCGACCAGCGUCAGCCCAGUGGAGGCGAGCACCUCUCCUUCGACCGGCGCCCUGGAGCUUGACGCCCAGGGGAGCUUGAUGAAGAUGUCGUCGCCGGCCUUCAAAUAGGCGCCGGGCUGGGGCUCUUCGGAGCCUGGCGCUGCAGCAGCGGCGGAGGGAUCGGCGGUCGGCCUAGCUCCUGGCGCUCCCGCGGCCUCGGGGCCGUUAGUGCGAUCGCCGGAUCCCUCGCCAGCUUCUGCGGCGGCAGCUUUGGCGGCCUCUUCUCCGGCGGGAUCAUCAGCGCCGGCUUCUCCUUCGGUGGCAACGGCGCCAUCGGUGUUGCUGCGCGCGUUCUCCUCACCGGCGACCUCGGUUUCCAUCGGAUCCGUAGCAGAUGGAUCUGACGACCGAAAAAGGGAGAAAAGUCAAGCAAAUAUCCAAAAAGAAAAUCAGAAGAAGAAGAACCAAAGGGAAGUUUUCAGACAAGAGGAUUACCAUUACUAGGAUCCGCAGUCGUGGUCUCAACCACCGGAGGAUCAUGGUGCUGUCCCUUGCCGGAGAACUGUCCCUUGCCGGAGAGUUCUCCCUUGCCGGAGAACGCUCCCUUGCCGGGGAAUCCUCCCUUGGCGGUGUAGUCGAAGCAGAUGGCAUUUCGGGAGUGGCUUCCGGGCCCUCCUGGUGGAGAUGCUCUGCUCCUACACAAAUCAACAGUCAUAUAUCAGCAAAGAAAGAGCAACCAUGCGCGCCUGGCAGCAGGAAGUAAACUAUGUACUUACGCUGGGGGCUGUGCUGGGGGCUGCUUUGGGGAAAAGUUGCCGGGUCCGGCAAGAUGGUCUCGGACACACCCUCUGCUGUCGCGGUGGGUUCGUUCUCGGUGACAAUCACCGGGACCAUGGCUCUCUUCGCCGCUCUCUGGGCCAGAGUCCUGGAAAGGAAUGGGUUCGGAGUAAAGCAAAUCAGAUACAAGACAAAACAGCAAGAAUUGAAGAACUACAAGCACGGCAAAGAAUCUUACUCUUCUUCUUCCUCGUCAGAGCUGAGCGCGGAGAGAUCGAAGUCCGGCUCGCCUCCGGUGCGAUGAGGCAGAGGAGUAGCUUCCCUUGUCCGCUUGGUAGGAGCAGUAGCGGUGGGCCGGGAAGACCCCGCUCCAGUUGCCGCAGCGGCGUGAGGCGCUCCCGCGGCAACAGUGCUUGCCGCGGUAGAGCGUGUCGCGCGGCACGGCGGCUAUUGACUCGUCUGCCGCCCCGCUACGUCCACGGCCUUGCAGAGAAGCCUUCUUGGUGGAGCUGGGGGCUCCGCUUGCGGCAAGCUGUCUGAAGGUUCGGGUCCGACAAGCUCUCCCUCGCCAGGCUCGCUCGACUCAUCUUCGGGCCCGACAAGCUCUCCCUCGCCGGCAAACUCCUCGCGCUCGGCAAGGCUUGCCGCCUCUGCUGCCUCUGCCUCCUCCACGGUGAAUCCAAACUCACCCGCGGCCGCGGCUGCCGCCGCCUCUUCCAGCCUAGUGGCGAUACGCUGCAUCUCCGCGUCGGUGGUUUCGCGAGUAAGGCUCUUCUGCUCGUCGGAGCGGACUGGCACUUCAACCAAGCCAUCAAAGAACUCCUGCAUGACGGUGUCUGCCGGCUCUUGCCAAGUUGGGACAAUUCCAUGCGAGUCGCACAGCGGCAUCAUUGCACGGAUGCGGUCGAGCGAGGAGUUGUUGCACAACGGAAUGACACCCCUCGGCAACAUGAAUGAAUGUUGAGGAUCGCGCUUUAACAGUUCCAGGAGAAUCGCGUCCAGCUCCAGGAUAGUGAAGUUGAAGUUGAGGCCCGGGCGCAGCCUCAUGAUAUCCGCCGAGUUCUGGAACUCCCAGGCGGGUCUCCUCCUCUCCUGCAGGGGGGGCGAUGCGGCGGCGAAGAAAAUCUGCGCCAACGCCGCCUACGGUGAGCCCGGCAAGCCUAAGGCGAAGGAUCCGGGUGACGGCAAUCUUCAGCCUAUCGUCUUCCGGGGCUACGUUGCUCCAAUCGUUGCCGCGCGCUAUUGGGGCUUGUCGCAGGGCGGUAAAUGGCUGCGGGUUCUCCUCGACAAUCCAGCACCACUCUGCUCUCCAUUCCUCCCACUUGCUGCGGAGCUCUCCCUCCAGAUAAGCUUCCUUCUUGCCGACUCUCGAGAUCCAGGCGAUUCCGCCGGAUAAAGGCUCUCCUCUCUUGACUCGGGGCAUAAAGAAGUGACGAAAAAGAGCGACAUUUGGAUGGACUCCGACAAAGUUUUCGCAGAGAUGUGCGAAAACUGCCAUGGUUAGAACGGCGUUGGGGGUGAAGUCAAAGAGGCGGAACCCGUAGGUGUUCAUGAUGUCACAGAAAAAUUCAAAGAAGGGCGAGCAGAGCCCGCAGUAGAAGAACAGCGCAAAGAAGGGGUAUCCAUUCGGAGCCAGUUCCGAAGCGGUAGCCGGGAGUACCUUCGUGCGCGGAUGCGCUCGCGUCUCCGUCGACCAGAAGAGGUAGUAGUACUCCCUCAGCUCCUUCGCGACAAGCUGAGGGGGGAAGAUGCCCCGCUCCUUUCGCAGCGCCGCGAGCCGCUGCGCCUCGACCGAUUUCACGCCCUUCCCCUUGUCGGCUUUCGGAGCCAUGGCGGAGGUGGUGGGGGAGAUCGACGGCGUUGGUGGUGCUGGUGGCAAUGGGGGGUGGCGCGCUGCUCUCUUUCGUCUUUGAAAAGAAGGGGGGAGCGGCGGAGAUUUCCGAGAUUGGAGUAGCAACCGGCGAGAUGGGCGAACUGCCCCUGUUUCCCCUGCUUAUAAAGAGGGAGGGGCGGACAUUCCGCCUUUCUGAAUAAAGAAACCACCCACGAUCUCUCCCACGACGCCGCAUUCGACGCGUGCCGUUGGGGGAGGGCGCGGUGGAUACGGAGUAAGAUACGGCGUAACCCAGGCCAUGCAUGCCCGUGCCCUGUUUUGGGCUUGACCCAACAGCGCUCAGCACCGUGUGUGGCCCAGGCCCGGGGGCUCCUGUCGGUGUACUAGAGUAGGGGUACCCUAGUAUCCCGAACUCGUGCACGGGCAGUAGCAGCACCCCGCGGCAAGGCUUGCCGGGUGACCGCCAAGGUCCUCCGUGGUUCCUUUGGAGCCAUUCAAGAACAAAGUAUUCAAGCCAAGGAGACAAGGCCCCGGCGAGAGGAGCUUGCCGGGAAGGCCAACCAAGGCAUCUCAAGGAACUUGCCGCGAAGCGCCACGGGCCCCGGCAAGGCCCGGUGAGCGACAAGCUUCCGGACGCGACAAGACAACAACCGCGGCAAGGCGCUUGCCGCGGCAAACUACCACUCAGUACCCGCGCUCCAGAACAUCCACCAACGUGUCGCCCUGAGGCCUUUCCAGACGCGCGUGGCGAGAGGCUGUGCAGCCAGCGGUGCGCGGUGGCAAGCGACGCUGACAAGACUGCCAUCGUGGCGAGGGGUGGCGUCCCUGACGGUCCUUUUUGCACUAUUUGGGCGACGCAGACGGGCAUUUAAUGCCUUUGUCCCCUGCCGUCAGGGUUAGGUAGGAUACACUGUACAGGUGGUUGUACCAACCGCAACUCCUUUCCCAUUUUUGCCCUUGUCUACGCUGCCACCUGUCGGAGACCCCUUGAGCAUAUAAAAGGAGGCCCAUGCGCAACGUAGAGGAAGGUUCGUUCCCAGAAAAACACUCACGCUCGGUCUCGUUAGCAGCUGGAGUGUACUGUAGCACUCAGCGCUCCCGAGCAAGAACUCAAUACAAUCAGACAAGCAACAGUAGGAGUAUUAUCUCUCCGGAGAGCUCCGAAGCUGGGUAAAUCUGCUCGUGUGCUUUGCCUCGAUCCGCUCUUCGUGCGACCUACGCCCCCCGCCGAACCGAAAGGGGCUCGGUCCACCGGUCCCAUAGGUGUUCGUGGAUCAGCUUCUCCGACACUUGGCAGUAGAACCAUAUCUGGUUCCAGUCCUUGGGAUGACUUGGUGGCUGCGCAUAAGGAAAAAUGGCUUCUCUCCGUCGUUGGAUUGAGACCCCGCCAAGUCCCAAGCUAGGUCUGUUGGAGUACUCAUUCUAGUAGUUCAAGUAAAAGUAUUCUCUAAAUGUUCCAAGGUGUGCUCUUCUUCAAGGUACACCUCACAGAACACUUGAAAGUUGCAUAUGUUAGACACAAAAUUGGAACCGAUGUCUUGAGGAUGGAGGUCGAAAAAGCGCAGAACAUCUCUGAAGAACUUAGAGCCACGCAGCGAGAAGCCAUGGUUCAUGUGAUCAGUGAAAACGAUGACCUCCCCAUCUUUGGGUCAGGCUUCUCUUCUGUCAGUUUAGGAGGGCGAUAAGACAUGACAUCCUUCUUGGGUAGAUACCGGAUUUCACAAAAUCGUCAAGUGUACUCUCCAUGACAACGGAUUUGACCCAAUUCCAAGAAGUGUUUGUUUUGGCCGGCAUUGGUAAGAAGGAAGCCUAAAAAAGAGUAAAUUUGUCGGAUUAAUUUUAAGCCGGAGGAAGAAGUAUUACAACACAUAUUUAGACUCGCGGCUUAUAAAGGGGUCUAAUGGUAUAUGACUAAUUAUGUCAGGUUAUUUAAGCCUCCAUGAUCAGUUUAAUAUGAUCUGUUGAGCAUUGAAAUUUAAGCCGGUGGUUGAUCCGCCAUCACUAGGUGGAUCUAUCAAGAUGCAGUUUUUUGCUAAGUACCAUACGAACAGGUUUCACAGGCUGCGGCUAUUAUUUUGGAUCAGCGUCAGUUCAGAAAAGAAAAAUAAAUCAAGACCUAAAAAACCAGUACAAAUGAGUUCAUGAGUUCUAAGGAGAUCUCUCUUCAAGGAAAAAGGAUCCGCUGGUAUGGAAGCCAGAGGCGAAACUACCACUGCAUCAGUUUUAUACCGUUUUCAGAUCUAAGAGGGUUAAAGUGCAGGCACUAAAGAUGAACUACGACAAACUAUGAAGAACACGGCAAAGUUCAGAAACCCUAAUGUGGAUCUAAGGUACAGGAAAGCAAGUAUUUACAGAUGAAGAUCGACUGCGGAGGGGCACCGGUAUUCUCUAGUUCGUUCAGGUUCAUGCAGCGGCCAAAGAUGAGGACGAGGUGCGCUUCACGGCGGUGGCAGAGCUCGAGCGGCAAAAGGUCGAGAGAGGAGGAAGAAGAUGGAAAGGGGGAGAAUGAGGAAAGACUGGUCGUGGCUAUUUAUAAUGAAAGCCUCAUAAGUGGGCGCGAAAAAUGAGGAGACCAAAAAGAUGGUUAUCCAGCUACUCGGGUGCCUCGAUUCUCGGAUGAUUAUUAAGAUAAAGAUCCGUUGAGAUAUGUUGGAUAAAGUGUGAAUUAAUGACAAGUGACGUCAUGGCGGGUUAUCACAAAUCCAUAAGAUGACAUCAUGGAGGGUUAUAACUCUCAUGCAAUGAAGAGCAGAAGAAUUUUCCUAAGUGUUGAAGAUUGACAUGAACCAGUUCAAAUCAAUCGGGGGCCGAAUGUUGGAGACAUAACUAUUAGGUAUGACCCGCCCAGGAGGGGCCGGGUUAUACCUACACUAGUAGAAAAGGGGGCAAAGGUCCAGGCCGGAUCAGCCCAUUAGUCCUGGUUCACUCCAGAACCGGGACCCAUGGGGGCAUUGGACCCGGUUCGUGAGCCGGGGCCGGCCGAGCUACGUGGGCCAUUGGUCCCGGUUCGUAUGGACCUUUUGGUCCCGGUUGGUGGGACGAACCGGUACCAAUGGGCCUCGCUCCUGGCCCACCACCAUUGGUCCCGGUUGGUGGCUUGAACCGGGAACAAAGGCUACCCUUUAGUCCCGGUUCAUGCCACCAACCGGGACCAAUGAUGUGCCUAUAUAUACCCCCUCGCGUGAGAGCAGAGCACACUACUCUGUUUUUUCUGGCCGCCGAGGGGGAGUGGGCUUGGUGGUGCUCUAGCUCACCUCCGAUGCACACAAGGUGUUCGAUGGAAUGCCCGAGCCACACUAUUUAAGCUUUCUCCUCUCCAAGCUCCAUUUUCCUCAAUAUUUGUCUAGGUUUAGCGGUCCGUCAUGCCCCGUCCCCGUCUUCACCAUCGUCGAUCACUCGCGCCGAUCUCAUCGCCGGCACCACCCUGGUGAGCCUCUUGUUCUUAUCUUCUUUCUGAUUGGAAAAAUAUUCUUACUUGUAUGUUUAGAUAGAUACUUAUAUUAUUUUCUUACUUUUAUUAUUGCAUCUUAUAUAGUGCGAUAGUUUUGGUAUCCGCCCCCGUCGGCCCUCGUCCUGUCUAUGAUUCGGAUGUGGUAUAUAUUAUCUUUUUAUAACUAUUGGUUCAUUUAUUGUUUAUGACAAUUAUGCCGACCAACGUGACAUAUAUUUUAUUUAUCUAGGAGGUUGUUGAACCAGAAAUUCCAACCGACCCUAUUGUCGAGAGGAUAAAUUUAGUUGAAGAAGAAAACAAUUUCAUGAAGGAAAAAAUAAGAAAAAUUGAGGAGGAGAAGAUGAUAUUGGAGUUGCAUGUUGUGAAUGUCGUCGAUGAUCACAAGAUCAAGAUGGAUGCAAUGCGCUUGAAGAUUAGAAAGAUUAGAAAAUAUGCCAUUCAUACCGAGGCUUGGUAUCAUUAUGCCAUUGGAUCAGUUGUUACCUUGGUUGCGAUUAUGAUCGCAUUUGUUUUCGCAUUGAAAUGUUUUACAUAGUUUCAAUGUAUGGUUUAAUUAAUGUAGAUGCUCUUUAGAGCUUUAUGUUGUUAGAUGAGAACUAUGUAUGUACUUUGGUUUUAAUGUGAUGAUGAACUUCUAUUAAUUUGGUCACUUAAUUAUCUAUUCAUGAUGUUCUGUAAUGGUUUUUGACACACUUAAUUAUAUAUAAUGCACGCAGAUGAAUAGCUACUAGCUAGCUAGUUGCGAGCAUCUACCGUUGAUUCUAUAGCUAUACUUUCAUCAAUGGCAUUUAUAAUGCUUCAUUGUCACUUUAAUUGACCUCUAUUUCUCUUAAAGUGCUUGUGGCAGGAACAAGGGAAUAAUUACUGUGGAUACUACAUGUGCGAGUUCAUCUACAACGCGACUUUGAAAAAUAAGCGGGGCUACUCUAAAAGACAAUAUGAAGUGCGUAAGCAAUAAUAUUCCCAAUUUCAUUUUGUUACACCAUCAUUUCUUUUGAGUUUCAUUCAUAUAUAUGUAUUAACCCCCUUCUUCAAAUUAGACGUGGCAGAUGCGGAAUGAACUCCUACCACAAGAUUGCAUGAAAGCAAUUCAAGAGGAAUUGGCGGGAUUCUUUCUUGACCACGUCAUCUAUAAAGCCGGAGAAUACCAUGUGGAAAUUGAUUUCAAUUGCUAGGGGAUUGUAAGAGAUAUUACAUAUUGUAUAUGUAUGCAGCCAGUAGCGUCGGAUAGAUAAUACAAAAACUUGUUGUUCGACCAAUCUCUCGGAGAAGGAGAGGUCGAUUGAUCACUUCUCUCGGUAUGCAUGACGAACUUCUGUACUUAAUGGUUUCCUUCAUUUUCUUACUAGCUAGCAUGUCGAGGGCCUCUCUAUGUAUAAUACGUAGCGUCGACCAAGCACGGACAUAAGAAAGGACACUUCUCUCUAUUAAUUAGCUAGCUAACACAACAUAUGAAACACCUAAAUUAACCCCCCAAAACCCCCAACCCCCCUCCCCUCUUUCAAAAAAAACACCAGCCCCUAAAAUGCUAACGCGUGGAUGCAUUUUGGUCCCGGUUGGUGCCACAAACCGGGACCAAAGGCCCUCUUGCCUGAGCUCGGCGCACCGGCCACGUGGAGGCCCAUCUGUCCCAGUUCGUGUUAGANNNNNNNNNNNNNNNNNNNNNNNNNNNNNNNNNNNNNNNNNNNNNNNNNNNNNNNNNNNNNNNNNNNNNNNNNNNNNNNNNNNNNNNNNNNNNNNNNNNNNNNNNNNNNNNNNNNNNNNNNNNNNNNNNNNNNNNNNNNNNNNNNNNNNNNNNNNNNNNNNNNNNNNNNNNNNNNNNNNNNNNNNNNNNNNNNNNNNNNNNNNNNNNNNNNNNNNNNNNNNNNNNNNNNNNNNNNNNNNNNNNNNNNNNNNNNNNNNNNNNNNNNNNNNNNNNNNNNNNNNNNNNNNNNNNNNNNNNNNNNNNNNNNNNNNNNNNNNNNNNNNNNNNNNNNNNNNNNNNNNNNNNNNNNNNNNNNNNNNNNNNNNNNNNNNNNNNNNNNNNNNNNNNNNNNNNNNNNNNNNNNNNNNNNNNNNNNNNNNNNNNNNNNNNNNNNNNNNNNNNNNNNNNNNNNNNNNNNNNNNNNNNNNNNNNNNNNNNNNNCGUGUUAGAUCCGGGACUAAAGGUCUAGGGCAUUAGUAACAACCCUUUAGUCCCGGUUCAAGAACAGGGACAAAAGGCCCUAACCAACUGGGACGAAUGGGGCUUUUUCUACUAGUGCUACAGCGAUUCAUCAUAUGAAGCCCAAGACGAUAUUCGAAGAUGGCGGCCCAAGGCCCAAAGGCUUCUUAAGGCCCGUCGAGAUAAACCGCCGUAUAUAUAUAUAUAUAUAUAUAUAUAUAUAUAUAUAUUCUAUUACCCUUGUUGAACUGACGGAUUCAGGUGGUUGUACUGAUGUUUUCGAAGCGGUUAAACUGAUGCUUUUAGUUGUAUUUAACAGAUCUUCUUCUUUAGUUCAAAUUUUUUUUGUAAUUUUUUGGUCGGAACGGGUCGUGUAAUAUAUCGUUGGAAAGCUCUUGACAACCAUAUUUCAAGUAUAUUGAACGUUUUUGCAAAAUCAUUAUGGUUUAAGAGCAGUUUUGAAAAAACCGUUUUUUCAAAACCGAAAACGUGAAUCGUAUUUUGGACUCAAUUUUCAAAAGGUUUGUUGGAAUUGAGCAAAUAAGAUGGCGUUGGAAAGCUGGUGAAAAUCCGCAUCUUCCAUAUAUGUAUUGUUUUUUCUAAUUCUAUAUGAUUUAAAAGUAAUUUGAAAAACGGUGAAAUUUUGGGCGGAACGUAUUUUCACGAUUUUUUGCAAACGGUUUGUCGGAUUGACGCAAAUGAUACGGCGUUGGGAAGCUAUGGACAAUGCACAACUUUUGUGUAUAGAAACUUUUUUCUAAUUCCUUACGAUUUAUUAAAAUUGGUUUUGAACGCGGUUUUUUAAAAAGUUUGUCGAAAUGGGGCAAAUAAUAUACCGUUGGAUAGCUAUCGAAAAUGUGAAACUUAAUCAUGUUCGACGAUUUCUUUACUUCGCAACCGUUUAAGAGUUAUUUCAAAUACGGUAUGAUGGAUCCUGUUGUUUUCUCGUCUGAAAAACAGAGUAGUCGUACUGAUAUACGUGUAUGUUUGUACUGAGCUAUUCUUUGUACAGUAGUUUUGAAUGGUUCCAAAAAAGUAUACUUGUACUGAAAUUUGCACGGAUUUGUACUAAGCGUGUUUUCACUAACUAGAUUUUGCUCUAUUUUUUGGGUAAUUUUUUUCUCGUAAGUUUUCAACAGUGUACUGUAUCCUAGCCCGAACUUGCCUGGUUUUUAUUGUUGAACUGAAUGUUAUUUUUUUGCCACAUUUUUUUGCGUGUUUCUUUUUUUUAAGUCAAUUUUUUUUGCAACGAAUGUUCUAGAUUUCUCUUGUUUUCCAACUUGAACUUUAUACCAUUUUAAACUUUUACCAACUUGAAUUAUCAUGUGUGGAUGAGCACUUGAACUUGUAGAAUUUAAAUUUUUUUGUUUUAGUUCUUAUUUGUUUUCUCGUCCGAACUUAUGGUAGGUAUCACUGAACUUGCGUAGUUUCUGUAGCUGAACUAAAAUCCAUGUUGUCUGUGAAAACCAGGAAAAUUGCAUCUACUCAAUGGGCCAUGAUGCAAGCAUCGCCGCCGAAAAUACUUGGCGCACCAGAGAACCCGCACUGCUGGAUUUGUCGGUAGAGAACUGAGGGCAGCACAUCCCAUACCUUUUUUCUGCAGCAGCUACACUUGGUUUACCAACUCACACACACACAAAAGUGAUAACAAGUUGGCACACGACCUGAUAACAAGAGCACACAUGAACUGAUAAACAAGAGCACACCGGUGAUUAACAUAAUAUAAAUCCAUUGUCGUUUUUUCCAUUUGUUAAGUUGGUUUUUUCUUUGAACUUUUACUGCUAUGAUUUUUUUGCAAAUUUGUCUCCUUGAGUCAGAACUUAGGCAAUUCUUAAUUUUUAAUUUAUGGUACUUAUGGUACUAGAGAGUUUGUACUUCUUAAAAAAUAAUCACUCGAUGUUCUUUUAGUUUUAGUUUUUAAUUUUCUUUCUCAUCCUUAUCCUUACUGUCAAUGUCAUCACCAUCGUACUUUUAUGGUUUAUAUAGUUGAGCGGACUUACAUUUUUACCAUUCCUUCUUUUAAAAAAGAAGAUUUUUGGAUCGAGUCGGGUGAACCGGCUACCUGUACUCCGGUGGACUGACGGCUCCGUCGAGGUGGAGCUGAUGGAAGCAGGGAUGCGAUCGGCCGGCGUGAGUGGAAGGGAGCGGCCGGAGCAUCGGGAGGAAGGCGGCCAGAGCGCGGGGAGGAAGGUGGACGGAGCGCCACGAGGAAGACAACGGGAGAGUGCGGGGGAAGAAGGUGGCUGGCGAGCAGCCUAGCUCCGGCGAGCAAGACUCAUAGGUCCUCCUCAGCCUUGGAUCUCAGCGGCCGGCCAUGGCUGUGUAGGGGUGGUGGUGCACUGGUGUGCAGGUCGUCGGGUGAGGCGGCGCACGGGAGAUAGACAGGGAGGGAUGCGCGCCGCAGACGGCAAGGGAAGCACGCCGGCGGAUGGAGGCGGGUCGUCGGCAGGAGGCAAGUUGGGGGCGGGGGUCGGCGACGGGAGGAACGCUGGGAGGAGGGGAUUGGCGGAGGCGCUCUGGGAGGAGGAGGAUAGAGCCAGCGGCACGGAGGGUGGCGGUGGAUCCGAGCGGCGGCGCGCUGGGUGGAGGUGGGAUCGGGACGGCGCGCUGGGCGGAGGUGGGUUCGGGCGGCGGCAAGAGGAAGAAAACGGACACGCCUCUAUAUAGGGCGCGAGGGUAACAGAAUAAUAUUCUGUUACCGGUAACAGAAUAGUCCAGCCCUAUAUAUAUAUAUAUAUAUAUAUAUAUAUAUAUAUAUACAUAUAUAUAUAUAUAUAUAACUUGUAUUGUAAGGCAAGAAUAGAUAGGCACCGAGCCGGACACUGUUUACGAGCCGGUCAGGACUCCUGAGCCGCUGGGCGUCGACCUGUGUAUAUAAAGGGACGACCCGGUUGCGAUUCAGGACAAGUAAGAUCAGAUCGUAAGCUAGGUUAAGCGGAUUCGCUUCCUGGUAAUCGAGACAUAAGCAAUACCACCUCAAACUGGAUUAGGCCUUUACCUUCACCACAAGGGGCCGAACCAGUAUAAAUUCAUGUGUGCUUUGUCCCGUUUUAACCCCUUUAAGCUUCCAAGUUGCGAUGGCUCCACGACUAAGUCCUUUCGCUAGGACAUCUGUCGUGACCUUUCCACAACAUAGAACUUGAUGAAAAAUGCAUGAAGUCAUGUUUUUUUAAAAUAUAGAACUAAUCUCUCCACUUCAAAUUCUGUUUUUUUAAAUAGCAACAAUUGCUUUAACUAAAAAAAUUAAAUAACAACAAUUAUUUUAACUAAUCUGUCCUAGGUUUCAUACUAAUUCUAAUUAACUAGCUAGCACUAUAAAAUUUAAAUAACAAAAAUUUCUUUAACUAAAAAGUGCAAGAAACCUAUAUAAUCAAUUCUGUUUUUUAUUACACUAAAAAAUAACCUAGGGUUCAUACUAUUUCAUACUAAUUAGCACUAAAUAGCAUAGAAGAAGGGAGGGGAGAGGGCUUAUAGAGGGCAGAGAGACAGACAUGGGGUCGGGGGAGACGGCGCGGCAGCGAGGCGAGGCGGGGCGAGCGCCGGUGUCGGGGGUCCCUGAGGUUGGGGGAGACAGGGCGAGCGUGGGGACGGGGGCGAGCCCGGGUAGGGGGGCGAGCGCCAGGGUCAAGUGCUUCGGCGGCGACAACACUAGGGAAGACAGAGGGGGAUUUGGGGGAAGUGUAGAGGUGGGAAGAAGCAGAGAGAGUGAGGAUUUUGGGGGUUAAGUCGAGAUAGCAGUAGCGCAUUCCAGACAAACGUGCUAUAGCUAAUUUGGCUAUAGCGCUUUUGCAAAGAAUGCGCUACUGCUACUAUAGAGAGCGAUAGCGUUUUCCUGUAGAAAGCGCUACGGCUAUUACCUGUAGCAGUCUUCCUGUUUGUUUCUUCUAUUAUCUUUUCCUUUAUUUUCUCACCUUUUCUUUUGUGCCAGUACUCCAAGUCCCAGAACACAAACCUCGUCUUCCAUACCUUCAGCAGCGGCUCUGGCGCCUUUUUCAUCGUCUUUCCCAGUGCGGGGCACUGUUCGUAGUUUUUCAAUAGCUCAACGAUUUUGGCGCCGCUCUGCUUACGUGGAGGUCCUCGAUGCUCAACAUGACCAUUGAAUAGAUUUCCACGGUUUCUCCAUGGGUCGUCCUUCUCGAGCCAUCUUCGAUUCCCCAUGUACAUGAUUUUCCCGGACCCGCCCUCUUUCCUUGACGUUAGCUGCUGAGACGUCAUAUCAUCCAUGCACCGCGUGCAUUCGCAAUAUCCAUGGCACACCUGGCCUAUGACAUAUACGUAGCCGAGAUAGUCGUGCACUGUCAUGAUCAGCGCAGCUCCCAUGUAGAAAAACUCGCAUUUGCUGGCGUCCCAAGUCUUGGCCGGUGUUUUCCAUAACGUUUCUAACUCCUCUUGAAGUAGCCCCAAAUACAGAUUAAUAUUAUUUCUCGGUUGUUUCGGCCCUCGAAUUAGCAUGCUCAUGUGAAUGUACUUCGACUUCAUGCACAACCAGGGGGGAGGUUGUACAUCAAUACAAACAUGGGCCAUGCGCGAUGCUUGGUGUUCUGGUUGCCAAAUGGAUUCAUGCCAUCGGUACACGCGCCGAGCACGAUGCUCCUUGCAUCCCAUUCGAAAUAUGGAUAGAAGCCGUUCAAUGCUCUCCACUGGCUUCCGUCCUUGACGUGUCUCAGAUUCAGAUCAUCUCCAUCGUCGGGCUUCUUCCUCUCCGCGUGCCAGCGCAUGAGCUUUGCUUCCUUGGGAUCUACAAAAUACCGUUGGAGACGGGGAUUUAUCGGUAAGUACCAUACAACUUUCUGGGGAGGUUUCUUCCCGGCCUUCUUGAUUCGAGAAGUAUUGCACAAUGGACAACUUGUUUUUUUCGUGUGCUCCUUCCGAUAAAUUAUGCAAUCGUUUAUGCAUGCAUGGUAUCUAACAUGCGGCAGAUCAAGAGGGCACACGAUCUUCUUGGCCUCAUCCACACUAGUAGGACAUAGAUUCCUCGCGGGAAGAACAUCCUUUAGGUACUUGAGAUGCUCAUUGAGGCUAGUGUCGGUCCAUUUGUUUUUAGCCUUCGUCUUCAGGAAUUGGAGCGUGAAACUCAAGCGGGUCACCUCAGGAUUGCAACCAUCAUACAAUGGAGUGUUCGAGUCUACCACCAGUUGCUGCAGCUUAGCCUCCUCCCUAGAAGCAGCUCUCUCAGUACUCAUCUCCUUGCGAAGCAGUGCUUGAACAUGAGGGUCCGGCACGAUUGAACUUAGUACCGACGAACUCUGCGGCGUGGAGUCCACGUUCUCUCCGCCGCCAUGUCCGGCCCUUUCUCCGCCGCCAUGUCCGGCCCCUUCUCCUUCGCCAUGACCGCCCCUUCUCCGCCGCCAUGUCCGGCGUCUUCCCCACCGUCAUUGUCGAUCAUCUCUUCGUCUUGCCCCGUGUCGUCAUUGCGUGCCCCAUCGGCGUCCUCAACAUCAUCAUCCUCAUCUUCAAUUAUCCACCUAGUAUAGCCAUCCAUGAAACCAGUCAUGAGCAGGUGCGCCAUCGCAUCAUAGGGGUCGAGCCAAACUCCUCCUUUGCAUCUUCGACACGGACAUAAAACCUCUGUCAGGUUAUUUUCUUUCAUGUCCUACACCGCCGACCGCAACCACCUGUCCACCAUCGUUCCACUGACCAUCAUGAACGCUUGCACAGUAAUAAUAAACAAUCUGAUUAUAAAAAUGUGUGCAUGCAUCAAAUUCAUACAAAAAUUCGUCAUAUAGAGUUUGCCCGAAAUUCGCCGAAACAGAAAUAAAUCGACAUUUCGGCAAAACAUAGGCAACUCAAGCACAAUUCGGCGGCAACUCAAGCCACACACACAAUUUCCAUCAUAUCAAGCGAUUAUGUCAUAUCGCACACAUACACAUAUUUCCAUUCUUGCAAAAGCACUAAUUUUUAAUCACCAUUCCGAGAUCGAGCACGGUGAUGAUGAUGUCGAUCGGUGUCACCACACACCUAGGGAAUGAUCAUAAGUGGACAAAGCUUACUUCUUGAGACGGCUAGAUCUAGUUAGUGAGGUACAUAUCUCACUUCAUUGAACGGGUAGAUCUAUCAAGCUAGUUGGGGAAAGAGAUGACUAUCUAGUGGAGGGAGAGGAAAAAGAGAAAGGAGAUGCAUUAAUGGAGAUGGUGUAAGUUAGCUAGGAGCAAUAAAGAGAGAGAAAGGUAGGUAGAAGAAGAAGAGUAAUGGGGGAGAAGUAAUGGGGAAGAAGCAAAGUGAGGGAGAGAGGAGGUGGUAGGUAGGGGAAAGUGAGGAAGAGAGGAUGGGGGAGGGGAGGGGGAGGGGAAAAUGUGGCAUAUGCUGCGGCUUAGCAGUAGCGCUGGUCCUAAACCGCGCUACUGCUAUAAACAUAGCAGCAGCAACGCUUAUGACACACGCGCUACUGCUAAAUGGGUCCCGCCAUGUGGCCAGUUUCAAAAAAGCAACAAUUAGCAAUAGCGCGUAUAGGAAAAAGCGCGCUAUUGCUAUUACUUUAUCAACAACGCUCUUAUAUAGACCGCGCUACUGCUAAAUCUAGGUUGGCGGGAACUGUCGGUCGACUUUAGUAGCAGCAUGGUUCCGCCAAGCCGUGCUACUGCUAAGUCAGUAGCAGUAGCACCUCCUUUUUUUGCCUCUCUGCUGCUAAUUAGCAGUAGCACCUCCCCCUGAACCGCGCUACUGCUAACAUUUUGUGUAUAAGGUUUUCUCUAGUAGUGACAACGCUUUUUUAGUCCCGGUUUAGGUGGACUCCAGAGUUGGUCGGGCGAGAGGGGGUUGAUCGACGUCCCCCCUCAUGUCGAAGUUACCAGACCACCUCUCUCUCUCAUGCAUGUCCGACGUCCCCCCUCAUGUCAAAGUUAUCGGGGAGGGGGUAGAUCCACAGCGACGCUCACCCCUCAUUUUGAAUAUAUGAACAUUUUAACUUAUUAAUUAACUUAGUAACUUGGUAAAUCUAUGAUAUACUUAAGACAAGAGGCAAAGAAGCCAUCACGUUUAUCUACACAGAUUAAAUUAUCUCAACCAUCAACUUUUUGUUAUAAAGGGCCCAGAUUUAAAGAUAUAACGUUACAUACAAAUAUUGUGUGUAGGCAUAUAUAUGUUCUGUCAUAAAGAAAUCUAGAGUGGGCGCACAUAUGGGUUCAUGUACACGUAAUAGCCAGCCCAAACUUGCUUUCGGAGAGUUAAAAAAAGCUUGCUUUCAGAAACAAAGACGGCCGCCGUUUAUGGAACAAUCGAGCCUCACAACAAAAAGGAAAGAGCAGUCCGGCUGCUUUGCAUGUGAUGACGCGUGUCAUCCUGACAUUAAUAUGUCAGUAUUCUCCCACACGUGUUGCCUCCGUAAGCUGCACAUGACAUUACUACGGGUCAAACAUAAAUAAGAAUAUUAUUUAAUUUCAAAAUAAUAAGAAUAUUAUUUUAUGAAAGGAAAAAAGAGAAAACACUAGGAGUACAAAUCUAGACAAUCCAACGCAAAGCAAUGCUAAUGGAUGGCUCACCGUAGACAGUUAGUGUAUAAUUAUAGAAACAUAAAAACAUGCUGCCAAAAAAAAUAUAGCUAUAUACACGAGUAGGGCGUUUCGGUGCCCACGCUUAUCUGCACCCGGUUAAAAAACAACUGUAAAAAACUUCAAAGAAAAUUGAAAAAAUUCCAAAUUUUUUUGUGCCGUAGACAAUUUGAUGCGCGAGGCCCGCUCCAACUUUCAAGUCAUUUAGACGUCCGAGAAGCUCUCAGCAAAAAACACAAACGGGCCAAACAGUACAUGAACAGUAAACAUUUUUACAGAUCCCCAAUUGUCUUUUUUGCUGAGAGCUUCUCAGAUGUCCAAAUUAUAUGAAAAACAGAGCAGACUUCACGCAUCAAAUUGUCUACCGUGCAAAAAAAAGGAAAUUUUUAAGUGUUUGUUUUGAUUUUUUUUUGUCAGCGCAUGUGCAGAUGAGCUCGGGUGCAGAGAUGAUUUUCGCUAUAUACACCAGCUUAUUUUAAUAACAAUUCAGUGGCUAAAAUAGCAUUAUAUUUUAGAAAAUUGUUGUACAUGCCACAGACGCUAAGAGAUGACAUUUUAUCUAUCUUAAUCACCUCGACGAGGCAGACAUGAUAGGGACAUUCAAAUACAUUAGCUUUAGACUGAUGGUCAUGAUGCGAUGAAAUUCCUUCUUGGGUGGAUAAAUUUACAAAUAUUUUCUCUAUUUGAAUUCCAAAAUAAAUAAUAGGGACGUAGCAAAAAUGUAUCUAUCUAUUAUAUAACUAAAACAUAAGUAAAAGAAGCCAUCAAGUUCAUCCACAUAGAUAAAAUUAUCCUAGCAAUUAUUUUCUUAUAUUGACGGCCGAGAUUUAAAAUUGCAACCUUACAUACAAAUAUUGUUGUAAACAAACUAUUAGACUGUCAGGUACAUAUGUGCCAGGCAAGUACGUAAUAAUUUGAGCGGUUCAGCUUUAUAACAAGAAAAAAUACCAAUUUGGAAGGAGCAGUUCAGGCGUACACGUUAAAAAGUACUCUAACUUGGAAGGAGUAAUUCGGAGAUAAAACAUAUUGCUUCAGGCUUACAUGCUUAGGACUCUCAAAACUAGCAUGCGUACCUUUUUUUUUUUUUGCGGGGGAACUAGCAUGCGUACCUAGCCUAGGCUUCCAACUUCCGGAUGCAACAAGCCAAGGCCGGUGUAAAAUUCUAGAUCAAACAUACUGUAGUCCUGCCUCACGUGAUCUUGAUGGCUCCGUCGCUGAUGUUGUUGCCACACAGGCGGCAAUCCGUGAUUAAGAAUAGAGUAAGAACCAUCAAAGACGUACUCUGUUGUGACUAGAGAAUUACCUAUUUUGCUACUGGCUGGAAUUUAUGAUCUUACAAUCAGCAAUGUUGCAGGAUAGGGACGCAUGCAUGCAGCGGCGUGGCCGUGUGAUCGCGAUUAAGAUCUUCGGCCGAGCAUAACACAAACACGCAUGUACGCAUGCGUCUGGACGUGAACAGGUUGGUUGAUUGAUCUCUUGAGGCUUUUCGGCUUUAGGGCUCCAUUGAACACAGUUUUUUUGAAAAAUUCAAAACCAAUCUUUCAACACAUAAGUUGUUACAUGUAUAAUAGACGCAUGUAAAAAAUUUCAUUAUGAAAUAGGUUUUGAUAUGAUCUCUAUAAAAAAACAAAAUCAUGUAUUUUUUAGGGAAUAGUACAUGUUCUAUAAUCAAUUUAUUUUUUUAUUAGAUCGCAUAUAGAUGUAUUUCGCCAUGAAGAAAUAUUUUUUGCAUAUACAUGUAUUAAAGACAAGUCGUGUACAUCCAUAGGUAUGUGCGUAUUAUUUUUAGAAUUUUUAAAAACAUAAAACUUCUUAUAUUGGAAAUUUUAAAAGCUACAUAGAACUCGGGCUUCAUUAGCAAUUUCCGCUAUGCUACACACAUCACGUGCAUGCACACGUUUAUGAGAUAUAUUCAUUUUUGUGGGGUAUAUGCAUAUUUUUAUUUUUCUAGAUGGGAUAUUAUCAUGUGUGUGUAAGAUCUCUUGGCUGUGAAGUAACUACGUAUUUCUUACAUAGAGGUCCAAUGCGCUUGACCUUUUGUAAUAAAAUCCAUUUGAUUAAGAAUGAGCGGUUAUAUAGUGUUUGGAAAUGGCUAUGAUCUGCUACAAUAAUGGUCUACAAAAUGAAUUCUCAUUUUCUUUGCUUUUUCGUAAUAUUUUCAAGCAUAUCAUUAUUUUCACUGUUUGGACAGCACGGAUAGUUUAAUAUGCAUAAAUACCAAUUGUAUUUUUUCUCUCAAAUAUACACCUAAAGUUACUUAGCCUUAGAUGGUCAGGCUACACAAACAAUUAGAAAGAGACGUUAUUACCAGGAGCAUUUAGAAGCAUGAAUGGAAGUUCAACCUCCAUGACAUCAUGCUAUCUAGAAACAAAAUUGCACUUCAAACAGUGGUGAUUUAGAUAGAGGAAGAUAGCAUAAUAUUUAGGCAGUUAACUAUUCAUGAAAUAUUGUGGGGUAGCAAGAGGCUAACAUAAAUGCCAAUACUCACCUUUUGUGAGGCAGUCGCCGAUGACUUUAUCAACAAUACAAAAUUUACCAAAAAGUUUUCACAUGUAGUUUGAUGAUGUUUUGUUAGGACACACAUUCCAACUAGAAUAUUCUUUUGUAUUUCAAAUCAUCUAUCAAAGGGGACUCAUAAAACAUAGUGGAAGAGAGAAAUAUGAAGAUUGGUUGAAAUUAUAUAGCUUUGCAUGGCACGGUGACGAUUCUUAUCAUAGACCAAUUCAAAAAUAAGAUAGUUAAAAAUAGAGUUCCCAAAUAUUAUCACAUCCACGGGGAUGAACUUUUUGCCUUUUUAAUAUAAUUUAACUGUUCAUUGACAAAUACCGGUGGAGAAAAAAUACACUCAAUGUAAUAAUUACUGACUAGCAUGAUCAGAAGAUGUGGAAGCAUAUAUAAGGAUAUGUUUAUAUAUGACACUGGUAAUAGAUAACAAUCUAUGCCUGAAGGUCAUCAAUGUUUUCAUUUUCUCUAUCAAAAUUCUAGAAGAAUAUUGGGUGCAAAGAUAAAUGAACGUGGAUAAAAAGGUGGAACAGUGGAACUUAGAGAUUGCUAGCAAAUCCAAUGGUUUGGUAUGGUGGGAUACAUGCCUUGGUUCUUUGAUAUUCCAUUGCUUAACAAUCAUAUUACUAGCAUUGACUUUACAGAGGAUUUAGCAAAGUCUAAUAAUGUUUUAUAAUAGAAUGCAUUUCAGCUUUAUUUUUUAUAUAUGAACAUACAUAGAGCAAAACCAGCAAAAUAAAUAAAGGUGUAAAGGAAGACUAGCCGCGCAAAUGUGCGGGUCACCCAGCUAGUUUGUGAAUGACUUUACUAUAAAAAUGAUUUUUGAGUGAUUAUUUUUCCUGCUAUUUAAUAUUACUGUGUUUUAUCAUUAUAUUUAAUUUGGUAAUUUUUAGGUUAUUUUAAAUGUCUGUUUUAAACAAAAACAGAUUUUGUUACUUUAGUUUGCUAUUAAAGUUUCUAACAAAAAAAUUCUUUGUGAAAAUUCUUUUUGCUAUUAAUGUUUUGGACAAAAAAUAAUUUGAUAAUUUUUGUGGCAUAAAUUGUAUAAAAUUUUAGUUUAUAAAAUAUUUUUAGUUGAUUCGUUUUGCUAUUGAAGAAUAUUAUAGUUUUGUUUUGGUUGAUCAUAACAGAAUAUUUUAAUUGAUUAUUUUUAGUUCAUUCUUUUUGCUAUUAGAGUUUCAUAAAAAAAUUCUAGCUCAUUCUUUUUGAGAGGGGCAUUUUGGAGGCCAAGCUCCAUGGAGGCCUUUAUUUUUGAAAAAUUCAAAUUCAAACUUUUAUGGUUCAAAAAAUUUUGAAUUUUUUUUUGCAUGUAUGUAAGGAUGUAACCCACAUGUGUGUAAAAAUUCAUGAUGAAACACCUUGAGUUGCGACCUGCAGAAAAAAGACAAAUUCAUGGCAUGCGAGGAUGAAUAGUAUCAUGUGUUAAACAACCCCAGAUUUGACUUUUUUGCACAACCCUCAUUUCAAUGUAUUUUAAACUGAAAAUUUACACACAUGUGUGUUAUGCCUUCAUCUAUAUCUGUAUUUUUUCAGAACUUUUUGAAAUGUAAAAAUAUGAUUUUUGAUGAAAUUCCAAAUUUGAAUUUGGAGGCAUCACUGGAGGCUGAGCUCCAAAAGGGAUUUCCGAUUCUUUUUGGUAUUAGUUCAUUCUUUGAGCUAAAUGACCCUGAAAUUGAAAAGCACUUCAAAUGAACUCUGAAAAGGUUAAAAGAUGGCAAUGUAUCAUCAUUUCACCCACAUAGCAUGUUAUAAAAAGUUGAGAGGGUUACAGCAAAAGGUGGAUGCACUUCGUGUACAAAAUGGGCAAUCUCUUCCGAAGUAUCAGGGUUUCGGAAGAAAACUCAUCAGUUACAAAGGGAUUUCAUUUUUUAACUUAUUUGAACUCCAGACUCUUUGUGUAUGCAAAAUGCACCAUUCAAAGCCACAUCAAUUUUCAACCCUUUCUGACUACAUUUGGUAUUUUGCAUGCAUUUACAGUUUUUUUAGCUAAAUGACCCUGAAAUUGAAAAACACUACAAAUGACCUAUGAAUAGGUUGAAAGUUGGCAUGGUAUCAUCAUUUCACCCAUGUAGCAUGUGCUCAAAAGUUGAGAGGGUUACGGCAAAAGCUGGAUGCACUUCGUGUACAAAAUGGACAAUCUCUUUCGAAGUAUCAAGGUUUCAUACAAAAACUCAUCUGUUACAAAGGGUUUACAUUUUUUUGAACUUAUUUGAACUCCAGACGUUUUGUGUGUUCAAAAUGCACCGUUCAAAGCCACAUUAUCAUUUUUCAGCCCUUUCUGACUUCAUUUGGUAUUUUUCAUGCAUUUACUAGUUUUUUUGAGCUAAAUGACCCUGAAAUUGAAAAGCACCACAAAUGAACUCUAAAAAGGUUGAGAGUUGGCAUGGUAUCAUCAUUUCACCCACAUAGCAUGUGCUAAAGAGUUUAGAGGGUUACGGCAAAAGCUGGAUGCACUUCGUGUGCAAAAUGGACAAUCUCUUUCGAAGUAUCAGGGUUUCAUACGAAAAAUCAUCCGUUACAAAAGGCAUUUCAUUUCUUCACCUAUAACUGCAGUGAUAUUCUAGAUCAAAGGCAUCAUCACAAUAGUUGUGGAGAGAAAGUCUUCAUUUUUUUUCGCUUGUGUCCUUUGCAUAUUGUGCCGUAACCAUGGAUAAUCUUCAUUGUUUAACUGGGUGCUUGGGUCAGCCUUGACUUUGAAGGGAGGAAUUUCAUGAAACUUUUCAUAAUCUUCAGACAUGUCUAUCUUUCCCUCCACUCCCACGAUGUCUCUUUUUCCUGAAAGAACUAUGUGGCGCUUUGGCCCAUCGUAUAUAUGAUGUAUUCGCUUCCUUAUCUUUUCUUUUUCUUGGUUUGGUAGACAUGUCCUUCACAUAGAAAACCUGCGCCACGUCAUUGGCUACGACGAAUGGUUCGUCUGUGUACCCAGGAUUGUUCAGAUCCACUGUUUUCACUCCGUACUAUGUGUCUACCUAUACCCCGCCUCCUGACAGAUUGACCCAUUUACACUAAAACAAAGGGACUUUAAAAUCAUGUCCAUAGUCAAGUUCCCAUAUGUCCACUAUGUAACCAUAAUAUGUGUCAUUUCCCCUCUUGGUUGCUGCAUCAAAGCGGACACCACUAUUUUGGUUGGUGCUCUUUUGAUCUUGGACGAUCGUGUAAAAUGUAUUCCUAUUUAUCUCGUAUCCUUUGUAAGUCAAUACAACCGAAGAUGGUCGCCUGGCCAACAAGUAGAGCUCAUCCGAAAUAUUGUUGUCACCAUGAGAUGUGUUUGCAACCAACUACCAAAAGUCCUGAUGUGUUCACAUGUAAUCCAGUCGUCACACUGCUCUGGGUGUUUGGAGUGCAGAAUAUUCUUGUGUUCCUUGACAUACGGGGUCACCAAGGUAGAAUUCUGUAGAACUGUGUGGUGUGCUUGAGACCAAGAAUGCCCGUCCCUACAUAUUAUUGUGUCUGCUCCUAGCGUGCCUUUUCUAGUCAGUCUCCCCUCAUACCAUGAUUGAGGGAGACCAAUCUUCUUAAGGUCAAGAAUGAAGUCUACAAAAAAACCAAUGGCCUCCUAUGUCUGAUGGCCCAUGGAGAUGCUUCCUUCUGACCUAACGCGGUUAUGAACAUACUUCUUUAAGACUCCCAUGAACCUCUCAAAGGGGAACAUAUUGUGUAAAUACCGGGCCCAGAAUGGUAAUCUCGUCGACUACAUGAACUAGGACGCGCGUCAUGAUAUUGAAGAAGGAUAUUGGGAACACCAACUCGAAACUGACAAGACAUUGCGCCAAAUCACUCCUUAUCCUUGGUAGGAUUUCUGGAUCGAUCACCUUCUAAGAGAUUGCAUUGAGGAAUGCACAUAGCUUCACAAUGGCUAAUCGUACGUUUUCCAGUAGAAGCCCCCUCUAUGCAACCGGAAGCAGUUGCGUCAUAAUCACGUUGCAGUCAUGAGACUUUACGUUCUGGAACUUUUCUCUGCCAAAUUUAUUAUUCUCUUUAUAAUCGACGAGAAGCCAGAUGGGACCUUAAUACUGAGCAGGCAUUCAAAGAAGAUUUCCUUCUCUUCUUUGGUAAGAGCAUCGCUGGCAGGACCUUCAUACUGCUUUGGAGGCAUGCAAUCUUUUUCGUGCACACACUGCUGGUCUUCCCAUGCCUCCAGUGUAUCUUUUGUCUUCCCAUACACGCCCAAUAAGCCUAGCAGAUUCACGCAAAGAUUCUUCAUCACGUGCAUCAUGUCGAUUGUAUAGCGGACCUCUAGGUCUUUCCAAUAGGGUAGGUCCCAAAAUAUAGAUUUCUUCUUCCACAUGGGUGCGCGUCCCUCAGCAUCAUUCGGAACAAAUAGUCUGCCGGGACCCUUUCCAAAGAUUACUUGUAAAUCAUUGACCAUAGCAAGUAUGUGAUCACCAGUAUGGACCGCUGGCUUCUUCCGGUGAUCUGUCUCACCUUUGAAAUGCUUGCAUUUCUUUCGACGUUGAUGGUUGCUCGGAAGAAAUUGACGAUGCCAAAGGUACACAUUCUUCCUGCAUUUGUCCAAAUAUAUACUUCUGGUGUCAUCUAAACAGUGUGUGCAUGUGUGGUAUACCUUGUUUGUCUAUCCUGAAAGGUUACUGAGAGCAGGCCAAUCAUUGAUGGUUACAAACAGCAACGCAUGUAGGUCAAAUUCCUGCUGUUCUUGCUCAUCCCACACACGUACACCUUUUCCAUUCCACAGCUGUAAAAGUUCUUCAACUAAUGACCUUAGGUACACAUCAAUGUCGUUGCCAAGUUGCUUAGGGCCUUGGAUGAGAACUGGCAUCAUAAUGAACUUUUGCUUCAUGCACAGUCACGGGCCAGGUGCUAUGAUUGUUGUUCUACUCCCCAAAAUGAUUAAUGCCAUCCGUGCUUAAACCAGACCAUACGUUCCUUGCGUCACCUGAAAAGUCCGCCCACUUUCUUUUGAUUUUUCUCCACCGGGACCCGUCAGCGGGUGCUCUCAACUUCCCGUUUUUCUUAUGGCCUUCUCUGUGCCGUCGCAUCAACCUUCAUGCUUUUUUUUGGAACAAACGUUUCAACUGUGGUAUUAUAGGAGCACACCACAUCACCUUGGCAGGAAUCUUCUUCCUAGGGUGCUCGCCCUCGACAUCACUAGGGUCAUCAUGGGUUAUCUUAUAGCGCAAUGCACCACAUACCGGGCACACAUUCAAAUCUUCGUACUCACCGCGGUAGAGGAUGCAGUCAUUAGGGCAUGCAUGUAUCUUAUGCACCUCUAAUCCUAGAGGGCAGACUACCUUCUUUGCUUCAUACGUACUCUCGGGCAAUUCAUUCUCCUUUGGAAGCAUAUUCUUUAACAUCAGCAAGUUUCCAAAACCCUUGUCAGAUACAACAUUCUCUGCCUUCCAUUACAACAAUUCUAGUGUGGUCCCCGGCUUUUUCUUGUCAGCUUCGCAAUUUGGGUACAAUAAUUUCUUGUGAUCCUCUAACAUGCGAUCGAACUUCAACUUAUCCUUUUCACUUUCGCAUUGUCUCUUUGCAUCAACAAUGAGCCGGCGAAGAUCAUCAUCGGGCACAUCGUCUGGUUCCUCUUGAUCUUCAGCUUCCCCCAUUGCAGCAUCAUUGUAUUCAGGGGGCACAUAGCUGUCAUCAUCCUCUUCUUUUUCAUUGUCUUCCAUCAUAACCCCUCUUUCUUCGUGCUUGGUCCAAAUAUUAUAGUGUGGCAUAAAACCCUCCUCAAGCAGAUGGGUGUGAACGGUUUUUUGGUUAGAGUAAGACUCCGUAUUCCCGCAUUUAGGGCAUGGACAACACAUAAAACCAUUCUGCUUGUUUGCCUCAGCCACUUCGAGAAAAUUAUGCAUGCCCUUAAUGUACUCGGAGGUGCGUCUGUCACCGUACAUCCAUUGCCGGUUCAUCUGCGUGCAUUGUAUAUAAUUAAGUGUGUCAAAAACCAUUACAGAACAUCAUGAAUAGAGAAGUGACCAAGUAAAUAGAAUUUCAUCAUCACAUUAAAACCAAAGUACAGUAGUGAUGAAAUGUUAUUACUGAAAAAAUAAAUACAUAAAGUUCAUACAUAUAUAGUUCUCAUUGAACAACAUAUAGCUCUCUAGAGCAUCUAAUUAAACCAUAUAUUGAAACUAUGUAAAACAUUUCAAUGCAACAACAAAUGCGAUCAUAAUUGCAACUAAGGUAACAAUUGAUCCAACGGCAUAAUGAUACCAAGCCUCAAUAUGAAUGGCAUAUUUUCUAAUCUUUCUAAUCUUCAAGCGCAUUGCAUCCAUCUUGAUCUUGGGAUCAUCGACGACAUCCGCAACAUGCAACUCCAAUCUCAUCUUCUCCUCCUCGAUUCUUUUCAAUUUUUUCUUCAAGUAAUUGUUUUCUUCUUCAACUAAAUUUAACCUCUCGACAAUAGGGUCAGUUGGAAUUUCCGGUUCACAUACCUCCUAGAUAAAAGCAUCUAUGUCACGUUGGUCGGCAUAAUUGUCAUAAAUACUAAAAUAACCAAAUAGUAAUAAAAGAUAAUAUAUACCACAUCUGAAUCAUACACAGGACGAGGGCCGAUGGAGGGGGAUACCAAAAUCAUCGCACUAUAUAAUAACAAACAAUUAUAAAAGUAAGAAAAUUAUACAGGUAUCUAUCUAAAUCAUACAAGUAAGAACUUUUUUCUUUUAGGAAGAAGAUAAGAACAAGAGGCUCACCACGGUGGUGUCGGUGACGAGAUUGGCACGGGGGAUCAACAGCGGUGAGGACGGGGAGGGGACAGGACUGACAGCCAAACCUAGACAAAUCUUGAGGAAAAUGGAGCUUGGAUAAGGAGCUUCGAGAGCAGAAAUCUUAAGUGUGGCAUGUGCAUAGGAGGUGAGCUAGAGCACCACAAUGCUCUACCACAGCCGGCCAAAAAAACAGAGUGAUAGCUUUGCUCGCGGGCACACUACUACGGAAAUGCUUAUACACAGGAGCUCACCGGUAGCGCUUUUUACAACAAAACGCUGCUGCUAAAUAACGGUAGUGCUUGUGCCCGAAGAGCACUGCUACUAUGCAUAUAGCAGUAGCGCUUUGUCUACAAAACACGCUGCUUAUGUAAUUGCCAUAACCGUUGCAGGCCGUGUAGGCAUACUAGUAGCGCUCAUAAGCAACAAGCACUACUGCUAUUGUACGUAGUAAUAGCGCUGUCGUCUAACCAGCGCUACUGCUAAAUAGCAGUAGCGGUGAGUUCUUAACAACGCUACUACUACGAUUACCUUAUCCACACCCGCACAUCCCUCUCACUCUCCCCUCACACACUCUCACUCACCCACCGUACUAUUCCGUCGCCUGCCGUCGCCGCCGUCGCCCGCUGUCGCCCCCAACGUAUCUGCCUCCCUCCCUCCUCCUUUCACCGCCCUCCUCUCUCCCUCCUCCCACGGCCGUCCUCUCGCGCCGGCGGCCGUCGCUCCUCCCUCCUCUCCCUCGUACGAUCGCCGCCCUGUUGCCUGCACCCUCCUCUCUGCUCCCUUCGUCCCCAGUCGCCCGAAGCCCUCACUCCUCCCUCUUCCUCCUCCUCCCACUGCCCUCCUCUCUUAAAAAUUUAGGUAUAAAUUUUUUUAGUAAAAGAAUUUAGUAGUAGAAAUUGUUAGGUAGAGAAAUAUUUAUGCUAUGUGAGAUUAUUUUAGUAAAUGUACGUUUUCUGAAUAGAAUUGAAAAAAUAAGUAAAUGUAGGUCUGUUGAAUAGAAUAGGAAUUUUUCUAAGUUAUGUGAAAUUAGUGCAUUUUUCUAUGGUUCAAGAAGUAGACAGUAGGUAAAAAAAUGAGGAUAAGAAUGUUCUUUGGGUUUAGGAAACAAAUUGCAGACAAUUGAAAAUUUUAUUUGGAAUCAAAUUGGAUAUUUAUUUGAUAGCUUAUGGAGUUUCACUAAGUCCUAAGAUGACAAUAAUAAUGUUUUUCUUUAUAUUUUGUUUUUGAAGAAAUCAAGGAGCCCCUGCAUCAUCCCCGCCGUCGUCCCCGUCACCGACCCCCUCCGACCUCGAUCAAGGUGAGACCAGCCACCCCAUGUUGUUAAUUUAAUUUAAAUAUUUUAGGUGUUUAAUCUUAGAAUAAUAGAGUAUGAACCCUAGUUUUGAUCGAAUCAUGUUCAAAACGUAGGUUUUUAAUUAGGUAUAGUUAAUAGAAUUUGGUGUUUUAGGUGUAUUUAAUAGAAUUCUAGGUUGGUUCGUUUUGAAGUGGACAUGUCAUAUUCUGAACAUGACACAUUUGUUAUUAUUUUUAGUUCAAGCAAUUAUCCCUGUAUCGACGUCAACAAUGCCUAUCCCACAUCCUCGUUGUCGACUCGACGGAGGAGGCCUGCUUGAUCAGAGGGGCCAUGUCCGGGACUGGGCUCCGCCGGGCUGGUACUGGGAGGUGCUACCUUCCAGGGGCGCAGCUUGGUGAGGAGCCAGCCCGUCAUUGACCCGAACCUUCUUUGGUGGCAGUCGCGUGGGCCAGUGACGGUGCGGAGGCUUGAGGACCCCACGGAGGUUGUACGUCAUCAUGUCAGCGAGGAGGAUGAGCACGUCCAUCGCUACAUGAUUGCGUUGGAGGGCAGGUUCUCCAAUACCUUGCAGGUUCUUCAGAGAUCUCACUGGAGCUAUGAUCAUGUGAUGGUUCCUUCUCUUUGGGUGUCCACCGCCCGCGCCGAUACCCGUCAUUCGCUAGGGUUUUAGCUGUAUUAGUGAUGUUAUACGUAUGAUACUAUUCGAGAUGUAUUAGUGAUAAUAUUCUAUGAUGUACGGACAAAAGAGAUGAUUUAGUUUUGCUUAUUGAGUGCAUGCUAAUUUGAAUAAUAAUUUAUUUUACAUUUGGUUUUGCUUACUGAAUUCUCAAAUUGGAAAACUAUUCCUACUUCAAAUGCUCAAAUUGGAGAGCACUAUGCUUAUAGGGUUUUUGUUUUUGCAGAAAUCAAGGUGCCCCUCCAUCAUCACCGUCGCCGUCCCCAUCACCGACCCCCUCCGACCUCAAGGUGAGACCUACCAAAUCUCCAUGUCAAUAUGAGUCCUAUAAUACAUUUUGAAAUGUUAUAUAUACAUAUUUUUUGAACCAUUGUAAUGCAAUGACCAUCAAGUUUGAAUGCUCAUACGAUAUAGAUAUAAACAUGUAUAUCUUGUGUUGCUCAAAUAGGAUAUGUGCUUGCCCAAGUGGCCGGCCAUGUUUGUUACACCUCCGAGUGGCCUAUGUUUUGCCGAAGUGUUAAUUAAUUUCCGUUUCGGCAAAUUUCAGGCGCUCAAUAUGUCCUCUUUUAGCAAAGGUCAUGCCGGAUUUUUCCGUGAAUUCUGGCAUGACUUGUGCUAGAAUAUGUAGGAAAUAUCGAGUGGCCUGGAUUUUCUAGAAAAAUAAUUAAAUGCCAUUUCGGGUUGACUUUAAGUCUGUUGAGGCUCCAUCACCAACGGUCCAAAAAUCAGUGAGGGAGUGUAUCCACCAUAUAUGAGAGAGGACGAAGAAUCCCGACUAUUGUCAUGGUGGUCGUUUCUCCUUCUUCUCUGGGUGCUAGACCUUUGUUAUGCACUAGGGGAAGGAGGAGUAACGACCAUCACCGACGGUCGCAGAUGUCAGAGAAGAAUCAGUGAGUGAGAGUCUCCACCACAUAUGAGAGGACGAAAAAUCCCGACUAUUGUCGUGGGGGUUGCUUCUCCUUUGUUCCCGUGUGCCAGACAUUUUCGUGUAGUGCACUCGGGUACGAAAGGAGGAGCGAUCAUCACCAAUGGUCGAAUGUAUACACCAUGCGAGCUUAGAGUUUUCAAUAAAAAGACUCGGCAGACCGAUAGUCAACCCGUGAUGAAUAAUAAUGAUCUAAUUUAGUUUUGGUAGUACAUAUAUUGAAUUGUACAAGUUUAAUUUUUGAUUUACAAACCUAGGAAAUGUCGUUAUCGGACGACGAAAGUCUCCCGUGGGAGUGCGACUAGUGCAACGAUGACCAGGGUCUGUGCGACAGGCCUCACCUGGACGAAGGUCGGCACUUCAGCAUUAAGCUCCAGGAGACCUUCAAUGUUGAAACGGUACACAACAGCGACAAGUGUUUUUUUCAUAAAUAAGCAUGACUUCAACUAUUUCAACGUGUAAUUUUGUCUUUUACAAUUUGAGUAGCUUAUGUCAUGCCAUGCAAGACGCUAUGUCUUGGAGAGGAUUUAUUUUGAAGACGAUGGAAAUUUUGAAACAAACAAAAUUCACCUAAGGACCCAUCAUGGUAUGGAUUUUGAAGUAAAUUUAUACAAUUCUGAGAGUGUAACCCAUUUUGGUUGCACAAAUUGGGAAGCACUUUGCAAGAUGUAUGGUUUCUAUGAGGGUAUGCUUGUCACCAUGGAUCUUGGUGAUCCUGACAUCGACCAAGACAAUAUGGACAUUUGGUUCCUUGUUGAUAUGCUUCCAGUUCUACCACUAUGUGAGUUUCUCAAACAUAGUUAUUAACUAAUGUAUAUUGUUUAUUUCAAAGUAGUUGACAACAGAUUUCCAUUGACAGCUUAUUUUCAUUCUUCAAACAAUGUGCGGAAGAUGGUAGACAGAACCUACUACACCGAUGGCUCUGAGUUAACUUAUGAGAAGAAAAAUCAUCUGGUCGCAUUUUGUACUGAGCUUGAGAAUUACAAUAUCUAUUAUCAAACUCCUUCAUGUUAUGGUCAAUACAUGCCACUAGUGCACGUGUUGAACUACGGUAACAUCCAUGGAGAUACCAUGCACUACUAGGGAAAACCUUAUACACAGAACUUUAGUAGUAGCGUGUGUUAAUAAAGCACGCUGGUGCUAAGUAGCAGUAGCGCGCUGGUGUAAACGGCGCUACAGAUACAGUUGUAGCAAUAGCGCGGCUGAAGAUAAAAGCGCUACUGCUAACAUUCCCACGGUUUAGCCGAUAGGCUACACAUAGUAGUAGCGAUCUACGUCAAACCGCGCUACCGCUACUUUCUUUGUAGCAGCGCGUUUACGCUGAAAGGCGCUACUGCUAAAGGAAAUAAAAUUAAAUGGAAAGCAAAUAGAAAAGUAAAUGAAAAUGAAAGAAAUAGAAAAAGGUGAAAGAAAAAAAUAAAAUGUAAAGAAAAAUAAAUGAAAAGGGGGAAAAAGAGAAAGGAAUAGCAGUAGCGCGUAUCGAGGAACGCGUUGUAGCUAACUUAGCAGCAUCACACUUCCUGGAACGCGCUACUGCUACUUCUGACUUAACCGCGUGGUUCGUUCCUCCCCACGGCCACUUCCCCCAAAUCCAACUCCUCCUCUAUCGCCGCCGCCGUUGCCGGUUGGCCACCUCGCGCUCACCCGUCGCUCUUCGCACACCGUCAACGCCGCCCCCGACCCCGGAUUCGACGCCGCCCCCGACCCCGACCUCGAUGCCGCCCUCCACCUCGACGCCGCCCCCGACGCCGACCUCGACACCUCCCUCCACCGCGCGCCCGAGCCCCGACCUCGACCUCGAUGCCGCCUGCCCCUCCCUCACCGCAGGCACCCGAGGUGAGCCCCCUGCUCCUCCCCCUCCCCUACAUCUGCCUAGGGUUCUUCAAAUUUUAGUUGCAUCAAAUUAGUUAGGGUUCAUCUAUGGGUGGAAACAAAUCGGAUGCGGAUGUUAUCAGAUAUGAAUGCGGCUCGGAUGUUUUCUUAGAUGAUGAAUAAACAUUAUUGUAAUGCAUAAUAAUUUGUAAGAUUAAUCAUAAAACGAGUAAAAUUUGACCACUUAUGUCACUUUCCACCCCUAGGUUCAUCAAAUUAGAUGGUAAUUAGGCAGUAGUUCCUAGGUACUUAUUAGUUAGUAAGAACUAUGUACUAAUUUAUUUUUAUUUAUAGUUAGUUUAUUUUAAGUAAGAACUAGUUGAAUUAAUAGAACUAGUUGAACAUGUCACAUUUGUUGUUAUUUUUUUAGUUAAAGCAAUUUUUCCCGCAUCGAUGUCGAUGAUGCCUAUCCCGCAUCCUCGUCGUCGACUCGGUGGAGGACGCCUUCUUGACCAGAUGGGCCAUGUCCGGGACUGGGCUCCACCGGGCUGGUACUGGGAGGCGCUACCUGCCGGGGGCGCAGCUUGGUGAGGAGUCAGCCCGUCGUUGACCUGAACCUUCUUUGGUGGCGGUCGCGUGGGCCAGUGACGGUCGAGAGGCUUGAGGACCCCGCGGAGGUGGUAACUCACCGUUUCAGCGAGUAGGACGCGCACGUCCAUCGCUACUUGGUUGCGCUGCAGCUCAGGUUCCCCAAUACAUGGCAGGUUCUCCAGGGAUCUCACUGGAGCUAUGAUCCUGUGAUGGUUCCUUCUCUUUGGGUGUCCACCGCCCGCGCCGAUACCCGUCAUUUGCUAGGGUUUUAGUUGUAUUAGUGAUGUUAUAUGUAUGAUACUAUUCGGGAUGUAUUAGUGAUAAUAUUCGACGAUGUACGGACUCAAGAGAGAUUAACUUUUUCUUAUUGAAUGCAUGCUAAUUUGAAGACUUAUUUAUUUUGCAAUUUGGUUUUUCUUAUUGAAUGCUCAUGUCAAUAUGAGUCCUAUAAGGUAUUCUGAAAUGUAUAUCUUGUGUUUUUUUGAGAGAUCAGAUAGUGGGAGAGGCUCCCACUGUGUUUGUAUUACUCAAAAAUAGAAUACAAUGUACAUGGUGCAGUUAUAGGGUGCUUGUCCUCCACUUUUGGAGGGAUUAGCAGCUACUUUUUUAUGUUGGAGAAGUCAAGGAGGUUCUAAGUUUUGUACAAAGGAGAGAAUAAAGUCUCUCUUAUCGGUUCUAGUUCUAUGUUGGAGAAGGCUAAAAUCAUGCUUAAAAUGCUCAAGCCAAGAAAGCAAAGUUGGGGUGAUGCUUCUGAAGUGCUUGUUAUUCCUCUCUUUCCAGAUACUACAAGCUUCCUGUAAGAAUACUUCCAUGACCAUGGGCUUGUUCCAAUUAUUUGCUGCGAGACUAAUCCAUUGAAGUCUGGAUCCAGAGACUUGCCAUGUGAUCCCAAGGAUGGACCAACAUUGUUUACUGAAAGGGCAUUGAAAGACCAUGUGUUCCACGUUCUCUUCAAUUUGUUGACCACAUAAGAGGCAGUUGAAGUCAUCUCCAAUGUUGUAGUGCCUCCUCUUGAGCAUGUUGCAUGUGUUUAGGCGGUCAGCGAGCAGUAGCCACCCAAACACUUUGAUUUUCAACGUCGUCUUCGCUGCCCAUAGCCAUUGGUACGAUUGGUGUGCGUGCACAUCCCUAAAGUAGAACUUGUAGUAUCUGUUUGCCUUGUAUUCCAUUGAUCCCUAGCAGUAUGUCCAGGUAUCAUGGGGGGUCGGGUCUACAUUGUUGCCAAGAUGGAUCACAUUUUGUUGCAGCUCACGGAGUUCUUGUAGCGCUUGAACUGAGAGUGGAAGGUGAAACAUUUCAUGUAGUGAUGUGGAUCCCAAGAAAGUUUUAACUGAUAUAUCCUCAUUUUUUUCGUAGGAGAAUGCGCGUGGGUACGUUUUUCAUCCAGUGUGGCAUCCAACCACAGAUCCUUGCACAUAAGUACCGUGGUGCCAUCAUGGACAUUUGCUUUUGAUAUACCUCUGUAAAUCGGGGCGAGCUUCAGGACAUCCCUCCACCAGAAAGAUCCGCAUGGCUCCGUGGCAUGGGGGAUCUUGUUUGUGUAGUAAGUCGACCAUAUGAGCUCAACCCAUGGCACAUUGUGUCUGUUAUAGAAUUUAUGUAGGUACUUGAGGAGGAAAGCUUCACUUUAUAUGCGCAGAUUUAUUAUACCAAGUCCACCACACUUCUUUGGCUGGCACACCAUGCUCCAGGCCGUAAGCGAGUUACAUUUGUCCCCUUGUUCUGUCUUCUUUGUCCACAGCCAUUUCAUUCUUAGUUUGUCGAGAAGUUCUAAAAUCUUUGGUGGCAGUUUGAGAGUCCACGGAGCAAAGAUAGCUAGUGACGUGAUCAUUGUAUUGAGGAGUGAGAGUUUGGCCCCAUAAGACAUCAAGGCAAGUGUGCUUGUCAUCCGUCUUUCCAUCGUGCAAACUAGCGGCAUGAGAUCUUGAACCGAGGGCUUGGUUGUCCCGAGUGGUAGCGCUAGGUAAGUGAAUGGCAUGGAUCCAACUUUGCAGCCAAAGAUAGUGGAUAGCUCAUUGUAGCAGCUCGCAUCACAGUUGAUUGGGAUUAGUGUGGACUUGUGGAAGUUUAUCUUCAGCCCAAUGGAGACAACAUAGUCAGAAAGAAUGUCUUUAAUCAUUCUAGCUUGAUCAGGGCAGGCGGGAAGAAUGAUGAUCGUGUCGUCCACGUAUUGGAUCACAGGGUAUUCAAGUUGAUUAUGUCAUGGGAACGGUAGAUGGAUCUUCUUUGUCUGAAGGCAUCAUUGAUGGCAGCUUGUAAGAGGUUAGCCGCAAGCACAAAAAUCAACGGAGAGAAAGGAUCUCCUUGGCGAACCCCAUAAUUACAGAGGAAUUGUCUGCCUAGGACACCAUUUAAAAGCACCGCUGACUUGCCCGAGGAGAAGAUGCAUUUAACCCAGCGAAGCCACCUAUUAUCAAAGCCCAUGUGUUCCAUAAUCGUAAGCAUUACAUCAUGUUCAAUCGUGUCAAAUGCUUUGGCGAAAUCCAGUUUUAGAAGGAUGAUCUUUUCCUUGGAGGCUUGGCACUGAUGGAUAUACUCGAACGCCCAAGCCAAAUAGUCAUGUAUUGAUCGGCCUUUUAGGAAGCCAUAUUGAUUUCGAUGGACAGUUUUAAGUAUGAGUUUUUGGAGUCUGUUUGCAAGUAGUUUGGUGAGAAUCUUGAGACAAUAGUUUAGCAAUGUGAUGGGUCUGAAAUCAGAGACUGUCUCCGGGGACCGAACCCUAGGAAUGAGUGUAAUAAACCCCUCAUUAAUACUCUCAAGAUUGAGUCCCCCCUUACAGAACUGGUUGCAAAGCUCAUAAAAGUCCUCCUUAAUAACAUCAAUCUCCUCCUUGGUGAAGGGAACAGUAAGUUGAUCCAGUCUCUCCACUUUUUUGAUGAUGUUUUGCAGGUUAAAUUUCAUUUGGAACUCUCCUGACUUGCCUAGUCUCUCUAUAAAGUUUGGUAUAUGACAGCCUCCUUGCCGGCGUGAUCUUCUACCACCGUACCAUCUGAAAUUUUAAGUGUUUGUAUUGUGUUCCGCCUGUAUCUCUUAGAGGCCAAAGCUUUCAAAAAGCAAUAUCCCCUCCGUGUAGACCCGAGCGUCCGUUUCCCCCCUCCAGGUGCCGGCGGCAGAGCCGUCCCUGAGUCGGGCCACACCUCGGAGAAGCGUGUUGCCUCUUCAGACAUGCCACCACAACACCCCGCAUGUAUGAGGACCUGGUGCGACGCUCCUGUGGCAUUGCUACCCCUAGGGCCCCCGUCCCGCCUAACCCUGGAGCGGUUGACCACGAGAUCUAGCCCUUUGACUUUCCACGGACGGGCUUUGACCGGUGGACCGCUCCACCUAGUUGUGUUAGGUCAGCCCAUAGGGACACCUGGGAGCAACAUCCGGGCCAAACCCACAGCAAGAUCCCCUCCGUGUAGACCCGACGCGUCCGUUCCCCCCCCUCUAGNNNNNNNNNNAGCGGUGGCACCGUCCGUGAGGGUGGCCACAUCUCGGAGACGCAUGCUGCCUCUUCAGACAUGGCACCACACCACACCGCAUGUAUGAGGGCCCGGUGCGAUGCUCCUGUGGCAUUACUACCCCCCAUGGCCCCCGUCUAGCCUAACCCUGGAGCAGUUGUCCACGAGAUCUAGCCCGUUGACUUUCCACGGACGGGCUUUGACCGGUGGACCUCUCCCCCCACCCUCGGUUGUGUUAGGUCAGCCAAUAGGGACACCUGUGAGCAACAUCCGGGCCAAACCCACAGCAAGAUCCCCUCCGUGUAGACCCGACGCGUCCGUUUCCCCCUCCAGGUGCCGACGGCGGCGCCGUCUGUGAGGGGGGCCACACCCCGGAGAUGCUUGCCGGGCGUUUGCAACCGCCACAACACUUCCAGAGUUGUGAGAGGCCCCGUACGCAAGAUUGGCGGCAUUCUUUCCCCGGAGGCCGCCGGCCACAGUCGUAGACACGCGAAGAGCAAUCCGCGUAGAGGGAAGUGUUCAUAUACUUCUCCAUCACCAAAAAUUAUGGAAAAUUACCAUCAGUCCUAUAGCACAUGUGCCCACGUCGUGUAAAAACUCAUGAUUUUAUCGCGCUCCGAGUAUUUAAUAAUAUUCACGCCGCACCGUUACCGCAGAACGUCUACUACUGUGUCACCGCCGUCCGUGAGGAGGGACACACCACGGAUACGUGUGCCGCCUCUUCAAACAUACCACCACACCACCCCGCAUGUAUGAGGCCCCGGUACGACGCUCCGGUGGCAUUGCUACCCCCAGGGCCCCCGUCCCGCCUAACCCUUCAGUGGUUGACCACGAGAUCUAGCCCUUUGAUCUUCCACGGACGGGCUUUCACCAGUGGACCUCUAAACCAGGUUGUGUUAGGUCAUCCCAUAGGAACACCUGGGAGCAACAUCCGGGCCAAGCCCACAGCAAGAUCCCGUCCGUGUAGAUCCGACGCGACCGUUUCCCCUCUUCNNNNNNNNNNGUCUAGCCUAACCCUGGAGCAGUUGUCCACGAGAUCUAGCCCGUUGACUUUCCACGGACGGGCUUUGACCGGUGGACCUCUCCCCCCCCCGGUUGUGUUAGGUCAGCCAAUAGGGACACCUGGGAGCAACAUCCAGGCCAAACCCACAGCAAGAUCCCCUCCGUGUAGACCCGACGCGUCCGUUUCCCCCUCCAGGUGCCGACGGCGGCGCCGUCCGUGAGGGGGGCCACACCCCGGAGAAUAUUGCCGGGCGUUUGCAACCGCCACAACACUUCCAGAGUUGUGAUAGGCCCCGUACGCAAGAUUGGCGGCAUUCUUUCCCCGGAGGCCGCCGGCCACAGUCGUAGACAUGCGAAGAGCAAUCCGCGUAGAGGGAAGUGUUCGUAUACUUCUCCAUCACCAAAAAUUAUGGAAAAUUACCAUCAGUCCUAUAGCACAUGUGCCCACGUCGUCUAAAAACUCAUGAUUUUAUCGCGCUCCGAGUAUUUAAUAAUAUUCACGCCGCACCGUUACCGCAGAACGUCUACUACUGUGUCACCGCCGUCCGUGAGGAGGGCCACACCACGGAUACGUGUGCCGCCUCUUCAGACAUACCACCACACCACCCCGCAUGUAUGAGGCCCCGGUACGACGCUCCGGUGGCAUUGCUACCCCCAGGGCCCCCGUCCCGCCUAACCCUUCAGUGGUUGACCACGAGAUCUAGUCCUUUGAUCUUCCACGGACGGGCUUUCACCAGUGGACCUCUAAACCAGGUUGUGUUAGGUCAUCCCAUAGGAACACCUGGGAGCAACAUCCGGGCCAAGCCCACAGCAAGAUCCCGUCCGUGUAGAUCCGGCGCGAUCGUUUCCCCUCUUCAGGUGCCGGCGGCGGCGCCGUUNNNNNNNNNNNNNNNNNNNNNNNNNNNNNNNNNNNNNNNNNNNNNNNNNNNNNNNNNNNNNNNNNNNNNNNNNNNNNNNNNNNNNNNNNNNNNNNNNNNNNNNNNNNNNNNNNNNNNNNNNNNNNNNNNNNNNNNNNNNNNNNNNNNNNNNNNNNNNNNNNNNNNNNNNNNNNNNNNNNNNNNNNNNNNNNNNNNNNNNNNNNNNNNNNNNNNNNNNNNNNNNNNNNNNNNNNNNNNNNNNNNNNNNNNNNNNNNNNNNNNNNNNNNNNNNNNNNNNNNNNNNNNNNNNNNNNNNNNNNNNNNNNNNNNNNNNNNNNNNNNNNNNNNNNNNNNCUUCAGACAUGCCACCACACCUUCUCGCAUGUAUGAGGGCCCGGUGCGACGCUCCGGUGGCAUUGCUACACCCAGGGCCCCCGUCCCGCCUAACUCUGGAGCGGUUGACCACGAGAUCUAGCCCUUUGACUUUCCAUGGAUGGACUUUGACCAGUGGACCUCUCCACCCAGUUGUGUUAGGUCAGCCCAUAGGAACAAUUUGGAGCAACACCCGGGCCAAACCCACAGCAAGAUCCCGUCCAUGUAGACCCAACGCGACCGUUUCCCCCUCCGGGUGUCGGCGGCGGCGCCGUCUGUGAGGAGGGCCACACCUCGGAGAUGCGUGUCGCCUCUUCAGACAUGCCACCACACUACCCGGUUGUGGUAGGUCAUCCCAUAUAUAGAAACACUUGGGAGCAAUGUCCCCUCCGUAUAGACCCGAUGCGGCUGUUCCCCCCUCCAGGUGCCGGCCGGCGGCGCCGCCGUCCGUGAGGGGGGUCACACCCCUCCAUAUAGAACCGAAAAAUAAUGUAUGUAUGCUUAUAUUAACACAUGCUACAUGUAAGUUAAUCAAAUAAUAAUAUGUAAAAAACAUAAAAAAUUGUUAUGCAAAAAAAUAUAGAUAUGACAGCAUAGCUGCGGCCAGGGCAAAUGGACGGUGCGCCGCGGACCGAUGACAUGUCAUCUAUGCCGACGGCCGCCCGUCUCCGCCAUCGGCAUAGAUUCGACGACGUUAGCCGCCCGUCACGAGCGUGGUCUCCGGGCCCGUAGCUAUGCCGACGGCCCGUGUAUGCCGACGGGAGCUGUAGGCGUAGCCAGGGCUAAGCCGACGGUUGUUCUUUGUCGACGGGGGCCGUCGGCGUAGCAGGGGAUAGCCCGACGGCCAUUGUAUGCCAACGGCCUGGACCUAGCUGUCGGCAUAGCAUGGAGUAGGCCGACGGGGGCCGUCGGCAUAUGUUUGGCCGUCGGCAUCGAGCCCUGUUCCGUUAGUGCGCACGACCUUGCUGCGGCCGUGGUCACAAAUGGUCUGCUCCGAGCCUCCGACCUCACCGUGAACACGGCGUGCCUCCUGCUCUAAACCUACCUCCUGACUCACGUCGAGGAUCUCUAUGAACCUUGUUGGCGGUGUUAGGUUAGCUUUAUAGUGUGUCGAGUCUGUAUCUUAUCCGGUAGCAAGAUUCUUUCCUAGUUGUAUACGAUACAUGAUGGAAAUGGACAUGGGCUUGUAUGAAUUUUAAAGGAAAGAAGAAUCGGCGAAAGGCAUUACCGAGAAAAAAAUAGAUGCACGUUAGGAUCUUAUUAGAAAACUUAUGAUUUUUUUUCCAUAGAGCGGCCUUUUGAAUCUCAACCGUCGAUCUUUAUGGUUAACACAAAAUCAAUGGAUAUAAAGGGAUGAUUUGUGGAGAACUAUGAAAGCUUCCGUCCAUUAUUAUUACUAGAUGACUCGUUGCGCCAAUGGCGCAAAGGCCGAGAGGGAGCCAAGUAUUGUGAGAAUAUUUAGACACUCAAGUCGAAAAUCAAAUGUGGCCAACACUCCCGCAUCCUCUGCUUGGAAGACGCCUUUUCUCACCGGAUCAAACAUAGAUAAAUGAUUCUUCAAGAGCAAAUUUCAAAGAAAAUAUAAAGGAUGGAAGGCUUUAAGUUGUACUAUUGAGACCAUACCACCAUAUCUUCUUUUAGUUUCUUUGGAAAUCGAAAGGUAUAAGAGGUUGGUACAUGUGAGAAGCUGUGAAUCCACAACAAAAAACUAAACUAACUUCCAAACAAACAUUUCAAGUUUGGAAGCCACAAAGAAGCAGCCCAGAUCUCUCGUUGUAGUGCAGGUUCAAGAAAAUGGGCCGAAUGACCAUCACAGCAACAUGUAGAAGCAGCAAAAAUAUAGGCUUGGUGUGUAACUGAUCAUGAAAGAUAGUUUGAUCAGUUUCUCCAUUGUUGGCUUAUACUGAGCAAGAACAUCAGCCUGCAGAGAAGAAAAAUGGAGGACUGCUUUAUUCUGCGGUACAUCCGCAAUACUACAGCAAAUAACGUAGUUAAAUGUGCGCUAAGAUGUAAGACCUUUUAGAUCACUAUUUUAGUGAUGUAAAAAGUAAGCGGUCAUCUAAAAGCUCUUGUAUUAGUUUAAAGUGGGAGUACUUAAUAAGACUGUAAGCCAGUACAUCAAAGUAAUGCCGGCUUCCCAUUGAUUUGAUCAAACCAAUAUGACAAAGGGAAGGUGAAACUUCAGAAGACCAUAUAAAUUGAAAGCGAUGUCUUAAUUUAAAACUCUGGAAUGAAGUAAUAAACAUUAAGUCUGAAUGUUGUCACUAAAAAAGCAUAAAAAAGGCAGACCAGCCAGCAGUGCAUCAUAAUUAGUGGUUCAUCAUGGGCAAACCAGGCAGCAGUAGCCUAAUAACUUAGAGGGAAAAAAUGCAAGAAGUCAAAGCACAAGGUGGGAAAUAGGACCGAGCAUUGACAGGUAACCAAAUAAUGAAGGAAUAUCCCCAGAGGAUGCAAGAAAUGAGAGAGGAGCACCUAGCAGAGGUUUGUGGACUACCUAUUUAUGCCACACCAUAUCCACAUCCCUAGCACUUGACGUACUUGCUGCUAUUGCCAUGUCUACCUUAUUUCCUCCAUUGCCGGUUCGUGGACUACCUCUUCAGGACACGCCGAAUACAUCCUCUCCUUCACCAGCUGGUAGUCUCGCCCUUCAAUCAUGCCACUAACAAAUAAAAGGAGAAAACUAUGAUCAAGUUGAUAAGUCUUACGACUGUAUGUGAGGAAAGCAAAUAAUUCAUGCUUGUCAAUACCAUAGUGUACAAUUCUAGCAGAAAGCACAUCAUCAUUCUGGAAGAAAAUAGGUGGAAGCAUAAGAAAGCAAUUAAACAAUCUCUUCAGAGGCACUCACAUGGUAAAAUCCAAAACAUCGAAAGCAAUAUAUUAUUUUUGCGAAAUGUACAGGAUUCAAGAAACUGAGUACCAUCAAAAGUAGUCUGCUAUCCAUAUCCAGAACUCCAAUUCUUACAUACUUGCUAAAAGUUUUAUUGGUUGAGAUCAUUUUUGGAUCACCCACCAGCAAGUAUGCAUGAUUCAUAUGUGAAGAGAAACUGACAAUUACAACCAAUAACCAAUUAGCCAACACAUGAAAAACUAUCCUAAACCACUAUGACUACUAUUCACCAAUACCAUAGAUGAUAGCACUAUGCUAUCAGUUUCUUCAUGAUUCACCAUAUAAAAAGAUUAUACCUCUUCUACAUAGCAGCACAAGAUGUUUACACAAGGAAGGAAAAGAGUAAGUUUAAUUUCUUUUCACCUAUUUCUUAUCAAUGGAGAUGGAAAGUGCUCUAGUCUAUUUUUAAUGUUUUAUCUUGUCCACCUAUUUGUAGAUAGGCCUUUUUGUAACAUGACAACCUGAAAUUUAUUAAGAGACAUGAAACUUUUAUUAUAUGAUCGAAAGAACAAAAGUUAGUAAAUAUUUGUUACAAGUACCUGGCAGGAACAAGUGCAGCCUCAGUCUUUUUCAGAAGGCUAGUACAUAUUACAAACCAGGAAACGAUUGUUGAAAUAUGUGCUAUGAUGCAGUUUCUGAAACACGGUUUCAUGGUUGGCCAUGAUAAGUGUCAAAUGUUUUCUCCUUUUUAUUCGGGGUCCAUUAGGGUCAUAGCUGAUGGUACCUUAUAAACAAAAUUUUCAGAAUAGAUUGCAGCUUGUAUAAGAUAGACAGGUUUAGUUAGUAUCAUAUUUAAUCGAAAAGCAAAAUAAUCAUUUAACUAUUUACAUGUCUAGAUCCAAGGUUUGAGAAAUCAAUAAAGUGCCCUCCCUAGAAAUCACAGUGGAAGCAAGUAAAUAACCCAAGCUUGGUGUCGCACCACAAUAAAGAGGAUCAUAAAGGAAAAAAAUAGAGGGUCAUACAGAAUAAUCAGGAAUCUGUACACACAACUUACUACAGUUUACUCAUGCUUCAGAAUCAAUCAACAUGCUUAAUGCCGCACCACAAUAAGUAGCACAUGGAUAUUCUAACUCACAGGACAACCUAUAUAAUGUCAUCUUGCCUUGCAUUUGCCCUCUCAUUGCAUCGACCACCAAGGUAACAUAAAAAAGCACGCCAACCAAGAUAAACCAAAUCAUGGACUUGGACAGGAAAAUCAAAGAGAGGGAAAACCUAUGGAUGGGUUAGAUAGCAAGUCGCUCGCGAGGGCGCCCAGGUCUAGCCGACAACACCCGGCCCCACACACAGUUCGGAAGCACUCUAGCACAUAAUCAGAUGGCAUGAAAGUACCAACAACGACCAACCAAACCGAAUAAUCCACAUGAAUGGUUGUGAAUGAAGGCAGAAUCAUAUGCAUCUCACAACUAACAAAUUUAACUGAUAAUUCAAGAUACUAAAGAUCUGCUCUACAUUUUCGACGGUGAAAAUAGUAAAGAUCUCGAAUGCAAUAAAACAACAAGGAAGCAAACAAGUUGCACAUGAUUUAAAUUACGUCGCGUAACUUCUAAAGUUUUCCCUUUAUAUGACAACCUUCGUCCCAGCAAGAGUCAUUACAGUAUUUAGAUAUCUUGUAUAAAAAAGAUCAAGAACUAAAAACUACAUUCGGCAAGACAUCCUCUCUACAAAAGGAAAUUCCCAGAGCAAACAUUAGCCGAUUCAGUGCAUAUCUCCAAGGCUCAUGUAAGGGAAUUGUCAAAAAGGAGUGAACUGGAUUGGAAGGAGCUGCAAUACCUAAGGAUGGGUUGGAGACUGCGAGGUCGACAAGGACGCCUAUCAAAGCAUGUUUCUUCUGUCAUAAGCUUUUAUUUUACUUCGUCAUGAAGCUGUGAAAAAAGCCAUCUCGGUAUGAGCUUUCGAGAUUUAAACCAACCAUUUUCAUGAAUAAAUUAGUUGCUUCAGUUCUGUUGGGCCGUAUCAUAUAACAAAGAACAGAACAAAAUAGAAGUUUCUCUACCAAUGUUGUAAUUGUCUUGAGUAAAUGGAAGUUAAGAUAAAUGAGAAUCCUUGAGGCAAACACAAAUUAAAAAAUCAGCCACCGCAAUCCUCAAUGUCCGUUGUUCCUCUCUCUAUGGCCAGGCAUUAAAACCAAAACAGCCUAACCAGCCCACAUUAAAGCAAAAAUGGAAAACACGACAUCCUCUAUUGUAGAAUUAAGAAAAAUAUGCUCUCCGGGGAUAGAUUGGUUCACCUUGAGGUACAGAAUAAUUCGAACUCCUACAAAACAUUACAUUGUUUGCUUUAGUAUAUGACCCGUUCAAUCUGAAAAGUAUUCAAAAUUUUCAUCCAAAUCCUUGCAAUUCUUCCUACUGUGUUGAGCUUGUAACAGUGAUAUUAGUAUAAGAAUUUUAUUCUCUUUCUCUAGCUAGAAAUCUCCAAUCUGAAGUUUCAAGACACUGAUCAAAGUAUAUUAUGUCAGAAAAGAAACUCAUUCCACUAUGGAUAUAAUUAUUUGGCUCACACUUGUGAAUCAAGCAAGGAAGGAAGCGAACCUGAUGGUGUUGGUGUAUUGCGGCUCAGGCCAGUGUGCUCGACUUGCCGCUGCGUGUUGUUGGCUUCGCGCCACAAGACUCACCAUGUCCUGACCAGUGCAACACAUAUAAGAUCACCCUCAUAACCCAAGAGAAGUAGGGAAGUAUGUAACUAACAAAAAAACAGAUGUAGCAAGUGCAAGGUAGGCUUAGUGGUGCUUAGAGCUUACUUCAACUUUAUACCAAAGGAUGUACACCGGUCAUCUUCCUCGCUGGUCCCAGACAUUGCCGCAUGCCACCCUUCGAGAAGACAGUAGAGGGAUGAUUCUUCAACUGAAGAUGAAGAAAUGAAGGAAGAGCAAAAAUUUACCUGAGCAUUGGACCGGCGUCAUUCAUGGAUGGAGCUUGGAGGAACCCUCUUCUCCACUUCUCUCGAUCCACUGCCGCUAUUACUGCCUCGCACCAUGCAUCCGAGCCUACAUAAGGAAAAUGGCCCUCAACACCUGAACAACACACGGGGCGCAAAACUGGGCAUACAGAAAAAGGUGCAUCAAUCAAAUAUCGGCAGAGAUGCAUAGCAGGAAAUGCACAUACAACUUCAUGGUUUUUUAUGGAUGAAAAUACCAACAUCUAGACCUAAACAUCACCCAAGGAUUAUACAUUUCAAAAUAUAGAGCAGAGAGGCUAUCAACAGUUGUAUUCUAAAUCUCUUGACAUCACAAUUCGUGCAAGAAAAAUGGACAAAAUAAGACACUGCAAGCAAAUGUGCACCAAAUUAUGAGCAAAGAAACUGAUAAUUAGAGCAGAUUACUCCGCUUGCCCUUCUCACCGGCCUGCUCCUUCCCCCUGACGUCGGCCUCCUCCCCCUCCCCUGUAGCUCCUUCCCCGUGUCAUCGGCCUCAAUUGCAUGAAGAAAGUAUUAUGGUGGUGGAAAUAAGCAGAAGAUAGUCUUCUUCUGGGAUCUGCAAUAAUACUCCCUUAGGAAGAACUGCAAGAUACAAGGCAUACAUACUCAGAUGAGAGAGCAGAUCUGCGGGCUAAGCAUUUCUUGUAAGGUGAACUGAAGUAACGCAUGAAUGUACCUCGAGGAAGACGACCUCAGAAUGAACCCGUCGCUACCCUUCGCCUCCAACAAACACCGCAUCAACAGAUUGAUUGGAAUAUCAAUUCCUAAAAAGGCAUGAUCAUACAAAAGGGAUUUAUCAGCAGACGUAUACUGAUUCCAAUGAUGGGCUUCUAUAUGAAACCAAAUUUUAAAUAUACUGAACUCUUUUGCAUCAGAUUAAAAUUAGCAAAAAAAAUGAUGGUAAAUCUAAUAUCAUAUCCAAAUACAACUUUGUGCUCAGCAGCACCUACAAUCUAAGGCGGCUAAUCCAUCAAAGAACGUAUAUACAUUACCUACAAUCGAACGCAGCUGAUCCAUCAAAGAACGUAUAUACAGGAAAGGCUAAUCUAAAACAAAGUCUAAAAGGUAAACUAAACCUGCAUCCAGUUGAUAGAAAAUAAAAACAAUCUACAACUUAGUGUGUAAAUUAUGAAAAAAAUACAGGGAAUGAUGGGGGCAGAAGGUUGCAACCGGCCUGGAGAUGGACACCAUGCCACCACUGAAACUCAGUGUAGGAAUCAAGUGCAACCCAAACACUAUGUGCAUAAUUAGAAGAAAAAAAGGAAGUAUGAGCCCAGUUCACCAUGGGAAGAUGAGGAAAGGAGGAAGAAAGAGCUCACCGCUGUGUUGCAUCUCUCCUCCAUGAACUGGCAACCGUCCUUGACCUCUCCCCCUCUGCACGCAACCACCGGGGUGGGGACCCUGCUGCCCUCACUGCAGCAACCGCUCCUUCUCGACCUGCGACCAAUCUGGAAUCAUGGCGUGCAGCGACCCCCGAAGAUGGAGAGGGAUGGUGGAGUCCAUGGCAAAGGCAAGGACGCCGGGGAGGGGCAGGGAAAAGAGGGACGCGAGAGAGGCGGCGGGGGGCAAGGCACGACCUUCGUCGCGCCACCAUGACCACGGCCUCCUCCUCCUCACGCAUCUGCCCCUGCCACCAUGACUCUCUCCGUACCUGGAUCUCGGGGAGGAUGCAUCUGGAGAGGGACAUUGGCUGGGGGGAGCGGCCGGCGAGGCUCUGGCCCUGGUCGGAGAGGGAAGAGGAGAGGAGGAGACGAGCGGGAAGAGGAAGGGCGGCGUGGGGGAGAGGAGGCGGCUGAGGGGGAGGCGACUGGCAGCGGCGAGGGUUUCUCCAUGGCAGCGUUUUCUAUUUAUACCCCUACACAUAAAAAGACUAAAAUGCCCUUGGCGGGGCACAAAAUUUACAAGUGGUGGCACGAAGCGAUUUAAAGGCGACGUGGCUGGCUUCGUUGUGCCUAGGAGUUCUUCAGGGUUUAUAUGUUCAAUAGGUAUAGAUAUAGAUAUAGAUAUAGAUAUAGAUGUGGAGUUGUGGAUAAUCUGCAUAUAUCACCUCAUAAUACAUGACUAACUUAGCUAUAACAACACAUAGGUCCUGGCCUAGAUUUUAUCUUUUGAGCAACUUUAACUGGAUUAGAAAGUCCAAAAAGAAAUCAUACAAACUAAACAUGUGCAGGUAAACUUUAUUUAUUUUCUUUUUCGCAGGGCAAUGCCCUCAACACGAAGAGCAAUAACAAAAAUCAUUAGGGCUAGGGCCACGACAACGGCCACCAUUAAAGUGUAACCCGGUGCAAUAGAGUUCACAGACGAUUACUGGAUGAACGUCACGACAUGGCGGGCCAUAUGCCUUUGUUUCCUUGCAAUCAUGUCUGAGUGGUAGCACUGGAGCCAAAUUAUCAUCGCCUCUAUCUGUUCCUGUAGAUGGAGCCAAAGCCUUCCCACCUCGUCCGGGAGAUAAAGGUGAAGCACCACCACCAAUAAACUUUUGGCGGCCUAGUUGCUCUCCACUACUGGGUUCUGUUUGUGAAAUCAAGUCCUGAAUUAGCAUCAAGAGGUAAAGGGACAAGGCAAAACUGUGAAAUAAAAGGAAAAUCAGAUAAGUGUGGAUCAGUUUUUCCUUUGGUAUAAGUUGAACACAAGAACCGUAUACCAAGCCUAUUAUUAUCAUAAGUUCACAAUGACGAAUUUGAGACAAUAAACAAAUACCAAGUACUGCUAUGAAUAUAGAAGUACUACACCUAUAACUAAAUAUAAGAAGGUUUUGGUAUAGUCUUUCUAUAUAUACAUAAGUAUGGCAUAUGUAGGUUAACGUAUGAUUCAUUGUACCUUCAAUGGUUAAUAGGACCAGAAACAUGAUCACUAGAAUGGUCAUUUUCCCGGCCAUCAUUUUGCUCUGCUUGCGAAAAGCCAGAAGUGUUCUUCCAGAGGGACUCUAUUUAUGGAAGCUUGGAUUAAGCAGGUUUGCUGAAGUGAUGUGUAGAAUAUCUUUAAGAUAUUGUAGCAUUGUCUCAUGACUUUUAUCAAUAAAAGAAAUUAGAAGAUAUGCAUCUACCAUUAGUUCCACAUACAUAAUAUAUUUCCACAAGAUAUACAUGAUGAUGAAGAUAGAUAUCUCCACCAGAUAUACAUGAUGAUGAAGAUAGACAUCUCCAUAAGAUAUUCAUUAUGUCAGAAGGAUUGUUGCAAUAUGGUGUAAGUGGGUGUUGAAGCAUCUUCCAUCUUAUAUCUUAUAUCUUAUAUCUUAUCUUGUCUUAUCUAUCUAUCUAUCUAUCUAUCUAUCUAUACCUAUACUAAUUAUGUACUCCCUGAAAAUUCAUACGGUGUAGAUCGAUCAGCCGAUAUAAUUAGGAUGUAGAUUUCUUUAAUUCUGCGGAGAAUUACUAGUUAAAUUGUUAGUAAUGGCGCACCUAUGGGCAGUGCGCCAUUACUAGUUAAAACUAGUAAUGGCGCACUGUCCACAUGUGCGCCAUUACUAACAAUUUUUUUAAUUUUUUUUUCAAAACUACUAAUGGCGCACGGUGGGUGUGGUGGGCCAUUACUAUGUCAACUAGUAAUGGCGCACCACUCCCAUGGUGCGCCAUUAGUAGUUUUGAAAAAAUUAUAAAAAAAAUUACUAAUGGCGCACCAUGGGAUGUGGUGCGCCAUUAGUAUUUGCACACUAAUGGCGCAUCAACACAUGGUACGCCAUUAGUAUUUAGUAAUGGCGCACCACAUGUACAGUGCGCCAUUAGUGUCCAUCCCAUCUAUAGCCCUUUUCCUAGUAGUGUUUAUUAGCCGAUAGUCGCACCCAAGCAACCCUAAACUCAAGAAAAGAGUGAAGUAACUCUUUAGCCUCGUCAACUAGUUGCCCAUUUGCAAAGAAAUCCCGUUGCUUGUUUCUGAUCUUGGUUACCACCAAUUGGGAGUCCGUCCGGGCGUUAAUUCCUUUGGUUAGAACAAGGGCCCGUUGACACGCCAUCAGCUCCGCCACCUCGGCAUCGUGAGCGGAAGGGAAAAAAUGGCAUGCUCCCGCAAUGAACUUGCUAUGGUGGUUCCUAAGGACGGCAACUCCCCCUCCUGAUUCUUGGUGCUUUGCCAUAACACCAUCAGCAUUAGCUUUUAUCCAUCCUUCAGCUGGCUUUUUCCAUCGCUCCAAUGCGUUUCUUUCUCUCUGUUGAGGUAUUUUCUCACGCACAGACUUCCAUUCAGCAGUAAGCCGAAGCACUCGUUCACAUAUACUUCCUGGGUCUUUCAUUCUGCGGAAGGGAAAAAUUGGAUGAUUGAGAUAAUGGGUGUGAGUACACCCGGGAGUAGUCACACCUUUCCGGUCUUUCAUUCUGCAUGUUUCCUUUGCUUCAUUCCUCAUAGUCCAUAGCUCGUACCAACUCCUAAUCACAAUUUCCUUUUCUUCAGACCCUGCGGAGCUAAGCCAAUCCAUGAGCCAUGCACGUAAGGCCGCAGGGUCAUGAACUUGCACCGAAAGGCAUGGCAGCGGGGCAGCGACAGCCUCACGCAGGCACCUCCAAAACUCAAUUGCAUGCGGGCACCUCCAAAACCUAUGCAUAGCAUCUAUCUAUCUAUCUCUCUCUAUAUAUCUAUGAUAAUUAUGGACGCCCUGAAAAUUCCCACGUUAAUCAGAAAUUAAGAGCCAUUAAUCUUAUGGGAUCAAUUUAUUACGGUGUAGAUCGAUCAGCCCAUAUAAUUAGGAUGUAGAUUUCUUUAAUUAUGUGGAUAAUAAAAUCUGUCUAUAUAUAUAUAUAUAUAUAUAUAUAUAUAUCUAUACCUAUACUAAUUAUGGACUCCCUCAAAAUUCCCAUGUCAAUCAGAAAUUAAGAACCUUUAAUCUCGUGGUAACAAAUUAUUACGGUGUAGACCGAUCAGCACAUAUAAUUAGGAUGUAGAUUUGUUUAAUUCUACAAAUAAAAAGAUGUGUCAAAUCGAAGGCUCACGGCCCUUCCUGGAAAAACGUUCAAAAUUUAUUUUGCAAAAGGUGAUCUGAUUCUAAUCUAUACUAUUCCACCGUCCUUUCCUCAUCUAUUUAAAUAUACUAGUAAGCAUGCACGUGCAACGCACGUCUCAUAAUCUGACUCUUAUAAAAACAUUUAUUUUGAAUAUAGUUUCUCUGUUAGCAAGUUAUUUUUACCGAACCAUUUAAAUGUGUCUUAUACGAAACAAUAUGAUCGCACAUGUAACAUACAAUCCGUGGGACCUGGGUUGUUUGCAUCAUUUUUCAUGUCUCAAUUUCUUAAAUUAUCAUAAUUCAAGUGCACUAAAGUGACAGCUAGUUUUGGUCUACAAUCUGUCGUAUGAGCCAAUAAAGUAGUAACCUAGUGGUACAACAUAGAAUAAGUAUAAUGAUACGUGGCGAAAAAUACAUGUGUAGGAGUGUCAGAAAAAAUAUCUCACGUGAAGUACGCUGUAAAAUGUAACAUCCAUAGACUACACGAUGACCUAACUUAAAUAUAUUCAACAAAAAAUUUAUCAACUUUUAUGGAGAUUCAUAUAACAAAUUUUAAAAUCAUCAAACAAAAAUGACAGUAACCAACGCUGAUGAUUUUUACGUAGAAGAUAAAAAGGAUGGCAGGCAUGCAGGGGAAUCGGAUAAAAAAGAAUGGGUCUUUUUAGAAGAUAUUUUUUUGAUUUGGACAAGGCGCACAAUCACAAUCUCUCUCUGGUAAGUUCCUAAUUUUAUUUAAAAAAACGUUAGUUAUCCUCCCCACCGCCACCUCAGUCCCUUACAUUUCUCUCCCCGUUCCCCAUUCUCCCAUGGUGGCCACACCCCUCACUCCACAGCCGGCCCUCUUCGUCACCAACGCCGGCGCUCCCUGGUCAAGCCGCCGCUCACCUUCAUCACCACCGUCGGUGCUUCCUGGUCAGGCUGCGGCUCCCCUUCGCAGCCGCUGCUCUUCCUCCCCUUGAUGUGGAAUCGCUCGAGGAAGUGGCCGAGGAGGCCCUCGAGCUCGGCAUGCUCGCGCCAGCGCUAGGCGCCGGCGAAGGUGGACGCGAAGGUGUGGCACUCGCACGCGCCUGCUCUACCCCGCACCUUCUCCGAAUCCGUUGGCUGAAGUGUUCGAGAAGGCGCUCGAGGUCGGAAUGCUCGCCGGCGAUGCCGGGCCCCUCCCUCCUCCUGAUACCCUCUCCGUUGCCGCCUUGAGCCUCUCCACCCUCUCCCGUGCGGUCGUCCGGGUCCAGGUAAGUCCCUCUCUGCAACCCUGCCACCUGCUCCACCCAGUCAAUUUGGUUCUUCGCCAGGUGCAUCCCCUCAUUGAUAAAUCACCAUGAAUAUUCCCAAGACUGUGUAUAAUUGUUCUAUUAUAGGGCUUUUUUUUUGCGGGGUUAUAGAGCUUUAUUAUAAAAGCUGAUUUAACUGACUAUUAUUCUGCUCUAGAUUGUUGCACCUUCUGGCUGUGAGUGGAUCCAAGAGUCAGCAUGAUACAAUAUCUUUUCAAAAGAUGAUAGAUUAUCUUCAUGAAAGAAAGGAAGUUGGAGAAUUAUUAUUGAAGAUGAAUUCAGUGUCAUGUGUUUCUCAAGAGCUAAAAUGGAACAAGAAGUGCAAAACUGGCAAUUCUUUUUGUAAAACUAUUAAGCUCGUCAUGGUGGUUACCAUGAAUGAGUGUCUGGUUUAAUGUUUAGAAAGUGAGUUUUGUGUUACAAUGUUCUCUUUCAAGACUGUUAUAUGAGAAAUCAUCCGUUUAAUUGGUGGCUAUGUUGAUGAUAAGGCCCUUAAUGGUUCAGAUUUCCCGAGGGAGGAAAAGGAGGUGCUGAAAGGGGAUGGGAGCAACAAGUAUAAAUCGAAGAGUAUGUUUUGAUUCUGAGUUGCAUUGCACAGUAUUUCUAUUGUUCUAUGAAAUCCAUGGAAUUGUAUGGAACAUUCCUUCAUGUGAUAGGCAUAUUUGUUUACUAAAUCAAACUGCGUAGUUCCAACAAACAGACAUUCAAAUGCACCAUUUUACCCUUUGAAAGUAGGAAGUGCAACUUCUUUAGUGUUUAGAAUGGAUCAGGUGUACUUCAGAUGUUUUCAGUUUUAAAUAAUUAUGCACAUUCUCAAUCAUCAUGUGUGCAAAAAGUGGGUUUAUACAGAUUUGUACAAUUCAUUGUAACAUCCUGGAGCUUAAACUAAUUAUGAUUAAUUUGGUCGUUCUCUGAUGUGUGAUUACAUUAAUACCUUUGGCACCUUUGUAAUUUGCUAAGCUAAAUUCAAUAUUUCAGGUGUUCUGCGACAACUCAAGUCACCUUCGUAAAUUCUGGAAGCCAACUUUUUUGACACCAGGCCAAGGAGAUAGAGUGCAUGAUUCAGUCAGUUACAAAAGUGCAGUAGCCAAAAACACUAACCAUUUUCCACAUAAAAAACCAUUAAUGACCUUUCCCUCUCCAUUUGCCUCUUCAGAUCCUUAGGGUCUACAUCUAUGAUACAUUCUAGUUAGUUUAGCAUCUCACCAGUUAUCUGAAUAAUACAUAAGCAUCCAGUACAAGGGCAUUUUUACCUUGGUACAUGGCAUCUCAUCAGUUAUCUGAAUAAUAAAUAAGCAUGCAGUACAAGGGCACUUUUAUCUUCGGACAUGGCCAGGGGUGUAUGUGGUACAUUUUUCUCGUCAUUAAGCAGUGAUGUUGAAGCCUGUUUCUUCUCACGGGCUUCACGACGUCUUUUAAGAAUAUCAUCUUUAUUGCGUGCAUAAUACUCUUUUUUCCUCUGCCUCUUCAAUUCUUCAAGGUAUGUAUAAAUACAUGCCAUUAAAUUUUGCACAUAAGCAACAGCAAAACAGUAGCGCAAAGUAGGAACCGAUUGAUGAUAGUUACCCAAUGUUUGGUUGUUGCUUAUAUCCUGAAAUGGGGUGCACGCCCCCGCACUAUUGGGAUAUGUCAUACCUUCGCCUUCAUGUGAAUACUCAUGCCAUUAAAUUUUGAGAAGCAUGGAAGCUGUGGAAAUUAAUCAUGAACACCACCAUCAGAUGCAAACAUACUACACUGUCCUUUCUCUUGAUAUUGUGUUUCAACGGAGUUCUAAUUUGACAUUAAUAACAAUUUUGAAUGGCAGAUCCCCUUACUGGACCACAUUAAGUUGUUGGCCCUGCUAUUUAACGUCCAUGGUGAUGCUGAUGAUGAUCUUGGCAGGGGUAAUGCUUUGAUUUCAUAGACCUGUUGCUUUGAUAGCUAGAGAACUAAUUUCUCAAGAGGACUUGAUUUAGUGUUCUUAUGAUAUUUUUUAGCUGGGGCUGUUUUUUUUCAUGGAUUUUCUCUGUCCACUACAUCAUAAAUCUGGUAAUGUAAAAGUAAUAUCUAUUUCUGAUUAUGUAAUGACCGACUGUUAUCUUGCUUCUUAUUCAUGUAUCUUCAGAUUUAUGUAUCUGCCUGGGGUGUUGGCAUGUCCUUGAGCACGCAUCAGGUAUGUAUGUAUCUGUUGGUAUCUUAGUGUACUUUGUAGUUUCAGAGUAGCACUCUAUAAUUUGGCACAUGCCUAUGAGUGUAUAUGUAUGUGCAUGUGUACUGGCCAUAGGCCCGAGCUGAAACUAAUUAUGAUUAAUUUGCUCAUUCUGUUAUGUGCGCUUACAUUAAUACCAUUGGCACCUUUGUAAUUCUAUAAGCUAAAUCCCAUAUCGCAGGUGUUCUGCGACAACUCAAGUCAAGUUCGUAAAUUCUGAAAGCCAAGGAGACAGGGUGCAUGAUUCAGUUAGCUACAAAAUUGCAGUAGCCAAAACACGAACCAUGUUCCACAUAGUAAACAAUUAAUUACAUAUAUAAAACGAACGGCUUAUAGCAUUAUGAUGUGAGGGGACGUGGGCUCCCACCAAUCAUGUUCAACAUUAUGAUGUGCAGGCAGGAGACGGGGUUGGUGGGAGGCACCGUGAUCAAGGGAGAGGGGAGCUAAUUUAGUUGAGUUUCCUUAUUAGUUUGUGAUCACAAUUGCGUGAUUGUAGGGGACGUGGGCUGGUACUUGGAAUAUUCCUCCGGUGGUGGAGUGCGGUCAGUCAUGUAUGCUAAGUGCACACCAUAGAGGUAUUAGAUUAAUGAUGGCUGUUAGAUUACGACUUGUGGGACUAAUUGUGUGGUGUUGAUUGGUUCGUAUAUUUUGUGGUACUAAUUAUUGGGUGCACAUAAGAAAGUUCUUGUUUGAUUGUUUAAUAGUAGUAGUGGAGAAAAAGUACUUGAUGGGUUAAUCAGAAAAAGAGAAAUAGGCUAGAAAUUACCAUAAAAAUUAGAAACAUCCGUCUAUCAAUUUAAUAGAUCAAGUUUUCAUAACAAUUAGAUAUCAUUGUAAGUCAAAAAAUUACCCACCACUGCCACUAUAAUUAUAUGGAAAGAAAACGUUUUGCUACAUGUAGCCAAAGUUAGGACGUGGGAUGCAUCUAGGAAAAAGACGCGGCUGCUCUUAUAUGUAAAAAAAGGACAUCAAUGCUCAGUUAGAAGAAAAAAAAAAGAGUACAUGCGACGAUGCAUAAAGGGACAUGAGAUCCUCAGUUCAAGGAAAAGUGCGCACAGCUUGCUAUAUGCAUGCAUGCAUUUAGGUGGAACAAAAAACGUGCAUCUGUGUGCCCUUCGUAUGCCUGCAUGGCCUGCCAAAAAAGUGUGCACACAAGCCCUUGAUACUAUAUGCGCGUAUUUGGAGAUUUUAAAUGGUGGCGCACCAACUAAGAGCUCGCAUGGACACGGUGAAUUUCUGUUGCUCCGCAUCCAUGCCAAUAAAGCCUUUGUUUCGUACAAUGGAAUCGUCUUUUGUCAUCAAGUGAUGCUAGGGAAAGCCUCAAGAGUUGUUCCGGAGGGAGCCGUGGGACAUGUAGUCUGCUGCUGCAAUGCAUAGAAGCGGUGGAACAUGAAACACUACGGAGCACCAGAUCAGUAAUUAGUACAGCAAAGAACCAAGACAAGAAGAUGAAGCAAUUGACACGUCUGCACAGAUCAGCAAUUAGAGAGGUGGAGAGCCAGAUCCCACAGAGGACUCCAAAAGACUUUGUUUUCUGAGAUUGGCAAGGUUUAUGAAUUAUUAUUAUUUUUUUGUAAAUUUGCUUCAGCCAUCAUGUCACACACAUGUAUACACGAGAAUUAGAUGCCUCGAAGGCACAACUGAAGGUUUUCUGGUAACCUAACCUAGGAGAGAAGGGUGUGCCUGAUGCCUUUUUUAUAUCCACAAAAUAAAUUCCAUGGAUUGCCUUAGGAUCCCUGAGUCCAAUUCUGAUCGGGAGAGCUCUACCACCUCCACCGGUCUGGAGGGAAACGUGCCGGGGAGUAGGCGCCGAAGGACAGAAUUAGAGGUGGGCCGACACAGGCGACAAACCUUCCAAAAAUAUGAUCGUUCGGAGUUUCCAUAUGUUGAUGAACUUCGUGUGCCUCAGUGUGGUUUUGCCUGCUUUCAUCUGAGUCGUUUUGCUACCAGGCCGCGACUCUCCGGUUCCAACGCCGUUCCAUACAUGAGGACAAGCAGCCGAUAUCGUUCGCUUCUACAUCUAGAUGUUCAUCAUAGAGUGAUGAACUCAUUGAUUCGGGUAUAAUUCUGAUCGGAGUUUCAUCCACACUAAGAUCGAUUUUUUCUCUGGUAACAAAACCUUAGUUCCGCUUUCUUUGAAAAUCUAAAGGAUUUCUACUUGUCUUUUCCUUCUGUGAGCACAGUAAUCCAAUUUGUUUUGUCAUCUUCUUCUCAUAAUCAUGCAUCUAAUUAGUUUUCCAUAUGUUUGGUGGUCUAUAAAGAUCCUAUUGCUCAAAGAUUGGUAAUAAAUAUGGUAAUAAUAUGUAUUGUAUAUGCCAUAAGUUUCAUCAUAAUUUUUACACACCACUAGUAGAAAAGGGGGCAAUGGUCCAGGCCGGGUCAGCCCAUUAGUCCUGGUUCAAUCCAGAACCGGGACCAAUGGGGGCAUUGGACCCGGUUCGUGAUCCCCGGGGGCCGGCCGGGCCACGUGGGCCAUUGGUCCCGGUUCGUCUGGACCUUUUGGUCCCGGUUGGAGGGACGAACCGGGACCAAUGUGCCAUGGUCCUGGCCCACCACCAUUGAUCCCGGUUGGUGGCCUGAACCGGGACCAAAGGCUUCCCUUUAGUCCCGGUUCAAGCCAUGAACCGGGACCAAUUAAUUCCCUAUAUAUACCUCUCGCCCGCGAGCAGAGCACUCUCACUGCUCUGUUUUUCGUGGCCGGCGAGGAGAGAGCUUUGUGGUGCUCUAGCUCACCUCCUAUGCACACGAGGUGUUCGAUGGAAUGCCCGAGGCACACUACUUAAGCUUUCUCCUCCCCAAGCUCGACCUCCAAGCUCCAUUUUCCUCAAUAUUUGUCUAGGUUUAGCGGUCCGUCACGUCCCGUCCCCGUAUUCACCGUCGUCGAUCGCCUGCGCCGAUCUCGUUGCCGGCACCACCGUGGUGAGCCUCUUGUUCUUAUCUUUUUUCUGAAAGGAAAAAAAUUCUUACUUGUAUGUUUAUAUAGAUACUUGUAUAAUUUUUUUAUUUUUAUUAUUGCAUCUUAUAUAGUGCGAUGGUUUUGGUAUCCGCCCCCGUCGGUCCUCGUCCUGUCUAUGAUUCGGAUGUGGUAUAUAUUAUCUUUUCAUAACUAUUGUUUCAUCUACUGUUUAUGACAAUUAUGCCGACCAACGUGACAUAGAUUUUAUUUAUCUAGGAGGUUGUUGAACCGGAAAUUCCAACCAACCCUAUUGUCGAGAGGUUAAAUUUAGUUGAAGAAGAGGAGGAGAAGAUGAUAUUGGAGUUGCAUGUUGCGGAUGUCGUGGAUGAUCACAAGAUCAAGAUGGAUGCAAUGUGCUUGAAGAUUAGAAAGAUUAGAAAAUAUGACAUUCAUACCGAGGCUUGAUAUCAUUAUGCCGUUGGAUCAGUUGUUACAUUGGUUGCGAUUAUGAUCGCAUUUGUUUUUGCAUUGAAAUGUUUUACAUAGUUUCAAUGUAUUGUUUAAUUAAUUUAGAUGCUCUGCAGAGCUUUAUGUUGUUAGAUGAGAACUAUGUAUGUACUUUGGUUUUAAUGUGAUGAUGAACUUCUAUUAAUUUGGUCACUUAAUUAUCUAUUCAUGAUGUUCUGUAAUGAUUUUUGACACACUUAAUUAUAUAUAAUGCACGCAGAUGAACCGGCAAUGGAUGUACGGUUCAAGACACACCUCCGAGUACAUUAAGGGCAUGCAUGAAUUACUCUAAGUGGCUGAGGCAAACAAGCAGAAUGAUUUUAUGUGUUGUCCAUGCCCUAUAUGUGGGAAUACGAAGUCUUACUCUGACCGGAAAAUCCUUCACACCCACCUGCUUUACAAGGGUUUCAUGCCAUACUAUAAUGUUUGGACGAGGCACGGAGAAAUAGGGGUUAUGAUGGAAGACAGCGAAGAAGAAAAGUACGAUGACAACUAUGUGCCCCCUGAAUACGGUGAUGCUACUGAAGAUCAAGAGGAACCAGACGAUGUGCACGAUGAUGCUGCAACAGGCGAAGCUGCUGAAGAUCAAGAGGAACCAGACGAUGUGCCCGAUGAUGAUGAUCUCAGCUGGGUCAUUGUCGAUGCAAGGACGCAAUGCGAAAGUCAAAAGGAGAAGCUGAAGUUCGAUCGCAUGUUAGAGGACCACAAAAAGGGUUGUACCCCAAUUGCAAAGAUGGCAACACAAAGCUCGUUACCGUACCGGAAUUGCUGCAGCGGAAGACAGAUAAUGUUGUGCCUGACAAUGGAUUUGAUAAGCUACUGAAAAUAUUGAAGAAGAGGCUUCCAAAGGAUAACGAAUUGCCCGACAGUACAUACGCAGCAAAGAAGGUCGUAUGCCCUCUAGGAUUGGAGGUGCAGAAGAUACAUGCAUGCCCUAAUGACUGCAUCCUCUACCGCGGUGCGUAUAAGGAUCUGAACGCAUGCCCGGUAUGCGGUGCAUUACGGUAUAAGAUCAGACGAGAUGACCCUGGUGAUGUUGACGGCGAGCCCAACAGGAAGAGGGUUCCUGCGAAGGUGAUGUGGUAUGCUCCUAUAAUACCACGGUUGAAACGUCUGUUCAGAAACGGAGAGCAUGCCAAGUUGAUGCGAUGGCACAGUGAGGACCGUAAGAAAGACGGGAAGUUGAGAGCACCCGCUGACGGGUCACAGUGGAGAAAAAUCGAGAGAAAGUACUGGGAUGAGUUUGCAAGUGACCCACGGAACGUAUGGUUUGCUUUAAGUGCGGAUGGCAUUAAUCCUUUCGGGGAGCAGAGCAGCAAUCACAACACCUAGCCCGUGACUCUAUGUAUGUAUAACCUUCCUCCUUGGAUGUGCAUGAAGCGGAAGUUCAUUAUGAUGCCAGUUCUCAUCCAAGGCCCUAAGCAACCCGGCAACGACAUUGAUGUGUACCUAAGUCCAUUAGUUGAAGAACUUUUACAGUUGAGGAAUGGAAACGGUGUACGUACGUGGGAUGAGCACAAACAGGACAAAUUUCACCUAAAGGCGUUGCUGUUCGUGACCAUCAACGAUUGGCCCACUCUCAGUAACCUUUCAGGACAGACAAACAAGGGAUACCACGCAUGCACGCACUGUUUACUUGACACCGACAGUAUAUACAUGGGAAGCUGCAGGAAGAAUGUGUACCUGGGCCAUCGUCGAUUUCUUCCGACCAACCAUCAAUGUCGAAAGAAAGGCAAGCAUUUCAAAGCCGAGGCAGAUCACCGGAGGAAGCCCGCCAUGCGUACUGGUGAUCACGUACUUGCUAUGGUCAAUGAUUUACAGGUAAUCUUUGGAAAGGGUCCCAGCGGACUAGUUGUUCCGAGUGACGCUGGGGGACAUGCACCUAUGUGGAAGAAGAAAUCUAUAUUUUGGGACCUACCCUACUGGAAAGACCUAGAGGUCCGCUCUUCGAUCGAUGUGAUGCACGUGACGAAGAACCUUUGCGUGAACCUGCUAGGCUUCUUGGGCGUGUAUGGGAAGACAAAAGAUACAGCUGAGGCACGGGAGGACCUGCAACGUUCGCACGAAAAAGAGAGCAUGCCUCCAAAGCAGUAUGAAGGUCCUGCCAGCUAUGCUCUUACCAAAGAAGAGAAGGAAAUCUUCUUUGAAUGCCUGCUUAGUAUGAAGGUCCCGACUGGCUUCUCGUCGAAUAUAAAAGGAAUAAUAAAUAUGUCAGAGAAAAAGUUUCAGAACCUAAAGUCUCAUGACUGCCACGUGAUUAUGACGCAACUGCUUCCGGUUGCGUCGAGGGGGCUUCUACCGGAAAACGUCUGAUUAGCCAUUGUGAAGCUAUGUGCAUUCCUCAAUGCAAUCUCUCAAAAGGUGAUCGAUCCAGAAAUCAUACCAAGGCUAAGGAGUGAUGUGGUGCAAUGUCUUGUCAGUUUCGAGCUGGUGUUCCCACCAUCCUUCUUCAACAUCAUGACACACGUCCUAGUUCAUCUAGUUGACGAGAUUGUCAUUCUGGGGCCCGUAUUUCUACACAAUAUGUACCCCUUUGAGAGGUUCAUGGGAGUCCUAAAGAAAUAUGUCCGUAACCGCGCUAGGCCAGAAGGAAGCAUCUCCAUGGGCCAUCAAACAGAGGAUGUCAUCGGGUUUUGUGUUGACUUCAUUCUUGGCCUUAAGAAGAUAGGUCUCCCUCAAUCGCGGUAUGAUGGGAGACUGACUGGAAAAGGCACGCUUGGAAGGGACUCAAUAAUAUGCAGGGACGGAUAUUCUUGGUCUCAAGCACGCUACACAGAUCUACAGAACUCUACCUUGGUGACCCCGUAUGUCGAUGAACACAAGAACAGUCUGCGCUCCAAACACCCGGAGCAGUGCGACGACUGGAUUACAUGUGAACACAUCAGGACUUUCAGCAGUUGGUUGGAAGCACGUCUCAGAGGUGACAACACUAUUUGUGAUGAGUUGUACUUGUUGUCCAGGGGACCAUCUUUGACUAUUACGAUUUGAAAAGGGUACGAGAUAAAUGGGAAUACAUUUUACACGAUUGACCAAGAUCAAAAGAGCACCAACCAAAACAGCGGUGUCCUCUUUGAUGCAACAACCGAGAGGGGAAAGGACACAUAUUAUGGUUACAUAGUGGACAUAUGGGAACUUGACUACGGACAUGAUUUUAAGGUCCCUUUGUUUAAGUGCAAAUGGGUCAAUCUGUCAGGAGGCGGGGUACAGGUAGACCCACAGUACGGAAUGACAACAGUGGAUCUGAAAAAUCUUGGGUACACUGAUGAACCGUUCGUCCUAGCCAAUGAUGUGGCACAGGUUAUCUAUGUGAAGGACAUGUCUACCAGACCGAGAAAAAGAAAAGAUAAGGAAGCGAAUACAUCAUACGAUGAGGCAAAGCGCCACAUAGUUCUUUCAGGAAAAAUGGACAUCGUGGGAGUGGAUGGCAAGACAGACAUAUCUGAAGAUUAUGAAAAGUUUCAUGAAAUUCCUCCCUUGAAAGUCAAGGCUGACCCCAGCAUCCUGAUAAGCGAUGAAGAUUAUCCAUGGUUACGGCGCAAUAAGCAAAUGACACAAGCGAAGAAAAAGUGAAGACUUUCUCCCAUAACUAUUAUGAUGAUACCAUGCCAACUUUGUAACACACGAGUAUGAUACCAUUGUCCGUUUUGUACAUGCACAUGCUAUGCGGGUGAAUUUAUGAUACCAUGCCAACUUUUAACUUUUUCAUAGUUCAUUUGAAAUGCUUUAAUGUCUUAUGGUUCGGCCCUCGUAAUAAUUAAAAAUAGCAACAAUAAAUAUUUUGUUGUAAGUAGAAACAAAAUAAAAUAAAUAAAGCAAGAAAGAAAACAAAAAAAACAAAAAAAUGUUUUCAAAUUUGAAAAAUAAUGGCACUAACAGAAAGUUUAUAAUUUUUCUAAAACUAAAAGCAAAAAAAAUUAAAAAAUACAGCAAAAAACAAANNNNNNNNNNNNNNNNNNNNNNNNNNNNNNNNNNNNNNNNNNNNNNNNNNNNNNNNNNNNNNNNNNNNNNNNNNNNNNNAAUUAAAAAUAGCAACAAUAAAUAUUUUGUUGUAAGUACAAACAAAAUAAAAUAAAUAAAGUAAGAAAGAAAACAAAAAAAAUGUUUUCAAAUUUGAAAACUAAUGGCACUAACAGAAAGUUUAUAAUUUUUCAAAAACUAAAAGCAAAAAGAAUUAAAAAUAAAAGCAAAAAACAAAAGAAAAUAAAUAAUACAGAAAACAAAACAAAAAAUAGAAAAUAAUUAAAAAUAGCAACAAUAAAUAUUUUGUUGUAAGUAGAAACAAAAUAAAAUAAAUAAAGCAAGAAAGAAAACAAAAAAAAUUGCCUCCUACUAGGCCCCCACGCCCUGAAUACGACUAGAAACCCUACCAUGGGCCAGGAUUCAGGCCCGUAGUAGGCCCAGCAGGCCCAUCAGGCAAAGCAGUAACAAAUAGGCCCGCAAGCCUACGGUGGAGAGGAGCUCGAGAAGGGUGCGACAGUGGGGCUUACAAACCACUGCGCGCCCCUCUCAACUAGCGAGGUGGGACUAAACUUUGGCCCCGACGCUGACAGCACAGGGUCCUUUGGUACCGGUUCGUGGCACCAACCGGUACCAAUGCCCACCCUUUAGUCCCGGUUGGUGCCUCCAACCGGGACCAAAGGUCGCCGCUUCCCGCCCGUUAGGCUGCUGAAAAGAGGCCUUUGGUCCUGGUUGGUGGUACCAACCGGGACUAAAGGGGGCAUUAGUCCCGGUUGGAGUCACGAACCGGGACCAAUGCCCUUGCUAUAUAUACAGCACUUAGGAAAAUUUGACGAACACAUCGCCAGUUGCCGCCCGACGACGCCGAGCUCAUUGACGCCGCCAGGCUGCCCAGAUCAACGUCGUCCGCUGCCCUGACGCCGCCCGCCGCCCAGAUGCCGUCCGCGCACUGCCCCGACGCCGCCCGCCNNNNNNNNNNNNNNNNNNNNNNNNNNNNNNNNNNNNNNNNNNNNNNNNNNNNNNNNNNNNNNNNNNNNNNNNNNNNNNNNNNNNNNNNNNNNNNNNNNNNNNNNNNNNNNNNNNNNNNNNNNNNNNNNNNNNNNNNNNNNNNNNNNNNNNNNNNNUCACCGGCCACGCCCCUGCCUGGCCCGCCGUACGUGGUCGUCGCCGACGCCCUCGCCGUCGCCGCCGUCGCCCUCGCCGGCCACCCCCGUUGUGAGCCGCCGCCGUCGAGGCUCUGUGUUCAGUGCUUUUUUUUCAUACAUACAUGUGUAUUUUUUUGUUCAUUGCAUUUCUUUCAUAUAUAUAAUUAAUGUAUAUAUGCAUGUGGUAGCUAUAUCAUGAAUGGAUGUGGCUAUAUGUAUGUAUGAAUAUAAUGUUCAUAGCAUUUUUUUUGUUUAUAUAUGUUUUUUCAUAAAUGUAUUAAUGUUUUAUUUAGGUUGUUAGUAGAUAUCAAUUUUAGGUUAGUGCAUUUUAAUUAGGUUACUGUAGAGGAAAAAGUAAAAUAAGAAAAAGGAAGAAAAGAGGAAGAAGGAAGAAGGAAGAAGAAGAAGAAAAAGAAUGAGAGGAAAAAGGAAAAUAAGAAGAGGAAUAAAAGAGAAGAAGAGGAGAGGAAAAGAAGAGGAGAAAUAAAUAAGAAGAAGAAAAAAGAAGAAAAAGAAGAGGAGAAGAAGAAAAAUAGAAAAAAAAUCUAUUUUUUCUUUUUGUCCUCUAUUCCUUUCUUCUUCUUCUUCUUCCUUCUCUUCCUUCUUCCUCUUUUCUUCCUUUUCCUUAAUUAUCUUCCUUUCUCGAGGGAGAAGAAGAAAAAGAAGCGGAGAAGAAGAAAGAAAGGAAUAGAGGAGAAAUAAAUAAGAAGAACAAAAAAGAAGAAAAGGAAGAGGAGAAGAAGAAAGGAAUAGAGGAGAAGAAGAAAAAAUGGGAGAAGAAGAUUCUAUUUUUUCUUCUUCUCCUCUAUUCCUUUCUCCUUCUCCUAUUUUUUUUCUUCUUUUUUUUCUUCGAUCUUCUCCUCUAUUCCUUUCUUCUUCUCCUUUUUUUAUCUCUUAUACGUUUUCUUAUGUUUUAUCGGGUCUGUCGCCGUCAGGCUGCUCGCCUUCGCCCUCGCCGCCCCCUCGAGAUAACUUCGACAUGAGGGGCGGUCGAUAUAUAUACCCCCUCUCGACCGAGAUAACCUAUACAACGGAAGCACCCCCCUCGGCCCUUUCGCUCGACUAGAACUCUCGAGGCCACCCAAAUUUACCAAGUUAAAAGAGCGUUGUCAUCGAGGCCACCCCAAACCCUUGAAGCGUUGUGUUGAGGCGAUCCCAAACCCUAGAGAAGCAACGUCGAGGCCACUAACAUGAUUCCUUAUUGUGAUUAGCUAGCUAGUUCUACGUUUGCCACUAAUAUAUAUCCAUUUGUACCAUGCUUUUGAAUAAUAAUUGACAUGUUGUAAAUAUUUGCAGAAACUAUGGAGCACUACCGAGACGAAGCAACAGAAGCGAUGUUGGGGGAGAUGAUCGCAGAAGGAACUGAUGUUGUUGCGUCAUUUUUCACCGACGUCGUUCGUGAGGAAGGACUGGGUGAAGAAAAGGGCUAUGUUCAUGAUGGCUCCGGCCCAUUAAUGCCGGUACAAGAAGAGGGCUAUGUUCAUGAUGGCUCCGGUGAUGACCCAAUGGAGGUACAAGAAGGAGACCGUGCUGACUGCUCCGGUGACCGAACCGAGUCCGGCCAGGUAUAUAUAUAUUAGUUAAGCCCGUGAUGACUAGUUAAUUGAUGCAUUCAUUGUUUUGGUAUAUGUACACAUAUUAAUUACUCUCAUCUUUCUUCCUUUUAAUUUCUAUCCCUCUGGAUCGAGCACAACUUCGGUAAGGAGACGAGGCCGGAAGAAAAAGUUGAGCUCGGAUGAAAGGUUUGAGAUCAUAGAAAUCGCGCCCGACGGCGAACCGAUUGAACCCAUCUGGACAAAGAACGCAUUUUCUGCUCAGUGCGGGGUUCUUGUUAGGGACAAGAUCCCGAUCAGCAUCCAGCAAUGGUAUAAGCCUAAGGAUGACCCUGAGGUGUCUUAUGUCAAUGAUAUGCAGAAAGAAGAUCUUUGGACCCAGCUGAAGGCAAAUUUCACCCUACCGCCAGAGGAGGAUCCGGAGAAGCCAGUUAAAGAGAAAUUAAUCAAGUCUUGUGCUCUUAAGAAGAUGGCAACCCUAUUCAGGAGGUGGAGGAAAAAGUUGAACCAUCUUGUCGGAAAAAAGACACCAAAAUUCAUCGGCAAAUAUGAGAAGAUCAAAGAUCAUUGGCCCGCAUUUGUGGCCCACAAGACAUCGGAAAAGAGUAAGAAGAUGUCGGCGACGAACAAGCAAAAUGCUGCGAAGAAGAAGCUUCACCAUCGCACGGGGUCAGGUGGCUACCUCAAAGCCCGGCCUAAGUGGUCCAAGGCUGAGAAUGAUCUGCUUGAAAAAGGGAUCGAAUCAGAGACAAUGAGAUGGCCAGACCGUUGCCGGACUUGGUUCUUCGGGGCUAGCGGAACCUUGGACCCUGUAUCAGGGAUGUGCCGUUGGACGGAUGAGCAACUGGAAAUACCAGUCAAGAACCUUUGACACUAUAUCAAUGCAGCGCAGAAAGGGACAUUCGUACCAGACAGGGAGAAGGACGAGCUCACAAUGGCCCUCGGGAAUCCUGAGCACCCUGGACGGACACGAGGCACGCCAGGCUCCAUUCCGUGGAAGGUUGGUUUUCCGGACGCAGGGGGUUACAAAACCCACGAGAGGAGGAAGAAACUGGAGCAGGGCCAACUGCAGGCGCUGCACGAAAGGGUAAUGGGGCUAGAGGAACGAGAAGAGGAACGAGAAGCAGCAGAUCACAGCAAACGACCUGCUGAAGCUUCCCCCGAAGCUACCCCGCCAUCUCAGCGGAGAAGCAGCAUGGCUUCCACCGAGUUGCUUCAGCCGGAGCAUGUCUUGACGGCUCCUGCCAGCUAUCCCGUGGAUGCUAUCACGGAGUCUCAACACUGCCACAUUAUGGCACGAUGGAUGAAUUUGAAGGUCAAGGCGGUUGUUGGCUCUGUUUAUCCUAGUGGAUCCGGAGCAACUUAUCACUGACGGCCGAUUCCAGAAGGAUAUGCUAAGGUGAUGGUGGAUGAAAUAACGGAGGGAUUUGAGGACCUCGUGCUUGACCACCCUACCGGUGAAGGGGAGACUAGGCUGGGUUCUGCUUUGAAGACUCCAUGCCUAUGGCGGAAGGAGCUCAUCAACCUUCCGAACUGGACGCCUCCACCUCCUCCUCCUCCUCCGGCGAGUCAGGGCACUCCGCCUCCUCCACCGCCUCCUCCUCCGGCGAGUGAUGAUCAGGGCACGCGUGGCGGCACUCCGCCUCCUUCUCCGGCGCAUUGCGGCACUCCGCCUCCUUCUCCGCCUGCGCCGGCGCUCCCGAGCAGCCAGUAGCCUCCUCCUUCUCCGCCUCGCCAGCAAGGGUGGAAGAGACCCGCCGCCGCCCCGGCUGCUCCGGCGCAUCGUACUCCUUCUCCUCCGCCUCGUAAGCAAGCACGAAAGAAGACAGACGCCGCAGCCGCUCCGUCUGCUCCGGCGUCUAGCAGCACAACCAGAGGCGGGAGGCAAUACAGAUACGGUCCACCUCUCAAGCCUUUAGAGAAGUUACCGUAUGAGAGGACCGAGGAGGAAAACGGUACGAUUGUGCGGACCCAUGUGAAGUAGUUCUUUGAAGGGGUGAAAGCAAAGAGACAUCCACCUCCGGAGGAGAAGGUAGAUCCGGUGAAAGCAAAGCGCACUAUCGAUGCCCUGAGAAAUCCACCAAAGACUCCACCGAGAACCAAGUAUGAGCGCAUUACUGAACAAACAUAUCUCCAAGCCCAGCGGUCGGGAACUACUGUCAGUGCUAAAAGGUCAAAAGAACGAGCAAAGGGGAAAAAAUGCCCAGCUCGGCGAACAAGCACAGGAAUCAUGCCCCCGCUCAAUGUGUCUAAUGCUCCGGGGACGGUGGCCGGUUAUGGCAAUCCAGCAGAUUACCUGCCUGACAAUCAACUUCCUGAUUUCUUGGAGGUGGACGAACACAGGUACGAGUACGGGAAGCCUCUCAUCAAAGAUGAAAAAUCUCUGACAACAAUGAUGUGAACAUUCCAUAAUUGGUACAUGGAAACCUGCAGAGAGUCUGGGGGUACGAAUGCUUUGUAUCUGAAUAUUAAAGAGGAGCACGACCUCGUUGCAAAUGAUCUGUUGACUGUUCCAUUUGAUGAGUUCUUCGCGUUCUUCAAUCAAAAGGCCCUCGAUAAACUAAUGGUCUUUUGCUACUGUUUGUAAGUACUAUUUCUGUCAUUAAGUCUCUAUAUAUAGCUCGGCUCUUUCAUUUCAUGUAUUUAUAAUUAAUUAUCCUUAAUAUAUUAUGCAGAUUGAAGAUCAUCGAGUGCAAAAAACAAGAAAUUUAUGAUAUUGGGUUCAUUAACACAAAUAUCAUAGAUGAAUUUCUGGUUAAAAGGGACGUCAAAGAGGCCGAGGACAACGUGCUACAAUCGUUGAUCAAAAAUCAAAACAAAGAUACCAUACUCUUUCCUUACAACGGCAAGUGAGUGUUACUAUCGUGUGCAUAUUCGGUUUCCCUUAUUACUCGAGCGAGGUUAUAGUAAUGUAAUUGAUGAGUUAUGCAUGCAUGCGCAGGUACCACUAUAUUCUUCUGGAGAUUAAGCUUGAGCGUGGACUAGUAACCGUCUUAGACUCGAGACGGAAAGAUCCCAAAACCUAUGCGGACAUGACUGAAAUGCUCAGCAAGUAAGUUCAAUCAAUCAUUAUCGCGCCAUAUCGGCAACUUUUUGUUCAUUUCCUGAUAUCUCAAGUAAUAAUAAUUAUUUUCUGUCUUGCAUGGUUUGGAAACAGUUCACCGCACAAGCUCCGGGACUGCCGAAGGAGCUGCGAUAUACAUACCCAAAAGUAAGUACUACUGGCUAGCUAGAUGUGUGCAUCUCCCGUUGAUUCUAUAGCUAUACUUUCAUCAAUGCCAUUUAAAAUGCUUCAUUAUCAGUUUGAUUGACCUCUAUUUCUCGUAAAGUGCUUGUGGCAGGAAGAAGGGAAUGAUUUCUGUGGAUACUACGUGUGCGAGUUCACCCACAACGCGACUUUGAAAAACAAGCGGGGCUACUCUCAAAGACAAUAUAAAGUGCGUAAGCAAUAAUAUUCACAAUUUUAUUUUAUUACACCAUCAUUUCUGUUGAGUUUCUUUCAUAUAUAUGUAUUAAUUAACUCCAUUCUUCAAAUUAGACGUGGCAGAUGCGAAAUGAACUCCUAGAACCAGAUCGCAUGAAAGCAAUUCAAGAGGAAUUGGCGGGAUUCUUUCUUGACCACGUCAUCAAUAAAGCCGGAGAAUACCAUGUGGAAAUUGAUUUCAAUUGCUAGGGGAUUGUAAUUAAGAGAUCUUAUACAUAUUGUACAUGUAUGUAGCCAGUAGCGUCAGAUACAUGAUAUACGAAAACUUGUUGUUCGACCAAUCUCUCGGAGAAGGAGAUGUCGAUCGAUCACUUCUCUCGGUAUGCAUGACGAACUUCUGUACUCAGUGGUUCUCUCGAUCACUUAUGUAUAUAUAGUACGUAGCGUCGACCAAGCACGGACAUAAGAGAGGACACUUCUCUCUAUUAAUUAGCUAGCUAACACAAUAUAUGAAACACCUAAAUUAAGCCCCCAAAACCCCCAACCCCCCCCCCUCCUUUCAAAAAAAAAACAAAAACCCUAGCCACUGGAAGGCUGGUGCGUGGAUGACUUUUGGUCCCGGUUGGUAGCACCAACCGGGACCAAAGGCCCCCUGACUGGCCUCGGCGAACAGGGCUUCGUGGAGGCACAUUGGUCCCGGUUCGUGUUUGAACCGGGACUAAUGGUUGGAGGUAUUAGUAACGAUCCAUUAGUCCCGGUUCAUGAACCGGGACUAAAGGCCCUUACGAACCGGGACUGUUAGGUGUUUUUCUACUAGUGCACUUACACAUUGUAAGUCAUCAUUAUUCUUUCAACAUGUAGAGUAAUAAAAUUGUUUUUCUUUUCUUAGUAGUGUGCCAUACAUGGAUCAUUAUUCAUGCACAAACAGAAUGCAGUUUUCAUGCGUGAUGGUGAUUUGGAUAAUAGUCUAUGUGUAUUCACGUUACUUCUGCAUCUUCCAACUUCCGCAAGCAUAAAUUUCAAAUAUGCCUUGCCAUUUGGCGUGGUCAUAUUUAUUUCCAUCUGUCCAGUGCCAAAAAUUACAGCAGUCUGUUUUCCGUUUAUGUUUUGGUAUGCGUACAUAUCCUCUCAAUGAAAGACCAGAGUCCAUUUUACUGUGUUAUAUCUGUACAAAAGGAAAGUAUGACAAUGCAGAAAUGUCUUCUACCAAUAUUUUUAUAUACAUGUGAAGCAUUAUAUUUGUUGUUGAGCGGUUGAUUAGUGGAACUAACUAAUGCGGGCGAAUUAUGCAGCCAUGCUAUCUACUUGAAAUGGUUUGAUAACAAACUUCCUAACUAGAGGAUGCUAUAGCCAACAUUAUUUCUUCUCCGAAAGAACAUAGAUAGACUGCACGAGUAUGUCUAGUUCACCAUAUCAUCUCGUGGCCUGUUUUAUUCACAGAAAUUACAUUCCGAGUUAAUAAGUUCAAAGGGUACCGAUAGGAUACUAUGCUGUGUAGAUAUUAGAGUGAAUCAUAUACUAUCAAGCUUUUGUCAUACAAUUUUCAGAUUUGCAGUCUUGGUGAAAGCAAAAAAAAAAAGAGCCAGAAUAGCAUUUUUAGGUUGUGAAAAAGUGCUUGGGUUUGUUAAUUAAAAGAUACUACAACGACCCCCGAAUAGAAAUAUUAAAUUCUUAUAGUUGUGGCCGAUGUGAUGUAUAAUGAAGUGGUUUGAAUUCACCUAUUUAAUUUCCCAACCGCUAGGAAUUUUUUACUAUUGGCGAUGUUAGAUGUUUCUGUUAUGUCCCUUCUACCAAUCAUUAGAAUCCUGGCUUGCCUCUUAAAAAAUUAAAACUAUUUGUAUCUUCUUUAGACUGCGCCAUACAUGGAGCUAACCGUUAGUUACACACAUAACAUAUGUUGUUUUGAUUAGAUAUGGAGAUUUGCAAAAUAGUCUACAUGUAUUGACAUUACUUCUGCAUCUCCCAACUUCUCUAAGAACAAAUUUCAAAAAUACCUUACCACUUGACAUGGUUUUUUUUAUUUCCGCAUGUCAACUCCCAUGAGUAAACAAAUUUUGUUUUCCCUCAUGUUGAAAAUAGUAAUGGAUUUUUUAUUUUUCCCCAACUCGCAAAUUAGUUGCGACUUUCAAAAACUUCGAAGCUACAAACACAAUUGAGUAAUUUACAUGAGAGUUUUUUUAAACUUUUUUGGACUUAUUCAUUUUUUGAAAGGGUUCAUGUGGUCCUAAAAAUAAUCAAAGAUUUCAAGAAAGAGUGUGCCUUAUUAUUCCCUGUCCAUCCUAACUAAUACUUUAUUCAGUAAUGCACUAGCAUUGGAGUCGACAUUAAUGUUUUAAAAUCUUGUUGUGUCACUAUGAUGUGCCCUCAUGAGCAGUUGGGACUUCCAAUGUAUUAUGUUGGAGCACAAUUAAUUUAUGAGACUUUUCUAGAUUUUCUAUCCAAACUCUUGAUAUGCAUGAACAUAACUACAAGUAUAAACAUAUGUUAAAUUAGUUUGGAUCAUACUUGACUUGUAACGUAUGCAAGAAUAUCUUCCUAACCUUAAUAUUUUUAGUAUAUGCUAGAGUUACUAGAUAUGCAUUCUUGCUUAACUGAACUUGUUCUGGAAGAUGUACAUGUACAUGGUGCACUGCGCUUUGUUAGAACUGUUAUUUAGUACUCCCUCUGUCAAGAAAUAUAAGAACAUUUAGAUCACUAAAGUGGUGAUCUGAACGCUCUUAGAACGCUCUUAUAUUUCUUUACAGAGGGAGUACAAUAAUAGGCUCUUCCUUGGUAUUGUGUGAGUUUAUAAAGCUUAUUUGUUACAAACAUAUUCUAUGCAUUUGUAUUUUAUACUUUUUGUACAUCUUACUACAACAAACAUUGCUAAAGCAAUUGUUUGAAGUACCCAAAGUUUCUAUUUGUAAAAUCAAAUAGUUUUAAUUGCAUAUUUGUUUUAAAUAUUUGUUUACCAUGAGCAACACAUAUUAAUAGUUCAGAGUAACUUAAUUUCAAUCUUAAAUUAAUUAAAGAUGUUAACAUUAAACUUCAUGAAUUCUAGCCCGCGCAUCGAGGGGGCCACUUUGCUAGUUAAGAACAAAAAACAAGUCGAUGUGUUGGUGUUAAAUGGAUAAAACAAUUGAGAUAUCAGAAAGACCGAUAAAAGACUGGCCACGGAGAGCAAAGUAACAACCACUAACAUGACCGAACAGAAAUAUUCUGGUGUUUGCAUGAAUAGCACCAUAGGGACAAAAAAAUGUGUGCAAAGGAAAUGACAAGGACAGGAGAAGACAUGUUGCAGGCGUCUCAUAUAUCAGGCAGGUCCUCGUUAGUAUACCACCAGCAUGCAGGAAGCAGAUUUGUAGCACUCGGGUGCUCCACACCCCUAUACGAACAUUAAAUUCGUAAAAGGGAAUAUAAAGAAUUUGAAAAAAAAAUCUAGGAUUUUGGGAUAUCAAACCUGGGUUUCCGAUCUACUCCCGUGUGAAAUUUCGUUAAAAAUACCAGAAAACAUAUUCAUGGCAAGAAAGACAAAAAUUUCCUGUGCAUAGAAAAAAAACUGUUUGGAUGAUUUUUUUUUUGUUCGGACAGUAUUUCCUUCACCACGGAUACGUCUCCUGAUAUUUUUUCAUGAAACUUCUCACGGGAGUAGAUUGGGAACUCAGGUUUGAUAUCCCCAAAUUUCAGAUUUUUUUGAAUUUUUUUGGUUUUUUUUACAGUUAAUAUUUGUAUAGGGGUGGCGGAGCACCCAGGAGCUCCUGUGUAUUUUCCCAGCACGCGGCACUACACUUACACAAUAGCAGCCCGUUUAAAGAGUAGCUUCUAAUCAUCUACACAGAGUGUGGAAAACUAGAACAACAUUACUAAGGGUAUACAUUUGUAGCCUGAUAAGUAUAUAAAGCGUGCUCAACAUCAUAAGUCUCACCGAUGUACCAACAAAUAUAACUAUGACAGGUUCAGUGUUAGUAAGCUCCAGACUCUCAUCUGCCUCAAAAUUUAAAGCUGCAUCACCCCAAGAUAAGGAAUCAGUUGGCGCACUUGAGGAAACAAAGGCUAUAAGAAUAAACAUGGGACCAAAAAUAGAAACACCAUGUUGUCUAGCUUAAGGAAUGUAAAGAUCAACUGCUAUAAUUUUAUUUACAAUGUGUCUCACUCACAUAAAAUUGAUCGGUCCGGAUAUAAUGAAUCCCGUCUUGAACAACACUGUACACUGUAUGCAGUUUAGAAUUAUUACGAAAUCUGAAACCUAAGCAAUUUAAGUUAGCAAGUAAAAGGCAAAUUUCAAAUUAACUCCUCUAUCAAAUAUAUAGUUAGAAGUUACGACUGAAGUAUUCUUUCUGUGACACUUCCCUAAACAUUACAGGUAUAAUACGCAUUCUUCUUCAUUUUGUUUAUGUAGAGUUGUUCUUUCACGCGAACCAACCUGUCGUUGGAUGGUUAGAGGGACUGUGGUAUCCCCAGCCCACCAGGAUUCAAAUCCUGAUGCUCGCAUAUAUUUCUGGAUUUAUUUCAGGAUUUCCGUCGAUGUGCAUUCAGUGGGAGGAGACGUUCCCGUCAAUGACGAGGUGACUACGGUGACUUCGUAAAUUUCAAGAUGUAUGCCGACUUAGUCUUUCGGAGGUGCUCACAGGGGUAGGAUGUGCGUCCAUGCGUUCAUAGGGGCGAGUGUAUGCGCAUGUAUAUGAGCACUUGCGUCUGUACUGUGUUCAAAAAAAAGUUGUUCUCUCAUUUCACACUUCCUAGAUGCCCACUCCAUGCAGAUCACUAUGCCCACAGGUACCCAAAAAAAAUGCACAACAAAUAAACAGUAACAUUAUACAUUGCAGAUAACAGGAGAAAAGAACAUGAAAGAAGUGAGGGAGAGCAAGAUCGUUGGCCAGAAUGGGCAUACCUGCAACUGCAAGGUUGCAUGAUUUUAGGGACGGCGGGUAGUGAAUCAGUCCAUGGCAGACAAAGGUGCAGGUGGUGGAGAUGUCACCUCGCAUCUUGGUGCAUCAUAUGCGCCGCGGCUUGGUUUCUAAAAAUAUGCACCGACACCUAUGAUUACUUCAUGGCCGCACCAUGGGUCGCACAUGUGAGCAAAAGAUGAAGCGACACUACAAUGCUCACCUGCAAAGGAUAUCUAGUCUGAUGGGUGAAUAGGGGCGUGAGGCGGCCAGGCGCCCAGGCAGGUAACUGCCGCCGUCGUCCUCGCCUGCUACUGCGAAAGGGGCGAGAAAGGCUGGAGAGAAACAACACCAUGGAACACCGGGGCAGUCGCUGCCUCGGUCGCCAGCGUUGCUAAGGUUUCUCGAGCGGCCGAGAGAGCGAGAUGGAGGAGAUCAGGAGGCGCAAAGAGAGAUGAGGAAAAAAAAAACGUCGAGGGUGGAGACGUCCCUGUUAUGCCUUUUUUUUAUUUUGAGAAGAAGCCCUGUUGCCUUUGCUUCUACCGGUCACCAAAUGGGCUGAGCAAAGAAAUCGGCCAGAUAGCCCAGUUAACGGCAAUGCUCCCAAAAUGCUACAAGAGUAGCUGCCCACAGGGGCAUAUCCUAAACGGCGCCUUCAGCUGCCGUAAUAAUAGAGAGCAACUGGUUGACGAGCGCUCCUUCAGGAGCCUCGCAAUGGCGGGCUCUCAACCGCCGUCACAUGUCAUGCCUGAGUGCUUUCUUCAAAUUUUUUUUUUCCGCACGUGUUUUCUGCUUUUUAAAUGGUUUUUUUGGGGGGGUUUCAACUUUUCGGUUUUUCACUGACCUUUCUUAGCUUUUCGACAAAAAAAAUUGACGUGAAAAAACAUGCUUUUUUUUCUUCUUUAAGAGGCACGGUUUUACUUUCACGAGAGGCAUGGUUUUGCUUCCGCGAGAUGCACGGUUGUGCCUCUCGGAAAUGAAGAAAAUGUGUUUUUACUGCUUUUUUUCUUCCGCGGGAGGCACGGUUUUGGUUCUGCGACGUGCCUCUCGAAAAUGAAAAAAAUGGGUUUUCUCUUUUUUUCACGAGAAGCACAGGUUUGCUUCUGCAAGAGGCACGUUUUUGCUUCCGUGAGAGGGCACGGCCGUGCCUCUAGAAAACAAAAAAACACGUUUUCUCUUUUUUUUCGUGAGAGGCACGUUUUUCUUUUGUGAGAGGCACGGUUUUGCUUCCGCGACGUGCCUCUCGAAAACCGAUAAAAUGGGUUUUUUCUUUUUUUUCAUGAGAGGCAUGGUUUUGCUUCUGCAAGAGGCAUGGUUUUGCUUCCGCGAGAGGCUUGGUCGCGCCUCUCAGAAAUGAAAAAAAAAGUGUUUUCUCUUUUUUUCGCGAGAGGCAAGGAUUUGCUUCCGUGAGAGGCACAACCGUGCCUCUCGGAAACGGCUUCCGGAAAGUGAAAAAACGUACUCCCGGUUCGGUUUUUGGGUCUGUUUUUUUCGUGACAUAUUUUUUCAUAAAAACCUAUCAACAUGGGAUCUAGUUUUGAAGAUCUCAGCGCGAGGAAUUCAGUGAUAAAUUGCGACAAGUGGUGCAGCCUGAGGUGGAUUCGAAACCACAUCGCGGUACAUCUACUUCCUUUCUUGUUCAUUCUUUUUCUUUUUUCUUUUUUCCUUUUCUUCCUUCUUUUUACUUUUUCCAUUUUCUUUUAUCUAAUUUGAUGAAGAAGGUUCACUGCAUUUUAUGAACGUUUAUUUAAGUUUGAUAAACUUUUCAAAUUCGAUUAACCUGUUUCAAAUUCGAUGAUCUUUUUUUAAACUAGUGAACUUUUUUGAAGAUGAUGAACUUUUUUUCAAAUCGGUGAACGUUUUUGCAAAUCUGAUGAACUUUUUCAAAUUCGAUUAACUUUUUUCAAGCUGGUGAACUUUUUAAAAAAAAUUGUGAACUCUUUUAAGCUUGUAAUUUUUUAAAAAAAAUUGUGAACUUUUUCAGAUUCACGGACUUUUUAUUUUUGCGAUUUUUUAAGUGAACGGUGAGCAGUCGCCUGUUCAACUAUGAUCAGUCAAAACUGCACUUGAGUCAUUUGUCGAGAAGAAAAAGUGCGCUUGAGUGACCAGGGAGAAACUGAGCGCUAGCCUUAUAUGGUCCGACCCAGCACGUUGCUUAGUGAGCGCCCGUUCAUCCAAGUGGUGCUUAAGGCGCCACUUAAGAGGUCCCGCCCACAGGACAUCUAGAUCGGACGACCAGAAAUAUUUUGGACACGAAAUCGGACGGCCGUGAGAGGGCUCGGAUUUUUUUUAAACUAGUGAACUUUUUGAAGAUGAUGAACUUUUUUUCAAAUCGGUGAACGUUUUUACAAAUCUUAUGAACUUUUUCAAAUUUGAUUAACUUUUUUCAAGCAGGUGAACUUUUUUUAAAAAAAUUAUGAACUUUUUUAAGCUUGUAAUUUUUUUAAAAAAAUUAUGAACUUUUUCAGAUUCACGAACUUUUUAUUUCUGCGAUUUGUUUAAGUGAACGGUGAGCAGUCGCCUGUUCAACUAUGAUCAGUCAAAACUGCACUUGAGUCAUUUUUCGAGAAGAAAAAGUGCGCUUGAGUGACCAGGGAGAAACUGAGCGCUAGCCUUAUAUGGGCCGACCCAGCGCGGGGCUUAGUGAGCGCCCGUUCUUCCAAGUGGUGCUUAAGGCGCCACUUAGGAGGUCCCGCCCACAGGAUAUCUAGAUCGGACGACCAGAAAUAUUUCGGACACGAAAUCGGACGGCCAGAACGGUGCAGGUUGUGAGAGGGCUCGGAUUUGGUGCGGUUUUACUGUCCUUAAUUAGUUCCCAAUAUGUACGCAGACAUGUAGGACUUUCUUAGGCCAUAAUUAUCUCUCAUAUGUCAGACUUAUUAUAUAUCUGUAAUAAACAUUCACAAGUUUUUUCAAAUGCUUUCUUAAUACUAUUAGUAGGAUUCAAGUAAUUCUCCAUUAAUUCUGUGUAAAAACGUAGGUUCAUGUUAUCAAUGCCAUGGGUUAUGCUCAUCUCCUCCAUCUUUUAUUUUCUCAUAGGACAUGAACCAUUGCUUGGUAUGUGACAAAAAAGGAGAAUUACACAUGACAUGGUUGUGCUAGAUGAUUUUUUAUUCGACUCAUGAUGUUCACAUACUACUUGGCUUUAAGGAUCGAAUGCCUUCGAGCGCUAUUUUUUUUAGUGCAAUCCAAAUUGGGAUACCUCUCAAGCCAAACAAUUUUGAAUCCUUAUUUCCAAUCAUGACGUUGUCCUGCAUGUGCGAUGAGGAUAUAAACGGAGGACAAGGAGUAGUCGCCUUCUUGGUUUGGCCCUUCCACUUUGACACUCAUUCUAUGGCUCAAUGUAACCAAACCAGGAGUUCAUUCCAAUUCUGAGUACAAUCCUUAUUUUUUUUCACUAUCAUGUGGAUUCGUUUGUGUCGGCUGCAUUGCGUUCUAUAAAUUGUGAACGGUGUGAAUGGGGUACAUUUCUAUGAUAUGAUGCAAAAGAAGUACUUGCAGAUAUGUCACAUGGGUAAGAACAUGCAUGUUGUGUCUCUGUUCAUUUACAAUAACUAGGUUUCUUUCAAAUGUUUUCUGAAUAGUGCUCAUCACGGGUACUUGCCAAAUACUUUUUCUUCCUGACAGAUUAGAAAAUAAUAAUUUUCUUGCUUUGGGCGCUUCUUGAUUUCUCCAUCAUAAAAACAAAAGUAACAUAUGCAAAUUUGUUAAUCAUUACCUGUGAAAUGGAGGGGAAGUACUACAGGUCAGAGCUGAAGAUCUAAUGUCGAUCGAUUCAACUCCUAGAAUUAUGGAUUUCUUAAAGUAAUCCAACAAUGCAAUUAUCUAAUACAAUAUUUUAUAUAUUGUUAUUAAUGUAAUCUAAUAAUCUUUCUUUGAUGUGUGUUGAUAAGAAUGAUAAGAUAACCCUAAAGGGUGGUGUUGGAGAUUUUGACUUAAUGUAAAUGUAGUAAUAGUUCACAUUCUAUACUUCUCAAAAAUAUUUUCAUGCUUAUUUGUAAAUUUGACCUUUGUUUGGGAAAAGAAAUAAAGAACAUUCUGCACAUUACAUGAGGGUAUACAACUUUAACCAAUAAGAUACAUUUUUCACAUCACUCGACUUUAGGUCGGUUCUAUAACCAAAUUUAUUAUAUAAAUAUAUGCAUUGGUCGAUUUCAUCAAAUUGCUAAAAUUAUAUUUAUCUACAAAUUAUAGAUACCACACGGACAAGUUUAUCUCAAUGAACAUUUGAGCUAUUGGUUAAAGAAAUAUGCAAUUUUAUCAAUUUUGGGAACUAAACUAUUAGCCCAGUGCCUAGUGUCAGUCGCUGUUUUUUUCCUAUUUCUGAUUUUCCAGAAAAUCAGUGCCAAAUGGAGUCCAAAUGCUACGGAACUUUUUGACGAUUUUUUUGGACAAAAGAGACCCUAAAAGCUUCGGGGGAGACCGGACGGCAAACACGGACACGGCAAAGCAACAGGGCGCGCCCUGGGGGUGUAGGCGCACCCUGAUGCCUUGUGGGCCCCACGUACCUCCGUCUGACCUAAUUCCACUUUUAUAAAUUCUAAAAUAUUGGGAAAACCCUAGAGAAACACCCGAAAUACUUUUUCCGUUGCCGCAAGUCUCUGUUCUUCUGCGAUCUCAUCUAGAUGCUUUUUCUGGUACACUGCCGGAGGGGGAAUCGAUCACGGAGGGCUUCUACGUCAACCUUGAUGCCUGACCGAUGAUGUGUGAGUAUUUUCACCACAGACCUAUGGGUCCAUAGCUAGUCUCUAGAUGGCUUCUUCUCUUUUUUUGAUCAUCAAUACAAUGUUCUCCUUGAUAUUCUUGGAGUUCUAUCAGAUAUAAUCUUCUUUCGCGCUGUGUUUGUUGGGAUCCGAUGAUUUAUGGGUUUAUGAUAACAUUAUUAAUUGAAAGUAAUCGAGUCUUUUCUGAACUUUAUUAUGCAUGAUUAUGAUAUCUUUGUAUUUCUCUUCCGGUCUAUCUGUUUGGUUUGGCCAACUAGAUUGAUUUAUCUUCGGUUGGACAAGUGCUUUGUAGUGGGUUCAGUCUUGCAGUGUUUGAUACGUCUCCAAUGUAUCUAUAAUUUUUUAUUGUUCCAUGCUAUUAUAGUAUCAAUCUUGGAUGUUUUAUAUGCAAUUGUACGCAAUAUUAUAUCAUUUUUUGGGACUAACCUAUUGAUGUCUACUACACAAUAUUUCUUCUAGUAGACUCGUGUUGGGCCUCCAAGCACAAAGUUUUGUAGGAUGGGGAAGCAUCUGACUCUUUCUCGAUGGGACAGGGAGUAGCAAUUUUCCCUCAAGUGGAUGACCAAAGGUUUAUCAAUCCGUGGGAGGCGUAGGAUGAAGAUGGUCUCUAUGAAACAACCCUGCAACCAAAUGACAAAUAGUCUCUUGUGUCCCCAACACACCCAAUACAAUGGUAAAUUGUAUAGGUGCACUAGUUCGACGAAGUGAUGGUGAUACAAGUUUAAUAUGGAUAGUGGAUAUAGGUUUUUGUAAUCUGAAAAAUAUAAAAACAGAAAGGUAGCAAGUAGUAAAAGUGAGCAAAAAAGGUAUUGCAAUGCUUGAAAACAAGGCCUAGGGUUCAUACUUUCACUAGUGCAAAAUCUCUCAACAAUGAGAACAUAAUUGGAUCAUAUAACAAUCCCUCAACGUGCAAUAAAGAAUCACUCCAAAGUUUCUAUCCGAGAACGUAGGACAAAAAUGUGCAUCAACCCCUAUGCAUAGUUUACCCCAAUGUCAGCUCGCGAAUCCGCGAGUUGAGUGCCAAAACAUACAUCAAGUGAAUCAAUAUAGUACCCCAUUGUCACCAGGGUAUCCAUAUGCAAGACAUACAUCAAGUGUUCUGAAAUCCAAUAUUCAAUCCAACAUAACGAAACCUCAAAGAGUGUUCUGAAAUCCAAUAUUCAAUCCAACAUAACGAAACCUCUAAGAGCAAGACUCAAUUCAUCACAAGAAGGUAGAGAGAGAAGAACACCAUAAGAUCCAAAUAUAUUAACAAAGCUCGCGGUACAUCAAGAUCAUGCCAGAUCAACAACACGAGAGAAGGAGAUCAAACACAUAGCUACUACUACAUACCCUCAGCCUCGAGAGUGAACUACUCCAUCCUCGUCAUGGAGACCACCGGGUUGAUGAAGAUGGCCUCCGAUGAUGAUUUUCCCCUUUGUUAGGGUGCCGGAACGGGGUCCCGAUUGGUCUUUCAUGGCUACAGAGGCUUGCGGUGGCGGAACUUUUUCUCAUCUAUGGUUCUUUCUGGGGGUUUUGGUAUAUGUAGGAUUUUUUGGCGUAGGUCUCACGUCAAGGGGGUGCCCUAGGGGCCCACAAGCUUGGGGGCGCGCACCCAGGCUUGUGGCUCCUCGGUCACCUCCUGGUCUAGCUCCGGUGCUUCGGGGGUGUCUUUUGGUCCAUAAAAAAUCACCGUAAAUUUUCAGCCAAUUCCGAGAACUUUUAUUUCUGCACAAAAAACGACAGCAUGGUAGUUCUACUGAAAACAUCGUCAGUCCGGGUUAGUUCUAAUAAAAUCAUACCAAAACCAUAUAGAAUUGUUGCAAACAUGGCAUGAAUACUUCAUAAAUUAUAGAUACGUUGGAGACGUAUCACCUAUAACUUAGUGCCAAGUGCCAGUUGCUGUUUUUUUUAAUAUUUUUGGUUUUCUGGAAAAUCAGUACCAAACAAAGUCCAAAUGCCACGAACCUUCUUUAAGAUUUUUUGGACAUAAGAGACCCUAGCAACUUUGGGAGGAGGCCAGAAGGCGAAGGAGUAGGCCACAAGCCACAUGGGCAGCCCAUGUGCCUUAUGGGCCCCUCGUUCCUUCGUUUGACCUAAUUCCAACUCUAUAAAUUCUCUAAAAUCGGGAAACCAAUAGGGAGCUACCCGAAACAAUUUUUCCGCCGCCACAAGCUUCUGUUCUCCCGAGAACCCAUCUGGAGGCCUUUUCCGGUACUCUGCCGAAGGGGAAUCGAUCACGGAGGGGCUCUACAUCAAUCUUGUUGCCCUUCCGAUGAUGUGUGAGUAGUUCACCAAUGACCUACUUUUCCAUAGCUACUAGCUAGAUGGCUUCUUCUCUCUCUUUGAUCUUCAAUACAAUGUUCUCCUUGAUGUUCUUGGAGAUCUAUCCGAUGUAAUCCUCUUUUGCGGUGUGUUUGUUGGGAUCCAAUGAAAUGUGGGUUUAUGAUCCGAUUGUCUGUGAAUAUUAUUUGAGUCUUCUCUGAACUAUUUUGUGCAUGAUUAUUAUAGCUUUGUAUUUCCCUCCAAUCUAUUGAUUUGGUUUGACGAACUAGAUUGAUUUAUCUUGCAAUGGAGAGGUGCUUUCUAAUGGGUUCAAUCUUGCGAUGCUCAAUCCCAGUGAUAGAAAGGGACAUGACACAUAUUUGUAUUGUUGUGAUUAAGGAUCAAAAUAUGGGGUUUGUUCAUAUUGAUUGUGUUUACUUUGUCUACAUCAUGUCAUCUUAUUUAAGGCAUUGCUUCAUUCUUUAUGAACUUAAUAUUCUAGAUGCAUGCUGGAUAGCGGUCGAUGUGUGGAGUAAUAGUAGUAGAUGUAGGUAGGAGUCGGUCUACUUGUCUCAGACGUGAUGCCUAUAUACAUGAUCAUUGUCUUGGAUAUCGUCAUAACUAUGCUAUUUGCUAUCAAUUUCCAACAGUAAUUUGUUCACCUACCAUAGGCUAUGUUCAAGAGAGAAUCCUCUAGUGAAAACCAUGGCCCCCAGGUCUAUAUUUCUCGCAUAUUAAAAUCCAAACUUUGCUACAAUUUAUUUACCAUUUUUUAUUUUGUGUUUUGUUUAUCUAUCUAUCACUAUGAGAUUGGUCCUUGCAAUUAACCGCCAAGUGAUUGACAACACCUUGUUUGCAUUGGGUGCAAGUAUUUGUUAUUUUGUGUGUAGGUGUUGUUCACGAGGUCUUGCAUGGUUCUCCUACUGGAUUGAUAAUCUUUGUUCUUAACUGAGGGAAAUACUUAUCUCUAUUGUACUACAUCAUCCUCUCCUCUUUGGGGAAAUCCCAACGCGGCUCACAAGUAGCAGGAAGAAUUUCUGGCAUCGUUGUCGAGGAGACAUCACCAAAACCUAUCAAGUACCAUGUCAUAAACUUUCAUAUCCUUGCAUUUACAUUAUUUUCCAUUUGCCUCUUAUUUCCAUCCCCCCCUUCUAAAACGCUCUCACAAAAACAUAAAAAUAUUUUUUGUUUGUCUUUUUGCUUGUUGCUUGCUUGAAGUUGUUAUCAUAUCUGAAUUUAUUACCGAAAAGGGUGAAGAGGGUACAAUCCCUAAGGUUGAAAUUACCUCAAAUUUGAUGCCAAAAAUUUUGUAAUGGGAAGUGCGAAUAUCGGAGGAAAAAGCAUCAUUCAAGAAUUCUUUAAUUGUACGGGAACUUUGGUUUGCGAUGACAUUCCUAUUCUUAGAAGAACCAAAAGUUAUGUCGAAGCUAUCUCCGCACUUAUUCUUAAAGUUGAAAGAAGAUUUAUUCGCACACAUCUUGCAAAGAUUGUUUUAUGAGUUUCCAGUUAUAAAUAAUCCACCCUUAUCCUCAUGAAUGAAUUUGAUUACAUAGUGCGAGAAGCUAGAGAGAGUUUUGAUUUUCACAAUAUGAACCAUGAGCAUCCUGUGAUGGAUGAGAUUUUAUAUAAUGAACAUUACUUGUUGAGAUAUUUAUUUUGUGAUAACCAUACUUUUGAUGAGAAUACCUAAAAGGAAGUCCCUCCUUUAAACAUAAUCCAACAAGUUUUCAAUGGUAUUAAGAAACAGUAUUCUUGAUUGUAAAAGGGAACCAAGAAGGAUUUGAGGAUCAUGCUUAAUAACGCUAAAAUUUCGAUUGAUGAUGUGUUCCAUAUUGUUUCCGAAAAGCCUCCUGAUAAAAACACAUCUCUAGAUGUGAAAAGAAAGAUGACAACACAAUUGAAACUAUGCAUUACGCCUAGCUAGGGGCGUAGAAUAAUAGCGCUUGUUGGGAGGCAAACCAAUAGCUAUCUCUAAUUUUCUUGUUUUUUUCUGGUUUUUUUAUGUGCACACAACUAUUCUACUAUUUAUGUUGUGUUUUUGUGUUUAAAUUAGUGUUUAUGACAAGUAAAGCCUUUGGGAUGAUUUGGUUGAUAGUUGAUUCGAUUCUGUGAAAAAACAGAAACUUUUGUGCUCACUCAGUGAAUUUUCUAAAAUUACUGGAACGUGUCUUUGAUCUGAAUGUUUUACACAUGAUUGAUAUACAAAUUUCCACGUUUUCCCAAUUUUUUAGAAUUUUUAGUGUUAUAGAAGUAUAGUCAUUAUUCAGAUUACUACAGAUUGUUCUGUUUUUGAAAGAUUAUAUUUUUGUUGCAUUGCUUUCUUGUUUUGAUGAAUCUAUGGAUUGUAUCAGGGGGUAUAAUCCAUGGUGAAGUUAGAAUACAGUAGGUAUCAUAAAAUAAUAAAAUAUGAAUGAGUUUACAACAAUACCUAAAAUUUGUGAUUUGGUUAUUAUACUAACGGAUCUCACGAAUUUUUUGUUGAGUUUUGUGUGCUGAAGUUUUCAUGUUUUGAGUGAGAUCACGAUUGAUGAAGGAAUAAGGAGUGGCAAGAGCCUAAGCUUGGGGAUGCCCAUGGAACCCCAAGGAAAUUCUAAGGACUCCCAAGCAUCUAAGCUUGGGUAUGCCCCGGAUGGCAUCCACUCUUUCGCCUACCAACCAUCGGUAAAUUACUUGGAGCUAUAUUUUUAUUCAUCGCACGAUGUGAGUUUUGCUUGGAGCGUCUUGUAUUAUAUGACUCUUUGAUUUAUUUGCCUUUUAGUUUGCCACAAUCAUCUUUGCUGGACACACCUUUUUGAGAGGGAUACACAUUGUUUGUGAUUUGUUAGAAUACUCUUUGUGCUUCACUUAUACCUUUUGAGGAAGGCAGUUGCUCUAGUGUGUCACUUAUAUCUUUUAGAGCACGACACUGGUUAUAUUUAAAAAAAAUAGUUGCACUCCCAUGAUUCACUUAUAUCAUUUUGAGAGUUGAUAAAAGUAACGGCAAUACGCACAAGUUAUGAAAUUGGUCCUAAUAUGAUAGGUAUUCAAGAGGGAUAUACUUAAAACUUUCAUGUAGAUCACUGAAUAUGAUAAGUUUGAUUCCUUGCAAUAGUUUUGUGAUAUAAAGAUGGUAAUAUGUGGAGGUACUAGUGAAUGAUUGUGGUUUAGUAAGAAUAUUGGUUUGAAGGUUUGUGAUUCCCGAAGCAUGCACGUAUAGUCUCUCGUUAUGCUAAGAGGUUGGAGCAUGAUUUAUUAUUGAUUGUCUUUCUUAUGAGCGGUGGUCGGGGAUGAGCCAUAGUCUUUUCCUAUCAAUCUAUCCCCCCUAGGGGCAUUCGUAAUAGUACUUUGCUUCGAGGGCUAAUGAACUUCCACAAUAAGUAUGUGAGUUCUUUAUGACUAAUAUGAGUCCAUGGAUUAUACGCACUCUCACCUUUCCGCAAUUUAUUAGCCUCUUCGGUUCCAUGCAAUGCCCUUUCUCACCUCGAGAUGUGGUGCAAACUUCGCUGGUGCAUCCAAACCCCAUGAUGUGAUACGCUCUAUCAUACAGAAGGCUCCUUAUAUCUUCCUCAAAACAACCACCAUACCUACCUAUUAUGGCAUUUCCAUAGCCAUUCCGAGAUAUAUUGCCAUGCAACUUACAGCGUUAUGUUUUUAUGACACACAUCAUCAUUGUCAUAUGCUUGCAUGAUCAUAUAGCUGACACAGUAUUUGUCGCUCAGCCACCAUUCAUCAUACAUGUUACGCUAGAUCAUUGCACAUCCUGGUACACUGCCAGAGGCAUUCAUAUAGAGUCAUAUUUUGUUCUAGUAUCGAGUUGUAAUUUUGAUAUCUAAGUAGAAGUGUGAUGAUCAUCAUAAUUCAUUAUUAGAGCAUUGUCCCAAGUGAGGAAAUAGAAAAAGGGGCCAAAAGUAUCCCAACAAAAAAUGAGAGAAAAAGAAAGAAGGGGUAAUGUCACUAUCGUUUUCCACACUUGUGCUUCAAAGUAGCACCAUUUUUUCAUAUAGAGUCUCAUAUGAUUUCACUUUCAUAUAACUAGUGUGAAUCUUUCAUUAUAGAAUUUGGCUUGUAUAUUCCAAUGAUGGGCUUCCUCAAAUGCCCGAGGUCUUCAUGAGCAAGCAAAUUGGAUGCACACCCACUUAGUCACUACAAGAAAUAUGUCAACUAGUGACCUUCUGUCAGUGACCCUGGAAGAAUUGCUGAUAGAUCUAUGACCAUUUGAGACCAAUUGGUCAAAAGCUGUUCGGGGGGCUCCAAACCCUAAACCAUUGCGACCAUUUUGGUCAGAAAGGUCGUAAUUUCCUUACACUAAAUGGUCACAAAGCAAAUAGUGCUGGUCCGCUGCCUUAUUUCUAGUUGUUAACGACCAAUAUAGAUGGUCAUAGCCUUGCAGAUUGUGCUGGGUUGUGAUGACUAGGCACCAUCUCAUCAGUUUUGCCUAUGUGUCAUGACCAUGUGUCAAUUUCUGCCCUAGGUUGUGAAGCAACAUAUAUUUCUGUUAUUCCAAAAAUUCCCAAAAAAUUCUCAUAAAUUGUUUGGAUCAUAUCUUCAUCUAAUAUGUCAAAAACCUUCCUUGCCUAGUUCAAAAAUAACUCAACAAUAUUCAUUUUCCUAUUUUGUUCAAAGCAGCACUUUGUGAAGGAAGUACCACUUUGGCAUGUCCAAAUGGUAUCCAUUUUCUACAGUGCUUUCCUAUGCCCAAAUAACCAUCCUCCACCAAAUGCCAGCUCAAUCCAUUCCUUAUUUUGAGCCCAGCUUCAACAUUCGUAUUUAUGUCCAGUGUGGUACUUUGCAAAGCAAGUACCACCUAGGCUCCUCCUUUUGAGGUGAAAAUUUGUGAAGAUGGUCUUCUUAGUAACUGAUAAUCCUCAGCCAAAACCCACGCCCAUUAGCCAUGUGCAUUUCCUGUACCACAAAUCAAACACUUGGCUGCUUAUUCAUGUUUGAGCAUCGAUCGGUCUACUCGUGAGAAUCUUAUGUUGUGAUUUUCUUCCUAGCACCUACCUGGAAGUGCCCAACCCACUAGAAAUUCUUAGGCCGCCCGGAACACAUGGCAACGCCACGGUCACGCGGUGACCACGCGGCGGGCAUGCGAGCUUACGCGCUCUAGAGUUGGGGCCCUCGGCCAUCGUCCAAACCUCGAUGUCUCACCAUCAAACCAUGUAUUUCUGAUUAAAUAGAUACUUAUUUACAUAGAAAUGAGUUUUGGAAAAAUAAAGAGCAAACUAUGAGGCAGCUGCAGUUCAAAUUUGACCCGCUUCCAACUAAAUCGACGGGAAUUUGUCUUUUUCACCAGAGGUGGAUCAAAAUUUUUGACACCCAACCAUUUUGUCAAUUGUGAAUUAAAUAUGGCCUAGUAUUUUAUAAAAUUUAUUAGGUCCAAUUUUGCAACAAAUAUAUGGUAGGUCCUUCACAAAAAAAACUCAUUUGGGGCACUCGGGAAAUGGAAAAUGAAUUUUCCGUGCAAAGAAAUGAAAACUCCCUUAGGCAACAUUGUUUGGAAUUCCAAGAUGCACCCUUGUGCACAAUAUUAGAUCAUUUGAACAAGCUAUGCCAUGAAUGUGGCCACAAGAUUGAUCAUUUGGCUUGAAACCCAUGAAUCUUCACACUUGAUAGCUCAUUUCUGAGAACACUUUUUUUAAAUAGUUACCGUAUUACAAGUUUAUUAUUUUUCCUGGAAACUUGGUCACAUAUAAUGACAUAAUGUGAAGGUUUUCCAAUUUUUUGAUUUCUUUUGAAUUUUUAUAACCGUUUCAAAAUGCGGUCAAAACAGCGGGCUUGACCGUUCCUAUCUAGUGGUUCAAUCUUGGCAUUUUUUGGUGUUUCUCUGAUUAAAUAGAUACUUAUGUACCUAGAAAUGAUUUUUAGAAAAAAAUAAAGAGCAAACUAUAGGGCAGCUGCAGUUCAAAUUUGACCCGCUUCCAACUGAAUCGACGGGAAUUUGUCUUUUUCACCAGAGGUGGAUCAAAACUUUUGACACCCAACCAUUUUGUCAAUUGUGCAUUAAAUAUGGCCUAGUAUUUUAUAAAAUUUGAUUUGGUCCAAUUUUGCAACAAAUAUAUGGUAGGUCCUUCACAAAAAAACCUCAUUUGGGGCACUCGAAAAAUGGAAAAUGGCUCUUUUGUGCAAUGAAAGUGAAAACUCCCUUAGGCAACAUUGUUUGGAAUUCCAAGAUGCACCCUUGUGCACAAUAUGAGGUCAUUUGAACAAGUUAUGCCAUGAAUGUGGCCAUAAGAUUGAUCAUUUGGUUUAAAAGCCAUGAAUCUUCACGCAUGAUAGCUCAUUUCUGAGAACACUUUUUUAAAAAAAUCCGUAUUACAGCUUUAUUAUUUUUCCUGGAAACUUUGUCACAUAUAAUGACACAAUGCGAAGGUUUUCCAAUUUUUUGAAUUUUUUUGAAUUUUUUAUGCCCGUUUCAAAAUGCGUUCAAAACGGCGGGCUUGACCGUUCCUAGCUAGUGGUUGAAUCUUGGAAAACUUUUGAUGUUUCUCUGAUUAAAUAGGUACUUAUGUACAUAUAAAUGAUUUUUGGAAAAAAUAAAGAGCAAACUAUGAGGCAGUUGCGGUUCAAAUUUGACCCGCUUCCAAUUGAAUCGGCAGGAAUUUGUCUUUUUCACCAGAGGUGGAUCAAAACUUUUUACACCCAACCAUUUGGUCAAUUUUGCGUUAAAUAUGGACUAGUAUUUUAGAAAAAUGAUUUGGUCCAAUUUUGCAAUAAUUAUUUGGUAGGUCCUUCACAAAAAAACCUCAUUUGGGGCACUCAAAAAAUGAUUAAAAAUAGCUAGAAAUAUGAAAAAUGCAUACAAAUUGGUCCUAAUCCAUAAAAUGUGGUCUAACUCUAGUGAAAGUUUGUGUGGUGCCCUUUUGCAAAAUAUUUUUGAUAGCUACUUCAUAAAAUCCCUCUAUUUUUAGUAUUUGAAAACUAUUUUACAUCACUGAUUUUCUGAACCAAUCAUAACUCUGUCCACGGAUCGAUGACAUGGCGUCCAUCCAUCCAUCCAUCCAUCUCCAUCCCACAUCCAUCCAUCCAUCUAUCUACAGAAAAAAGAAAAAAAAGAAAAGAAAGGAGAUACCCCCUGUGACGCCCGGCUAAUUAAGCUACGGUGAUCCUCUGCUAGUGAUGCCACGUCAUCCCGAUUACUGUUGCUAAAUGUCCGUUAGUUCAACCGCGUCAAAUUCAAAUUUAAAAUUAGUGUCGAUAAUAAAAGUUUUCGAAAAUGGAAACAAAAAUGUUCGGUGGUUGCCAAAUAUUAUAAGGGUAAUUAUGGUGCAGCAAACACAUUUUUAUAAAAUGUCUAAAUAAUUUAAAGUGAAUUAAAAUAGAAAAGAAAAUAAGAAAGCCCCCUGGCAAACUGGGCCAGAAGGCCCAGCUGGCCGACCCACUUGCCCCAGCCGCCCCCACUCUCUUCAUAUCCCCCCACCGGUGAGGCCCCGAACCGCCACCGACACUUCCCCCCUCUCUCCAAAAAAUAUCUCCCCCUCUCCCCCGAGUGGAUCGGGAUCGAGGGAGGAGGCCCNNNNNNNNNNNNNNNNNNNNNNNNNNNNNNNNNNNNNNNNNNNNNNNNNNNNNNNNNNNNNNNNNNNNNNNNNNNNNNNNNNNNNNNNNNNNNNNNNNNNNNNNNNNNNNNNNNNNNNNNNNNNNNNNNNNNNNNNNNNNNNNNNNNNNNNNNNNNNNNNNNNNNNNNNNNNNNNNNNNNNNNNNNNNNNNNNNNNNNNNNNNNNNNNNNNNNNNNNNNNNNNNNNNNNNNNNNNNNNNNNNNNNNNNNNNNNNNNNNNNNNNNNNNNNNNNNNNNNNNNNNNNNNNNNNNNNNNNNNNNNNNNNNNNNNNNNNNNNNNNNNNNNNNNNNNNNNNNNNNNNNNNNNNNNNNNNNNNNNNNNNNNNNNNNNNNNNNNNNNNNNNNNNNNNNNNNNNNNNNNNNNNNNNNNNNNNNNNNNNNNNNNNNNNNNNNNNNNNNNNNNNNNNNNNNNNNNNNNNCUCGCGCUCGCCCUGCCCGAAGUUGCGCCCUCCUGCUGUAGCCCCCGCGCGCCUUCACCUUCCCUUGCCCCUGCUCGCCGACCAAUGCCGUCAACCGCGGCCCCGCACCAGCCUACUCUUCGUCGUCGCCCGGUCCGGAUCCCACCUCCGGCCGCGUCCGGUGCCGCUUAGCCGCCUCCCGCUGCCACUCCGGCCACCCCGAGCUGCUCUCUGACCGCGUACCUGCGGCCCUGGCCACGCCCCCUGUCGCCGGCCGGCGCCUUGCGCUCCUCCUUGGCCUCGCCGUGGCCAUGCACCUCCACCGCGUCCCGCUCCGGCUGGCACCCCUUGGCCCCGUGCCCCGGCGGCCUCGUCCUGCCCUGCGGGCGAGUGCUCACUCGGGUGCGCCCGCACCCACUGGACCAAACCCGCCAAGGCCCCUAUGGGCCUAUGACAAACGGGGCCCACGCCCAGAACGAAAAUAAUAAUAAUAGAAAAAUAGAUAAGUAAAUAAUUAAAAUAUUAAUUAAUUAAUGAAUUAAAGAAUUAAUUAACUUAAUUAAUCCUGAUCGGUUAACCUAAUCACUAAGUUUAGUUAAUUAAUCUGUUAGGUUAGUUAACAGUCAAUGACAGCUCGGACCCACUGGUCAGGUUGACUAGUCAACCCAUGUUGACUGCUGAUGUCAGCAUGACAUCAUGCUGAUGUCAUAAAUUCAUUUUCGAAUUAAUUUAAAUAAUUAAUUAAAUUCCAGAAAUUAAUAAAAUCUUUAGAAAAUCAUAUCUUUUAAUCCGUAACUCGGAUUAAAUUAUUUCAACAUGAAAGUUGUUCAGAACGACGAGACGAACCCGGAUACGUAGCCCGUUCGUCCACCACACACCCCUAACAUAUCAACCCCGCAACUUUCCCCCUCCAGUUCAUCUGUCAGAAAACACGAAACACCGGGAAUACUUUCCCGGAUGUUUUCCCCCCUUCACCGGUAUCACCUACUACCGCGUUAGGGCACACCGAACACCGCGUAUUGUCUUGUUACGCUUUGUGAUGCUUUGAUUGGUCUGUUAUUUAUUGUGUUCCCUCUCCGUUACUUCUUUCCGAUAGACCCCGAGACUGCCGGCGACCCCCAGUUCGACUACGGUGCUGGUGACUCGUCCUUCUUGCCAGAGCAACUAGGCAAGCCCCCCCCCCUUGAUCACCAGAUAUCGCCUAUUCUCCUCUAUACUGCUUGCAUUAGAGUAGUGUAGCAUGUUACUGCUUUUCGUUAAUCCUAUUCUGAUGCAUAGCCUGACAUUGUUGCUACAUCUGUUGAUACCUUACCUGCAAUCCUAAAUACUUAGUAUAGGAUGCUAGUUUAUCAUCAUUGGCCCUACAUUCUUGUCAGUCUUCCUUGCUAUACUAUUGGGCCGUGAUCACUCGGGAGGUGAUCACGGGUAUAUACUAUACAUACAUACAUACUAUACAGAUGGUGACUAAAGUCGGGUCAGCUCAUUGAGUACCCGCAAGUGAUUCCGAUGUGGGGGCUGGAAGGACAGGUGGCUCCAUCCCGGUAGAGGUGGGCCUGGGUUCCCGACGGCCCCCGACUGUUACUUUGUGGCGGAGCGACAGGGCAGGUUGAGACCACCUAGGAGACAGGUGGGCCUGGCCCUGUUCGGCGUUCGUGGAUACUUAACACGCUUAACGAGAUCUUGGUAUUUGAUCUGAGUCUGGCCAUUUGGUCUAUACGCACUAACCAUCUACGUGGGAGUAGUUAAGGGUAUCCCGGCGUCGUGGUAUCAGCCGAAGCACUUCAGACGUCAGCGACGGAGCGGCGUGCGCCGGAUCGGACUGGAACGCCUGCUAGGCUAGGUCUGCUUCCGGCCGUCUUCGCAACAUGCAGGUGUGCUAUGGGCGAUGGGCCCAGACCCCUGUGCGCUUAGGUUUAGACCGGCGUGCUGGCCUCUCUGUUUUGCCUAGGUGGGGCUGCGACGUGUUGAUCUUCCGAGGCCGGGCAUGACCCAGGAAAGUGUGUCCGGCCAAAUGGGAUCGAGCGUGUUGGGUUAUGUGGUGCACCCCUGCAGGGAAGUUAAUCUAUUCGAAUAGCCGUGAUCUUCGGUAACAGGACGACUUGGAGUUGUACCUUGACCUUAUGACAACUAGAACCGGAUACUUAAUAAAACACACCCUUCCAAGUUCCACAGACAACCCGGUGAUCGCUUUUCCACAGGGCGACGAGGGGAGGAUCGCCGGGUAGGAUUAUGCUAUGCGAUGCUACUGGAGAUGCUACUUGGAGAUGCUACUUGGAGGACUUCAAUCUACUCUCUUCUACAUGCUGCAAGACGGAGGCUGCCAGAAGCGUAGUCUUCAAUAGGAAUAGCUAUCCCCCUCUUAUUCUGGCAUUCUGCAGUUCAGUCCACUGAUAUGGCCUCCUUACACAUGUACCCAUGCAUAUGUAGUGUAGCUCCUUGCUUGCGAGUACUUUGGAUGAGUACUCACGGUUGCUGUGCUCCCUCUUUCCCUCGUUUUCCUCUUCUUCUCGGAUGCUGCAACUAGACGUUGGAGCCCAGGAUCCAGACGCCACCUUCUACGAUGACUCCUACUACACUGGAGGUGCCUACUACUACAUGCAGCCCGCUGAUGACGACCAGGAGUAGUUAGGAGGAUCCCAGGCAGGAGGCCUGCGCCUCUUUCAAUCUGUAUCCCAGUUUGUGUUAGCCAUCUAUGGCUACUUGAUUGUUUAUGUCUGUACUCAGAUAUUGUUGCUUCCGCUGACUCGUCUAUAAUCGAGCACUUGUAUUCGAGCCCUCGAGGCCCCUGGCUUGUAUUAUGAUGCUUGUAUGACUUAUUUAUGUUUUAGAGUUGUGUUGUGAUAUCUUCCUGUGAGUCCCUGAUCUUGAUCGUACACAUUUGCGUGCAUGAUUAGUGUACGAUUGAAUCGGCGGCGUCACAAGUUGGUAUCAGAGCUAGCUGCCUGUAGGAAUCCCCCUUCCACACUCCUUGGCCGAAGUCGAGUCUAGACAUUGCAAAAACUUUUACUAACAUGGAUGUGUGCCUUAUGGGCCCACGUCGCCAUUUGGUGGUAUUAGGAUCUUUUACUCCUUGUCUAUACUCUGGGACUCUGAUCUCCCUUCUAUUCGGGUUAAAUGAUUUUUACUAAAAUCUGACUUUAGGUUCUCGAAGAUACUUUCUCUCGGAGAGCCCCUUCAAUCCAGGUGAUCGCCGGCUGCACCAGAAGAUUUCGAAGUUACUCACCGAAACUCUUUUGAGACUUUGUGCCUGUUGCUUUUGCAAUUCCCUACCACCGAAAUAUCCCUAUGGAUAAAUACAUACACUUGACGUUCUUACUUUUAUUCCCAGUUGAUCUUGUUAUUACAAGAUACCCCGAAAUUCUCUCUAUUGAUCCGAGAAUAUCUUGUGCCUAAUGUCUUGCAAUUCUUUGCCACAUGAAUACCCCUACAAACAAAUCCUCACACUUGUCGAGUAUUCACUCAUCCCCAGUUGUUCAUGUGUUUCACAAAAGUCUUCAAAAUACUAUUCGAUACUCCAAAAAUCCUUAGUAGCUUAUUGCUCUACAAUACUUGUCUGCUUGCAUUGUGGAUGUUUUCCAUAUGUCUGGCAAUAUUCGUUAGUAUCCUUAGGCACCGUCAUUCUGAUCCUAUUGAUUCAACAUGAGUGCGAAUGCACGCAAUCAUCAUUUGAUCCUUUUAAAUUAUCUUUCCGACUCAGACGUCACUUUGAACAUGAGCUGGUUCUCAACCAAACUAUCUGUCGUCGAAUUGUGCCUCUGGUAUAUUCAAUUGAUCCAUCCUUGAUCAGAACGUCUGCUUCUGAUCCUUUGUUUUGGAAAUCGUAAUUCCUUUGUUAUCUAAGCAUCGAAUUAUUCAGAUGUUCUAUAAUAUGAUGCCCGUGCAUUCUUCUUCCUCUGGUUGAGUAUCGAUACCCACAUCAGAUCUUUUAUGGACCGCUAUAUCCUUGGUUGGAUUAUUAUCCGAUAGUGUCCUUCAUAUUGAAUAACCUAAUGAGCCUUUACAUGGGUAUAUAAUGCCUUUUGGUAAAUUGUAUCAUCUGCUUUUGAACAAUGCUCUACUUUUGAGCUUGUAUUAUUUACUCUGAAGUUUGUGGUAUAUGUUCCUAAGAUGCCCUGAUGGGUUGAACCUAUGCCUUCCCUAAUCUGUGUGAACCCGAAAGAUUUCACGGUUCAAACUUAUCUGGUAUUGCACCAGGUAAAACUUUCAACAACUAAUGUCAUUUUCGAAAUACGAGAGGUGAAUGAAGGUUAUGCAUUAAAGAAGUGGGAGUCGACCUUGAACUUUGUGUUCAUGCCCAUGGACACGAUGUAGAUCCUAUCAUGGAAGCUUCUUGUAACUAUUUCCUUGAUAUAAUAUCCUUUGGUAUCGGUGAAUUGAUCCUUUGCAAUCGUGGUUCCGACCAUGUCCUCCUUUAAAUACCAUUUCCUGUGCAAGUUUAAGCACUUGUCUUCUAUAGAGCAAUACCCCAGUCCAACCUCUACUUGGAUCUGUCGUCGAGUAUUACCCCCUGGUAUCUCGAGAUUAUCAUGGAAAUGCAUGACUUCUUAUGAGUUAUUCAUCAAGUGCUACCUUCCCACUGAUUCCAUUUUUUUCACGGGCUCUAAGUUAUUAAACACUCAAAGACACCGAUGACUGAACCGAGUCGACACUACGGUUCAACAUCUCUUCAGUAAGCUUCUAUAAGUACGAGUUUGUACCCGAUCACGCCAUUCCUAGCCUGUUUGGCUAUAUCAUUGUCGUGAUGAUUGUAACUAUACUACCUGGUCCUUCUUCUCGGAGCACAAAUUUUCGACAGUGAGCUAAUCUUACAAUCGAUCUUCCUCAUCAUACCGUUCGCCUUGAACAACAAUCCCGAUUUCAAGUUUGUGUCCUACCCAUGGCCCCAAUAACCUUCCGCUACCUCAUUCCUUUGACUUAAUGUCGUCGCUGAUUGAUUACGUCUUCAUGGAAUCUCUCAACAAAUGUGUCGUGAUCAUCAUGACCGUUCUGAGCUCUUCUAGGAUAUCAUCUGAACUCAUGAUGACAAAUACCUUCCUUUCCCCUCGUUGAUUUGUGUUAUCCUUGCCAACAUUAUUGCCUUCCCUUCGAGGCAAACUUGUUCGUGUUUUGUGUUAUACCUUGAGUUCCUUGCUACCCAGCAUUGUUCUUCUUUACCUUGUGAUAUUACCACCUUUUAUGUCAAGAAUGUCGUGGGAAUUUCACCACCUCUUAAGAAUUCUUGGUAUGGUGAUACUUCUCACCAUCACCACUCCUCUUGGGUCCUCGUGUUGAUUCCAACCAGGGUACCAACAAGUGAGCGGUGCUGUUUGGAUUCCGCCCUUCUAGCAACCAUAUUGAUUUGAAGUUAAUGGUCGGCCGUUCAUUCUUAGACUAUUGAUUAUGGAAUCACCAUUCUGACGUUGGUCGUGCAACCCAGCCCAUAUUUCGGGUGCACCUAUCACCCAAUGUUUAAAUUGGGUAUGUUUUCCUCGAGCAUAUCCCCUUAUAUCAUUUCAUCUGACUAAUGUUAUCUCCUUGUUCACAUAAUUGUGGAAACCCAUCUUUUGGAAGUCUCGAUGAAUUGUCGCUGAGUUCAUCAGCUACCUCCUUAUCCCUUCAUUGGUUUAAUGUUGAGUUUUUGUUUCGGAACUCGCUUCCAUAGUAAAUUUCCCGAGAAUCUUACAAUGUCAUCUCGACAAUUUGUGUUGCACCUUUCUUCUCAGGCAUCCUGGGUCUAAGGUAUCCUGACCCCAAUCAGAACUGAAUCUCGGUCAGAUAUGAUGGUUGGAACAUAUUUCCAAGAGUUAUAACAUUGGUCUUUAUAUGACCCGGUAAGGUGAUGUCAUGCCUAGCACCCCUGGCCGGAGGACCUAUUGUUAUAGUUUCCUUAUUAGCAAGGUUAUCCCUUCUUCCAUGAGGAAAUUGUAAGACUUAUUCUACAAGUUGUUCCUGAUGGAUCCUUCCUGUAUCCAAAGUCUGACCUUUGCUUGAAGACCAUGUCAAUACUAUCUCGAAGCAUGUCUAUGGUACUCCGAAUUUCAACAAGAACAUUUGAAGCCCAAUGCUAAAUGUUUCCUACUCAAUUAUCCAAACACCGCUGUAUGGGUAAUGUCAUGAAAUUCCUCUCCCCUUACAUAAAUGGUUUUCUACUUUCUAUCCUAUCAUGGAUAUCAUGCUAUAUUUGUCCUUGGGAAGGAAAUACCCCGAAAUAUUUGUUUUAACACAUUUUCCUUUCCAUUGUUCUGUUUAAUCUGAUAAUCAUAUUUUCCUUUCCAUUGUUUGAUUUAACCUUUCUUGUGACCUAUAUGACCUAAGCAGUAAUAUUCUCCUGCUUAUGUAAACACCUCGUGGUACCGCUCUGUCAGUAAGAUUGUUGAUGACAUUGCGGUAGCCACCGAUGGACGAGAACCUUGCCUAUGGGCCCGCCUUAUUCAACGAGCAGGAAAAUGGUUCUCUUCAUCCCUCGCCCUUGGUAUCGAUGAUGUUGCCGACAUAACUGAUAGGCUACCCUCUGACAUGCCUUACUAUCGUGACCGCGCAAGAUGUCGGCCCCCUUCCUACUUUCAACCACAUGGUGGGCCCAUAACCCACAGUUCCACAGGAUCGAAACAUGACUCUCCUGUACACCCCCAAUUUCCAAAGUUAUUCCUUGCGCUUGACUUCUCAUGUAACUUAUGGGCCCCUUGCCAAGUGAUCUAUUCGGGUAUCAGACGCAAUACUUAUUAUCGUUGCUAUGAACCCUUCACCUUCUGAUAGACAUUGAACGCUUGCCUAUCGGUUUGAAACCUCAUGGUACCUUCUUACUUUGCUCUCGACAUCUUCUUAAGUUUCAAUUCGAGAGAUACUUAUGCUUCUUCCCCUGGGUUAACCUUCUGAUGCUCGAUCUUGUUAGAAUCCGUCCUUAUAGGGUUCUCCCUUCUCACCCUUUCGUAAGUACGGUGAAGAUCCUGAAGGAAGGACGACAAGCUUCAUCAUGAUGACCUAAAGCAGAGAAAUUAAGACAUCAAUGUAUUGGAUCAACCUCUUCGAGAAGAGUAACGAAGACCUAGAACCCUCGCUAGAAUUUCUUAACCAGGACUUUCCCCCUUAACCCCCGCUUAAAUCUCGGGACGAGAUUUCUUGUAGUGGAGGAGAAUUGUGACGCCCGGCUAAUUAAGCUACAGUGAUCCUCUGCUAGUGAUGCCAUGUCAUCCCGAUUACAGUUGCUAAAUGUCCGUUAGUUCAACCGCGUCAAAUUCAAAUUUAAAAUUAAUGUCGAUAAUAAAAGUUUUCGGAAAUGGAAACAAAAAUGUUCGGUGGUUGCCAAAUAUUAUAAGGGUAAUUAUGGUGCAGCAAACACAUUUUUAUAAAAUGUCUGAAUAAUUUAAAGUGAAUUAAAACAGAAAAGAAAAUAAGAAAUCCCCCUGGCAAACUGGGCCAGAAGGCCCAGAUGGGCGACCCACUUGGCCCAGCCGCCCCCUACUCUCUCCAUAUCCCCCCAGCGGUGAGGCCCCGAACCGCCACCGACACUUCCCCCCUCGCCCCAAAAAAUAUCUCCCCCUCUCCCCCGACUGGAUCGGGAUCGAGGGAGGAGGCCCUCGUCGCCCGCCGCCGUCAGGAGCUCGCCGCCCCNNNNNNNNNNNNNNNNNNNNNNNNNNNNNNNNNNNNNNNNNNNNNNNNNNNNNNNNNNNNNNNNNNNNNNNNNNNNNNNNNNNNNNNNNNNNNNNNNNNNNNNNNNNNNNNNNNNNNNNNNNNNNNNNNNNNNNNNNNNNNNNNNNNNNNNNNNNNNNNNNNNNNNNNNNNNNNNNNNNNNNNNNNNNNNNNNNNNNNNNNNNNNNNNNNNNNNNNNNNNNNNNNNNNNNNNNNNNNNNNNNNNNNNNNNNNNNNNNNNNNNNNNNNNNNNNNNNNNNNNNNNNNNNNNNNNNNNNNNNNNNNNNNNNNNNNNNNNNNNNNNNNNNNNNNNNNNNNNNNNNNNNNNNNNCCUCUCGCUCCGCCGCUCAUCCCCAUCGUCCCCCAACCUUCCCCGAGCCCGCUGCCCCAUGCCCUACGCUGCUCGGUGAGGCCCCCAACCUCUUCUCUUUCCCCCGUCACCGAACGCACGCGCUCCGUCGAACCCCCGCGACCGAGCUCGCGCUCGCCCUGCCCGAAGUUGCGCCCUCCUGAUGUAGCCCGCGCGCGCCUUCACCUCCCCUUGCCCCUGCUCGCCGACCAACGCCGUCAACCGCGGCCCCGCACCAGCCUGCUCUUCGCUGUCGCCCGGUCCGGUUCCCACCUCCGGCCGCUUCCUGUGCCGCUUAGCCGCCUCCCGCUGCCACUCCGGCUACCACGAGCUGCUCUAUGACCGCGUACCUGCGGCCCUGGCCACGCCCCCUAUCGCCGGCCGGCGCCUUGCGCUCCUCCUUGGCCUCGCCGUGGCCACGAACCUCCACCGCGUCCCGCUCCGGCUGGCGCUCUUUGGCCCUGUGCCCCGGCGGCCUCGUCCCGCCCUGCGGGCGAGUGCUCGCUCGGGUGCGCCCGCACCCACUGGACCAAACCCGCCAAGGCCCCUAUGGGCAUAUGACAAACGGGGCCCACGCCCAGAACGAAAAUAAUAAUAAUAGAAAAAUAGAUAAGUAAAUAAUUAAAAUAUUAAUUAACUAAUUAAUUAAAUAAUUAAUUAACUUAAUUAAUCCUGAUAGGUUAACCUAAUCACUAAGUUUAGUUAAUUAAUCUGUUAGGUUAGUUAACAGUCAAUGACAGCUGGGACCCACUAGUCAGGUUGACUAGUCAACCCACGUUGAUUGCUGAUGUCAGCAUGACAUCAUGCUGAUGUCAUAAAUUCAUUUUCGAAUUAAUUUAAAUAAUUAAUUAAAUUCCAGAAAUUAAUAUAAUCUUUAGAAAAUCAUAUCUUUUAAUCCGUAUCUCGGAUUAAAUUAUUUUCAACAUGAAAGUUGUUCAGAAUGACGAGACGAACCCGGAUACGUAGCCCGUUCGUCCACCACACACCCCUAACAUAUCAAACCCGCAACUUUCCCCCUCCGAUUCAUCUGUCAGAAAACACGAAACACCGGGAAUACUUUCCCGGAUGUUUUCCCCCCUUCACCGGUAUCACCUACUACCGCGUUAGGGCACACCGAACACCGCGUAUUGUCUUGUUACGCUUUGUGAUGCUUUGAUUGCUCUGUUAUUUAUUGUGUUCCCUCUCCGUUACUUCUUUCCGAUAGACCCCGAGACUGCCGGUGACCCCCAGUUCGACUACGGUGCUGGUGACUCGUCCUUCUUGCCAGAGCAACCAGGCAAGCCCCCCCCUUGAUCACCAGAUAUCGCCUAUUCUCCUCUAUACUGCUUGCAUUAGAGUAGUGUAGCAUGUUACUGCUUUUCGUUAAUCCUAUUCUGAUGCAUAGCCUGACAUUGUUGCUACAUCUGUUGAUACCUUACCUGCAAUCCUAAAUACUUAGUAUAGGAUGCUAGUUUAUCAUCAUUGGCCCUACAUUCCUGUCAGUCUGCCUUGCUAUACUAUUGGGCCGUGAUCACUCGGGAGGUGAUCACGGGUAUAUACUAUACAUACAUACAUACUAUACAGAUGCUGACUAAAGUCGGGUCAGCUCGUUGAGUACCGGCAAGUGAUUCCGAUGUGGGGGCUGGAAGGACAGGUGGCUCCAUCCUGGUAGAGGUGGGCCUGGGUUCCCGACGGCCCCCGACUGUUACUUUGUGGCGGAGCGACUGGGCAGGUUGAGACCACCUAGGAGACAGGUGGGCCUGGCCUUGUUCGGUGUUCGCGGAUACUUAACACGCUUAACGAGAUCUUGGUAUUUGAUUUGAGUCUGGCCAUUUGGUCUAUACGCACUAACCAUCUACGUGGGAGUAGUUAUUGGUAUCCCGGCGUCGUGGUAUCAGCCGAAGCACUUCAGACGUCAGCGACGGAGCGGCGCGCGCCGGAUUGGAUUGGAACGCCUGCUAGGCUAGGUCUGCUUCCGGCCGCCCUCGCAACGUGCAGGUGUGCUAUGGGCGAUGGGCCCAGACCCCUGUGCGCUUAGGUUUAGACCGGCGUGUUGGCCUCUCUGUUUUGCCUAGGUGGGGCUGCGACAUGUUGAUCUUCCGAGGCCGGGCAUGACCCAGGAAAGUGUGUCCGGCCAAAUGAGAUCGAGCGUGUUGGGUUAUGUGGUGCACCCCUGCAGGGAAGUUAAUCUAUUCGAAUAGUCGUGAUCUUCGGUAACAGGACGACUUGGAGUUGUACCUUGACCUUAUGACAACUAGAACCGGAUACCUAAUAAAACACACCCUUCCAAGUUCCACAGACAACCCGGUGAUCACUUUUCCACAGGGCGACGAGGGGAGGAUCGCCGGGUAGGAUUAUGCUAUGCGAUGCUACUGGAGAUGCUACUUGGAGAUGCUACUUGGAGAUGCUACUUGGAGGACUUCAAUCUACUCUCUUCUACAUGCUGCAAGACGGAGGCUGCCAGAAGUGUAGUCUUCAAUAGGAAUAGCUAUCCCCCUCUUAUUCUGGCAUUCUACAGUUCAGUCCACUGAUAUGGCCUCCUUACACAUGUACCCAUGCAUAUGUAGUGUAGCUCCUUGCUUGCGAGUACUUUGGAUGAGUACUCACGGUUGCUUUGCUCCCUCUUUCCCUCGUUUUCCUCUUGUUCUCGGAUGCUGCAACCAGACGUUGGAGCCCAGGAUCCAGACGCCACCUUCGACGACGACUCCUACUACACUGGAGGUGCCUACUACUACGUGCAGCCCGCUGAUGACGACCAGGAGUAGUUAGGAGGAUCCCAGGCAGGAGGCCUGCGCCUCUUUCGAUCUGUAUCCCAGUUUGUGUUAGCUAUCUAUGGCUACUUGUUUGUUUAUGUCUGUACUCAGAUAUUGUUGCUUCCGCUGACUCGUCUAUGAUCGAGCACUUGUAUUCGAGCCCUCGAGGCCCAUGGCUUGUAUUAUGAUGCUUGUAUGACUUAUUUAUGUUUUAGAGUUGUGUUGUGAUAUCUUCCCGUGAGUCCCUGAUCUUGAUCAUACACAUUUGCGUGCAUGAUUAGUGGGGAUUGAAUAGGGGGCGUCACACCCCCACCCGCAGCCCAAACCCUAGGUCAGAUCGACCCCUCCCCCCGCCGCCCCCUUCCUCCCUCGUCCCCAUCUCCUCGCCGCCGCCCCUCCCCGAUCUCGAUAUGUCGCUGCCCCCACCGCCACCAUCGACGACCCGCCGCCCCCACCGCCCCCGCCGCCCUCUACUCCACAGCCAACGCCCCUACCCUCUCCUUCUCCCUUCUCCCUACAUCCCAGAUCCAUUCGAGUGACAUAUAUGUAUGUGGUGUGGAAUCAGUCCAGCUCACCACCACUCCCGCACCUCCGCUUCGCUGCCGGUCGGACCUAGGGUUUCGAGGUAAGCAAGCGGCUCCCUCUCGCCAGGCUCCUCCAUCGCACACUCUCUCUGCCGCCGAUUUACUGACGCCCUUUCGGAUUUGGGGUUUUGUCACGCAGGGAUUUGAGGGGGCAAGAAGGGGAGGGGAAGCGCGCGAUGGUGGCGCCGGGGGGCCAUCGGCGGCGGGGCCGUCGUCCGCAGGGAGGCGGCUGCGGCGCACGCAGACGGUCGGCAACAUGGGGGAGUCCAUCUUCGACAGCGACGUGGUGCCCUUCUCGCUCGUCGAGAUCGCGCCCAUCCUCUGGGUCGCCAACGAGGUCGAGGCCAGCAAUCCGCGCGUCGCCUACCUCUGUAAGUAGAACACCAGCCCAUCCCCGAUCUACUUCUUCACUUAGGCCGAAUCGUCAGUUGGAUUUGCUCGCCAUGAAAACAAGCAUGGUUUGCUCAUUGCGCUUGCGCUUCCGCUCAGGCCGCUUCUACGCCUUUGAGAAGGCCAACCGGCUCGACCGCACCUCCAGCGGCCGUGGAGUGCGCCAGUUCAAGACCGCGCUGCUACAAAGGCUCAAGAGGGUAAUUUUUACCACCACUCACCUCCUAUUCAUCAUCUUCAUUCAUCCAUGUUCCCCAAUUUAUCACUUCUGGCUGGGGACAAGGAAUGCGAGCUUCUAAUUGACUCCUUGAGCUUGCUGUUUGUGCAGGAGAACAACCCCACCCUCAAGGGGAGGGUGCACCAGAGCGAAGCGUGUGAGAUGCAGCGCUUCUACCGCGAGUACUAGAAACUACUUCCGCAAAGGGUAAGUCAGAUAUUAUCCUGCGAAGACUAAAUUACCAAUCCUGACCACAAGAAAUAUUUUGACAUGUUGUCAUUAUGAAUACAUGGCGUGCCUUACCCCGUGUCAGCAUCUUAAUUGAUUAUUGCGUAGUCACUGAUGUGUAUGCAUACUUGGAACAUUAUGGUAUGUAUGCACACUUGAAUGGUAGUAUCUUGAAUGCAUCAAUAUUAGUGCUAUAGAGUUGUUUUCCAAGCUAGUUCUAUUUACUUUUAAUAUAGGUCUAUUAGUCACCAAUACUUUGCCUGCUAUGCUAUAGUAGACCUUGUUCAUAUUCAUUAGCUAAGUUUGCUUGUCCUUGGGAUCUAUAUGCAUGCCAUUUGUGUUUCAGGCUUUCUCUGAAAUGAAAUAAUAGGUCUAUUAGUCACCAAUACUUGAGUUAAUCUAACUCCUUACCUGCUAUGCUAUAGUAGGCCUUGUUCAUAUUUAUUAGCAAAGUUUGCUUCUCCACAGUGAUCCAUAUACAUGCCAUUUGUGUUUAACGCUUUCUCUGAAAUGAAAUAAUAAGGCUCACACUCCAUGACCAGGACGACCACCGGGACCUCCACAGCGACGAUGAAGCCCUGCACAUGGUCGAGCUCGAUGGAACAACAGUGCCUCGGUGUAGUGCAACCGAGUUGGGCCACACCAGUGCAUCAGGAGCUCUGCAUGCUGCUGUCCUUUGUCUCAUCAUCUUAACUACUACACUAGUAGGAGUAUUUUAUAUGUUGUUCAUUUCUUUGUUAAUUACUGUGCUACUCCCUGCUCCUGUAUUCUAUUAGCACCAAGUCUGCCAUGCCUAUGUAUUAUAUACUUUAUUCUUCUUGCUGGAGUACUAGAAGAGUAGCGCUAUCUUGCUGCUGGUGACACUCCAUGAAGUACUCACUGUUAAUUUAUUCCGAGUGGCCAUAAUUCCCUUCCUAGCAGCACCACGGAGUACCACCUGCUCUCUUGUCUCACCCAUAACAACAAUUUACUAGCAAUAUGUGUCUUGGAUACUAUCUAGGUCCCUUCUACUACUACACCUAGUUACUUGUGUGUAUCCUAUUACUUACUAGUUAGUACACGUGUGUAGUAGUACUGUACUGUAGUAGUGGUGUCUUACUGCCAGUGAUAGAUUAUUGAGUUUAUUAACUCCAAAUGAAGUGAACUGGGCAUAAUUCUCUAGAUGUGGUACAUAGUGCUGUCUGUUUCCUUGCAUCACCAACAAAAUGUACUAAUAUGUCUGUUGUGACACGCUAGGUCGAUUCUAAGCCUUAGAGAAACCUGUAGUACUUGUAUCUCUGCAUGACUAAGUGCUCAGUUCAUACAAUUUUGAGUCUGCACUUCUGUAUGUUUUUUAUGUGAAACACUUAUGCAUGACUAAGUGUUAAGUUGAUACAAUUUAUUUGAUAAACAAGCAUGGAAAUAUGUAUUAACUUUCCUGAAAGUAGACAAGCAAUAUAAUUCUGUUCAAUUCUGAUUUCUUUUGUAGUCAAUUCUAUUCAACUGAUUUCUGAAUAUUUCUUAUGUGAAACCAUAUCUAGAUCAGCAACACUUUGCAUGAAUAAAUGCUGGUCAGUGAUGAUAUCUGCAUUCAUAUUGUUUGGUACUGUUUUAUGUAGUUAUGUGAAUUGCAUGUUUAUUUGGAUCCAUUCGACCUUUUCACAAUUAACUUAAGUUUGGAUUUUCAUGUUUAUUAUCACAACCUUCCGGGAAGGCACGAGUGAGCCUGCAUGCCCAUUGAUGCGUACCUGUUGUCAGUUGGACCAUCUUCUUUAGCUUUUUGAUGUGAAAUCAUAUCUUAACCCUUGGAACUUUGCAUGAUUAGUAGAUCGAUGGUGAUAUCUGCACGCAUAUUGACUUUACUGUUGCUCUCCGGCGGAAAUUUCUCCCUUAUGUAAUGAGUUCAUCUUGCAUUGCAUCUACCCAUGAAUGAGAAUUGUACAUACUGUAAUUUUCAGUUUUAACUAGGCUGAAAUGUGCAUGUUUUAUCUUCUCAGCAUUGUUCUUAUUUACUUGCAAGUUUUUACUAUGCAAGGUUCAGUCAUGCCAUCUUUGCUUGCGUUGCAUGUUAAUGUCAUAACAAAUGCUCACACCAAGUUUGUGAACUGUAGCCAGGUACCAGAGGCUGACCAUGUACUCCAUUGGCAUCUCUAGCUCCCACAUGUCGCCCCUGGGCUGGAGCGCCUUGGGUGAUUGGCAUUCUCCUGGUGGCGCCGCUCCUCACAAAGUGUUAAGUUGGAUUACCGCCUCAUGUUGAUGGCCUUGUUUCUAAACAUUUAAUAAUGUUUCUUUUUGGUGACCUAAUGUCGUUUAGGUUGCUACUGCUGUGAUGGAAGAUCAGAACAGGCUGGAGAUGCGCACCACAUCUUUAGUUGAUGUUGCAUCAUGUUUUGGUGCUUGUGUAUCUGUUUUUGCUUGUAAGCACACUUGUAUGUGUUUGUGUAUCUAUUUUUGCUUGUUUUAGAUGAUGUUGGACGUGCAAAGUUGUAUGUGCUGUCGUGUGUAUUUGGAUGAAUGAUUUUUGAAUUUAAUCAUUUAAUUGAGAGAAUUAUUUAGUGUUUGUUGUUCAAAUGGGUAAACUGGAAAUCAGUGAAUAAGGAGACCAAAUGUUCUAUUGGACCAAAUAAUAUAUGGGCUCUAAAAAGGCUACAACUCAAAUAAUAGUGGACUGGAACAUUGUGCAUUUCUGGAAAACCCGAACAAAAAGGCCUAAUGAAAUGGUUUGCAAAAGGGCCAUGGCCCAGAAAAUUAAAAGUCCAAAUUGUAGGGCGUGGCCCAUGAAGCCGACCAGAAUUAACAUGAAAAAAAUACUAAAUGGGCUAGGCCCAUGUAGAAAAUCGAAUUGGACCAGGCUGAAUCUUGUGCCACAUCAGAUUGCCACGCUGGAUGCCUACGUGGCCUGGGGAGGUUGCUAGUGACCGAAACGCCACAGUAGACGUAUUUUGGUCAUAAACGUCUACGACCUUCUCACAGAGAAGGUCGUGAAUGUCAGUUUACGACCGCCAGCUUUUGACCUUCUGUUUUUGGUCACAAAAAGGUCGCAAAUGAGAAACAAUGACCUUUCAGUGACCAAUAGUCAAGGUCACAAGUUGACAUAUUUCUUGUUGUGAGUUUUCUUUUCUGAGCUUUCAUACACUUAUAGCUCUUAGUGCAUCUGUUGCAUGGCAGUCCCAACUCCUUGCAUUGACAUCACUUGAUGGGCAUCUCCAUAGCCCCUUGAUUAGCCUCAUCGAUGUGAGACUACUACUUCUUGAGCUUUCAUUGGUUUCCCCUUGAAGAGGAAAGGGUGAUGCAGCAAAGUAGAGAUAAGUAUUUCCCUCAGUUAAGAACCAAGGUAUCAAUCCAGCAGGAGAUAUACGCUGAAGAAAAUAUGCCCUAGAGGCAAUAAUAAUGUUGUUAUUUAAUAUUUCCUUAUAUCAUGAAAAAUAUAUAUUAUUCAUGCUAGAAUUGUAUUAACCGGAAACUUGAUACGUGUGUGGAUACAUAGACGAAAGAGUGUCCCUAGUAAAGCCUCUACUAUACUAGCUCAUUAAUCAAAGAUGGUUAAGUUUCCUAACCAUAGACAUGUUUUGUCAUUUGAUGAACGGGAUCACAUCAUUAGGAGAAUGAUGUGAUGGACAAGACCCAUCCGUUAGCUUAGCAUAAUGAUCACUAAGUUUUAUUGCUAUUCUUUCAUCAUGACUUAUACAUGUUCCUCUGACUAUGAGAUUAUGCAACUCCUGAAUACUGGAGGAACACCUUGUAUGCUAUCAAAUGUCACAAUGUAAAUGGGUGAUUAUAAAGAUGCUCUACAGGUGUCUCCAAAGGUGUUUGUUGGGUUGGUAUAGAUCGAGAUUAGGAUUUGUCACUCCGUGUAUCGGAGAGGUAUCUCUGGGCCCUCUCGAUAAUGCACAUCACUAUAAGCCUUGCAAGAAAUGUGAAUAAUGAGUUAGUUGCGGGAUGAUGCAUUACGUAACGAGUAAAGAGACUUGUCGGGAAUGAGAUUGAACUAGGUAUGAUGAUACCGACGAUCGAAUCUCGGGCAAGUAACAUACCGAUGACAAAGGGAACAACGCAUGUUGUUAUACAGUUUGACCGAUAAAGUUCUUCAUAGAAUAUGUAGGAGCCUAUAUGAGAAUCUAGGUUCCGCUAUUAGUUAUUGACCGGUGAUGUGUCUCGGUCAUGUCUACAUAGUUCUCGAACCCGUAGGGUUCGCACGCUUAACGUUCGAUGACGAUUUGUAUUAUGAGUUAUGUGAUUUGAUGACGAAGUUUGUUUGGAGUCCCGGAUGAGAUCACGGACAUGACGAGGUGUCUCGAAAUGGUCGAGGCAUAAAGAAUGAUAUAUUAGACGAUGUUAUUCGGACACCGGAUGAGUUCUGAGAGGUACCAGGUAACUAUCGGAGUGCCGAAGGGUUAUCGGAACCCCCGAGAGGAACUAAUGGGCCUUCAUGGGCCUUAGUGGAGAGAGAGGAGGGCUGCAAGGGGCUGGCCACGCGCCCCCCUGGCAGUUCGAAUUGGACUAGGGGAAGGGGGCGGCAUCCCCCUUUCCUACUCCCUCUCCCUCUCCUUCCUUCCCCCUCUCUUCCUUGUAGAGGAAUCCUACUAGGACUAGGAAGACCUAGUGGGAAUCCCUCUCUUGGCGCGCCCCCUAGGGCAGGCCGGCCUCCUCCUCCCCUCCUUUAUAUUCGUGAGCAGGGGGCACCCCAAAGACACAACAGGUAAUCUCUUAGCCAUGUGUGGUGCCCCCCUUCACAGCUUAACACCUCGGUCGUAUCGUCAUAGUGCUUAGGCGAAGCCCUGCACCGGUAACUUCAUCAUCACCGUCGCCACACCAUCAUGCUGACGGAACUCUCCCUCGACCCUCUACUGGAUCAAGAGCUCGAGGGACGUCAUCGUACUGAACGCAUGCUGAACAUGGAGGUGCCGUACGUUCUGUACUUGGAUCGGUUGGAUCAUGAAGACGUUCGACUACAUUAACCGCGUUACUAAACGCUUCCACUUUCGGUCCAUGAGGGUACAUGGACACACUCUCCCGUCUCGUUGCCAUGCAUCUCCUAGAUAGAUCUUGCGUGAUCGUAGGAAUUUUUUUGAAUUACUAUGUUCCCCAACAGUGGCAUCCUAGCCAGGUCUAUGCAUAGAUGAUAUAUACUAGCGAGUGUCUGUUUCUCCAACUUUAGUUGAAUCGAGUUUGACUACGGCCAGUCCUUGUUGAAGGUUAAAACAACACACUUGACGAAAAAUCAUUGUGGUUUUGAUGCGUAAGUCAGAACGGUUUUUGCUAGAAGCCUAUAGCAGCCACGCAAAACAUGCAACAACAAAGUAGAGGACGUCCAACUUGUUUUUGCUGGGCAUGUUGUGAUGUGAUAUCACUACAAAAAAAAUACACUUCCGUGAUGAUACGUGUUUGUCAUAGUAGGUCGCGCUUUUUGUCAUGCAUUUACAUCCAUGACAAAUUUAUGAUAGAAUCAAGAUAGUCAUACAUGUGCUGUCGUAGAAGUGUUCCAUGACAUUACCAAAAUUAUCAUCACGGAAGUGUCCACUUCCAUGACGAUAAAUCACGCGUCACAAAAGUUCUUUCGUCAAGGGUGACCGACACGUGGCAUCCACCAUAACGGAACACUGUUAAGCUAUCGGGUCGGAUUUUCGAUCCGAUAACCCGUUAACAGCCCCGGCCAAUGGGAAAUUUCCACAUGUAAAAUUCUGAUUGGCCGAAGGGAACACCUGUCAGGUCCUCAGUGGGCCAGAUGUCGCCCGUCCAUUGGAGGACACAUGCCUAUGGUACGCCGACACGUGGCUGGGCCCAAGAGAGGCCCAUAUAGGUUAAAAAGGCUGGCCCAGUCAAAGGCCCGUAGAACUUAAUCAGGUACUAGUGGGCCAGCCCAAUAACGGCCUGCUUAAUAAAGGCCCAUUUAUGGCCCGAAACCAGAUCUGGCCCGUUAAUUGUUCGCCAAAUAUUUGGGCCCAUUUACGGCCCGAAGCCCGAUCUGGCCCCGCCCAAUAUUUGGGCCCAUUUGCGGCCCGAAGCCAGAUCUGGCCCGUUAAUUGUUCGCCGAAUAUUCGGGCCCAACUACAGCCCAGUGACUUUCGGCCUGUUAGAGGCCUGAUGUAGACAUGGGCCCAUUUCAGCCCGGUGUGACUUUCGGCCUGGGAAUGGCCCGUGCUGCCCAUGGGCCAUAUAUGGUCCGACGGGACAUCGGGCCCACUAACAGCCCGUGUUAAAUGUGGCAACAGUUAAGCCCAACAUGACUUUGGGCCUGUUAAAGGCCUGUCGCGUAAUUCGGCCCGUUGAUGCCUGUACUAAGCUUUCGGCCUCUUAAAGGCCCAUGAUAUCAGUGGGCCAACUAAGGCCCGAGAUAUGUUUUGGCCUGGUAACAGCCCGUGAGCUAACUCGGCCCAUAACGGCCUGAUCUACAUUUCGGCCUGCUGAAGGCCCGUCGACGACUAGAGAAAAUUGAGGCCCAACAUGCAUUUUGGCCUGCUAACGGCCCGUGGUUUCAUCUCGGCCGUAAUAGGCCAGUACAAUAUUCAGCCUGUUAAUGGCCCAACGCUACCUGGGCCAAACUAAGCGUUGGGUCGACAAAAGGCCCAACUAAAAUAUAGGCCGAUGUAAGUUUGGGCCUGGCGGAAUGUGUGAAGGCCCCAAUCAUUCGGGCCCAAAAAAGAUGCAGGCCAGCCCAAUUGUGGCCCGCUAAAAACCUAGCCCGUUAGAGUCGAAUGUUUCGGCCCUGUCGACUACAUCUGAUUUUUUCCAGAUAGCGAAUGAUGGCAGUAACUAGUAGGAAUUAAGAACAAACCUACUCUAUACAAUAAAGAAAUUAUGGCAUAGUAAGUAAGAAUGAACCUACACUAUACAACAAAGGAUUUAAGAUAUAUUACAUCCACUUGGCAUCGAAGUUCGCCACCAGUGAUCAUAAAGCGGAACGAAGAAGCAGAUUACAAAAACUGGGCACCAUUGCAGCGUAACAAAAUAAUACUGAACCGAGACCACUUCUAAGACAGUUCAAGAAAGGUUAGCCUUGCGGGGGAACUGCUACGCAAGCUGCUGAGAAAGGCUGUGAGACCGGCCUAGCAUGUCGGUCAUAGCUUCUAGGUGUAGCUGUUUAGCGAUGAGGUUCUCAUUGGUGUUCUCCGCAAUCUUUCUUAGAGAUAGGACUUCAAGUCGAAGUUGAGUUGCAGAAUGCCUUUCUGCUAGAACUUGGGACUGAAGAAGUCGAACUAAUUCAGACAACGACUUCAGUGAGCUUGUCUGACUGUUAGUCUCAAGUAACUUGAACACUGCAUCAAGACAAGACUUUGGGGUUGUCUCGCUUUCUUCAAGAUGUUUUUCCUUCUUUGCUGCAAUAUAUGUUGGGUUUGUCUCACAGCCUUCAGCAGACUUGUGCAUGCCAUCAGGCAUAUCACCCUGAAACAAAGCAGAGAGAUGACAGGUUUUGCACGUGUAUAAACAAAGAUGAUAACUGUUCUGUCAAUUCUAUCCAAUUUCAAAUUAGAAAAUAAAGAGUAAGUUCAAAAUAUCAAUAGCAUAAUUUGGCAUUGUUCAUAAUGCGGGGAGCUUCACCACACUACUGGAUUACCAUGUCAACAUAACAAGCAUAGAUGAAGGGCAAAGAAAAUCAUUGUAUCUAUUUUGGAUAAUGUGCAUGGCAUGUUGUUCAUAUCAUCAGCCACAUCAGUAAGAUAAAACAAGAGAUGACAAGGUGCAAACGUGGGCUGCUUCACCACACACUGGAUUAUAGAUCCACAAAACAAAGCAUACAUAUAGGGAAUAUUAAGUAAUGUGCAUGGUAUGAAUAAGAAAUUUGGUUUUACAAGUAAAACUUAGAACUUACGGUUCUUACGAACAUGCAUAUUGGUAGAAACAGCAAAAUAAACAGCAGUAAACAAUAGGGAGUAUGAGCAAAUUAAACAGCAGUUGAUGAUAAAGGCUUUAGAAGGACUGACUUACAUUAACAGUUAACACCGGCUCUAUAAUGCCCUUCUCCAUGUCAAGGGAAGGAUAACUCAAGAAUUUCAGCAUAGAAUCUUCUUCAUAAGCAUUGCCUGUACUCUACAUUUUGUAGAGAGUAAUUAUAGAUAUGAUAAUACUGGAAGGGAUAGAGGAUAACGAAGAUAAGAUGUAGAUUGAUGCUACAUAAUCAACUACCAAUCCCUGGAAGUACAAGCGUUACAGGACAAAAUGUACUGACAAGAGCAAUGGGCUACACUUCUGCACUGGCAUUGUCUGUGUAUUCUACUUGUUGGUAAGAUUAAAUAUAGAUCUGAUCUUUUCUAGUAAAUGGUGGGCGAGGGAGAUAAGAUGCAGAAUGCUACAAAAUGAACCAAUCCCUCUUCCCAUAAUACAAGAGUGUUUUGAAUUCUGGUGUACUGUACAAAACAUUCUUAUAUUAUGGGACGGAGGGACUAGCUGUUAAUGCAAGUACAAUGAUAGACCAUGUUCAGUCCUUACAAGAGGACUGCAGAGCUAAACCUCUUCAAAAGCAUUGAGUUGAUUCGAAAUUUGUGUAAGAGUCCAUACGGAUCUUAUAAUGUCCACCAAAUGGACGAUUAAGAGGCUAACAUGUGCAGUGAUGCUACAUAGUCAAACAGCUAUGAAAGUGAGUAUGGUCAUACAGGGGAAGAGGUACUCACAAGAGCAAUGCAGUGUGCAGUAUAGUUGCGAGAUUCUGUGGUCCCUUGAGAAUGAAUGUUCUUCUGCUAACAGUUUUCGUACAAGUGAGACAUUAAGGGAAAUGCAGAAAUGUAGUUCAAAUUGUGAUGUGAUAUCAUAGACAGUACCUUACGCUGCAGCCGAGACCAAUGCGUAACAAGAUUAUUCCAGUCACCGUUGGAUAAAUGUAGCACCGGAGACUUUACAGAAAUUUCAUUCAGAGGCUUGCCAUCGAAGUGUGCUUGCCUCAGGUAGGAACGAUACUUCAUCAACGAGUGCUUGAAAAGUGCAACCAACUCUUGCUCGUCAUCACAAUCCAAUUUUCUCCUCGCCUAUUUAAAAGAAUGAAAUCUUGUGUCUUUUGUCAGCAGAAACAUAUGCAGUAAUGACCAUGAAUAACAUUAGUACAUUACUUACGCGUAAGUUGCGGAGGAAGACUGGAAAUUAUUCUGUGUCUGCGAUAUAAUCUUUCCAUGAAGGAAAAAUGCGCACAAAGUUCCUGACAACAACAUAAGCUUCAUCUUCUAAACUGGGCAGAAAUGGAACAGGGGUCCUAUUUGCUGCAGUUGGGGCUCUCUCUGGUUUGAAAAGGGAUUUGGCAACUGGAUUUGGUGUACUCUUUGCUGGAAUGGGGGUUUUGUGUCUUACAACUGGUGCUAUGUCAACUGGCAUAAUCAUACUGUUUGCUGCAGUUGGGGUCUGCUGAGUUGGGGCAUCAGAAAUGACCAGUGCAGUAGGGCUAGAGUCUGCUAGAGUUGGGGUAUUUUGUGGGUCAGGUGAUAUUGCAACUACACCUAAUGGGCUAUUUGAUUUAUCAGGUGCCACUACCUUUUCCAAAUACUUUGCUAGUGCUCCUCCAUGAUCAGCAAUCGCCCUCUUCCUUUUGAACGUCUGAUACACAAGAACAACAUUUGAAUGGAUAAAUAUGGUAUGAUGACAGAUGGAAUUUGUACUGAAAAUGGAUAGGCAGGGCGUAUUCACAUACACGAUGUGUAAACUAAGCUAAUGGCAGUUCAACAAAGUAGAAGCAAUGCAAAGCAUCAGUUGCAAGAUAUGUGCGAGUAAUGUAACCAUGGAAAGUUAGAGCAAGUACCUUGAUGGGUGAAUAAGAUAGGGCAUCUUCCUCUGACUCCUCCACUAGGGAGCUACAUUGUUUUAGGUCUCCCUCUAGCUCAGAAUCACUGUUAGGAUCAUAUUUUGAGCAUGAAUCUGUAGGUGGAGAGCAUUUGCAUUGCAUUGCAUCCAGACUUGGUUUCAGUCCCUUAAUGCCAAGUUUGACAGCCAUGGCAUUGUUCUGCUUUAUUCUUUUCAUGCGCGCAAGCUCAUAAUCAUUAUGAUGUUGUUCAGAAUGUGAGAUUCAAACAUAAAAAGUAGUCAAAUUAUCUAUGGAAUACAUUGCGGAUUCAACUCGGAGAGUGUCUCCCUAUAAACCCCUGCAUAUGCAAAGUUCACCUCCCCAACCGUGCUGACCAGAUCACACACAGAAAUACAAACCCCUUAUGUCUCUAUAACAGGCAGGCACACAUUUCAAAACUGAAGUAUGAACAUUAGAAUCAUAUGAAAUUCGUAUUUGAAAAAAUAAACUAGGCAAUUAUGAGUGGCGUAAUGUUUAGCUUCAAGGGUGGAGUGUUGGUAGUGCGACACAAAGCAAGUAACACUAGUAGAAAAACACCUAAUAGUCCCGGUUCGUGAGGGCCUUUAGUCCCGGUUCAUGAACCGGGACUAAUGGGUCGUUACUAAUACCUCCACCCAUUAGUCCCGGUUCAAACUAGAACCGGGACUAAUGUGCGUCCACGUGGCUCUGUGCGCCGAGCCCAGUCAGGGGGCCUUUGGUCCCGGUUGGUGGCACCAACCGGGACCAAAAGUCCAUGUUAUUUUUGGAAAUUGGCUGCUUUAGGGGUUUUGGGGGUUAUUUUUAGGUUGUUAUAUUAGCUAGCUAAUAGAGAGAAGUGUCCUCUCUUAUAUCUUCGUCCUUGGUUUACCAACGCUGCUGCUAUAUAUGUUCAUUUUACCCGCUGAUAUAAUAACUCAUGCAUGCUCGCAUACAUCAGCAUAUAUAAUAACAAGUACUCGUCCUACUAAUCAUGCAUCAUCAUACAACUUCUACUCGUUAUUAAUAAUAAGUCAUACGAUCAUCAUCAUCAUAGUCAUCGAACCCAACCCUACAUAAUUGUUCUUAACACAUGAUCAUCAGUAUCAGGUAGGACCUAAACACCCUUAAGGUAAAAUAGCAUAAAACAAUAUAGACACUAACUCUCCAUUAUGAAGAAUGGCGAUCAUCUUGUCUCCAAUUUUUGCCCUUCACUGAAUGUUGCUUCCAAGAAGCUCCUUACGGCUGUCCAUACAUUUUUUCCAUUCUUUGAUUCUCAUGUCUCCACUUAUUUUAGAAACCCGGUAUGGACAGUUAAAAUUCGUAGGACGAUCUGGUUGUAUGUUCAAAACAUGAAGGCUACCGUGUGUAUACAUCAGAUGAGGCACACAAUCAUUCGGGAUUAUCUGUUGAAAAACAUAGUAAUAACUUCAUAGUUAGCAAUGAUAUGAUGUACUAGUUUUAGAAGUGUGCAAAAAGAUGCACGGAUGUUGUAAUAGUACAAAAAUCUUACCAGGGUAUCUCCAUGGUAGUUACCGUAGUUCAACACGUGCACUAGUGGCACGUAUUGACCAUAAUGUUGAGGAGUUCGAUUGUAGACAUUGUAAUUCUCAAGAUCAGUACAAAAUGCGACUAGAUGAUUUUUCUCCUGAUAAGUUAGUUCGGAGCCUUCGGUGUAGUAGGUUCUGUCUACCAUCUUCCGCACAUUAUUUGAAGAAUGAAAAUAAGCUGUCAAUGGAGAAUAAGUUGUCAACUAUUUUGAAAUAAACAAUAUAAAUUACUUCAUAACAAUGUUAAGCUCACAUGGGGGAAGAAUUGGAGGUGUAUCCACACGGACGAAAAUCGUAGGUCUCCCUUGCUCGAUUGUAGGAUCACCAAGAUCCAUGGUAACAAGCAUACCCUCAUCAAAACCAUACAUCUUGCAAAGUGCUUCCCAAUUUUUGCAACCAAAAUGGGUUACACUCUGAGCAUUGUACAGCUUUACUUGAAAAUCCACGCCAUGAUGGUACUUAGGAUAAUUUUUUUGGUUUCGAAACUUUCAUGGUCUCCAAAACCCAUCCUCUCCAAGACAUAGCGUCUUGCAAAGCAUGAGAUAAGCUAGUCGAAUUGGAAAAGAUGAAAAAUAUUGUCAUGAUUAAAAUAGUUGAAGUCAUGAGUAAUUACGAAAAAAAACUAUUAUCGUCGGUUGCGUACCGUAUGAACAUCGAAGGUCUCCUCGAGCUUAAUGCUGAAGCGACGAUCUUCGUCCAGCACAAUGAACCUGUCGCAGAUACCUCGGUCGUCGUGGCACCAGUUUGCACUCCCCCGGGCGGUUUUCGUCGUCCGAUGAGUACGACAUUUCCGGCCUACGUUCAUAAUUCAAAUAUUAAACUAGAUCAUUAUUAUUAAUCACGGGUUGACUAUCGAUGAUCGAUGUACGUAGCUCCUCCUUUCAUUCCCGAAUGCAUUAUUAUAUCAAAUUGUCUAGCACACGGGAAUGAAGGAGAACUUAUCCAAUAUGAGCAUUCAAUAAGCAAAACCAAUUCAUAAAAUAAGCAAAACCAAAUCAUAAAAUAAAGUAUAGUAUUCAAAUUAGCAUGCAUUCAAUAAUUAUAAGCAAAAGUACAUCAUCUCUUGGUGUCCGUACAUCGUCGAAUAUUAUCACUAAUACAACUAGAACCGUAGCGCCCGACGGGUAUCGACGCGAGCGGUGGACGCCCAAAGAUAAGGAACCAUCACAGGAUCAUAGCUCCAGUGAGAUCCCUGAAGAACCUGCCAGGUAUUGUCUAAUUUGCCCUCCAAUGCAACCAUGUAGCGACGGACGUGCUCGUCCUCCUCGCUGACACAGUGACGUACCACCUCCGCGGUGUCCGGAUGCCUCACCACCGUCACUGGCCCACGCGACCGCCACCAAACAAGGAUCGGGUCAACAACGGGCUGCCUCCAAACCAACCUACGUCCCCCGGAAGGUAGCACCUCCCAAUACCAGCCCGGCGGAGACCAGUCCCGAACAUGGCCCUGAUCAAGCAAGCCUCCACCGCCGAGUCGACGAUGACGAGGAUGCGGCAUAGGCAUCGCCGACGUUGAUGCGGCAACUACUUCUAUAUAUAGUUAAAUAAAAGUAGUUUUAUUACUUAAAUCAACUAUCUAGUUCAACUACUAAGCACUUACUAUAUAUAAAUAAGUAGUACUUACUAAAAAAACUACUUCUAUAUAUAGUAAAAUAAAUUAGUUUAUUAAAUCAACUAGCUAGUUCAACUAUAUAUAAACUACUUCUUAUUUUUUUCCUUUUUCUAAAUACUACACAUCUAAUCUAAUGAAAAAAAUCUAAUCUAACAAAAAAAAUCUAUGAACUACAUAUCAAAAUUACUACACAUCUAAUCUAACAAAAAAAAUCUAAUUAAUCUAACAAAAAAAUCUAACAUAAUAUAAACAAAUUAAUUACUACACAUCAAAUCUAACAAAAAAAAUCUAAUCUAACAAAAAAAAUCUAUGAACUACAUAUCUAAAUUACUACACACAUCUANNNNNNNNNNNNNNNNNNNNNNNNNNNNNNNNNNNNNNNNNNNNNNNNNNNNNNNNNNNNNNNNNNNNNNNNNNNNNNNNNNNNNNNNNNNNNNNNNNNNNNNNNNNNNNNNNNNNNNNNNNNNNNNNNNNNNNNNNNNNNNNNNNNNNNNNNNNNNNNNNNNNNNNNNNNNNNNNNNNNNNNNNNNNNNNNNNNNNNNNNNNNNNNNNNNNNNNNNNNNNNNNNNNNNNNNNNNNNNNNNNNNNNNNNNNNNNNNNNNNNNNNNNNNNNNNNNNNNNNNNNNNNNNNNNNNNNNNNNNNNNNNNNNNNNNNNNNNNNNNNNNNNNNNNNNNNNNNNNNNNNNNNNNNNNNNNNNNNNNNNNNNNNNNNNNNNNNNNNNNNNNNNNNNNNNNNNNNNNNNNNAUAUAGCAAGAGCAUCGGUCCCGGUUGGUGGCUCCAACCGGGACUAAUGCCUCCUUUAGUCCCGGUUGGUGCCACCAACCGGGACCAAAGGCCUCUUUUCAGCAGCCAAAUGGCGGGAAACGAAGAGCUUUGGUCCUGGUUGGUGGCACCAACCAGGACUAAAGGGGGCGCCUUGGUCCCGGUUGGUGGCACCAACCGGUACCAAAGAGUUGCAUUGGUACCGGUUGGUGCCACCAACCGGUACCAAUGGACCCGUCUAACUACUUUUUUAUUUUCUGCAGCUGUUUUUUUGUCGAUUCUUCCUGCAGCUUUUUUUUUAGUCCCACCUUGCCAAGCGAGAGGCACUCACAGCUGUUUAUAAGCCCUGAGUGCAGAGACGAUGACGAAGAGGCCCCAUGCUCCUGCACGUUGGUUAGCUUCAAGCCUUGAGGAAUUGGGUAGACUGCACAGAGCUAUGUGCAGUGCAGUUGACACUAUUCCGAAAGGCUUGAAGCAAAUUAACAAGCAUUGCGCCUCUUUUUUAUUUUUAAUGACUUAUUACAACUGAGAAACAAAUAGAAAAAAAUAAAUAUAGCUGAAAAGAAAAAAAAAUAGAAAACUACUCAGAAAUGAAUUGAAGCAAAAAAUAGUUGUGAUUAACUGUACUAAAAAAGGAGCAUAAAUGCUUAUUUUUAAUGACUUAUUACAACUCAGGAAUAAAAAGAAAAGAAAAUAGUUGUGAUUAACUUUACUAAAAUAUGAGCAUAGAUNNNNNNNNNNNNNNNNNNNNNNNNNNNNNNNNNNNNNNNNNNNNNNNNNNNNNNNNNNNNNNNNNNNNNNNNNNNNNNNNNNNNNNNNNNNNNNNNNNNNNNNNNNNNNNNNNNNNNNNNNNNNNNNNNNNNNNNNNNNNNNNNNNNNNNNNNNNNNNNNNNNNNNNNNNNNNNNNNNNNNNNNNNNNNNNNNNNNNNNNNNNNNNNNNNNNNNNNNNNNNNNNNNNNNNNNNNNNNNNNNNNNNAACUAUAUAGAAAACUACUCAGAAAUGAAUUGAAGCAAAAAAUAGUUAUGAUUAACUGUACUAAAAAAGGAGCAUAGAUGCUUAUUUUUAAUGACUUAUUACAAAUCAGAAAUAAAAAGAAGAAAAAAUAGUUGUGAUUAACUUUACUAAAAUAUGAGCAUAGAUGCUUAUUUUCAAUGACUUAUUACAAUUCAAAAAUAAAUAGAAGAAAAAAUAGUUAUGAUUAACUUUACUAAAAAAUGAGCAUAGAUGCUUAUUUUUAAUGACUUAUUACAACUCGGAAAUAAAAAGAAAAAAAUAAAUAUAGCAGAAAAGAAAAAAAACUAUAUAAAAAGCUACUCAGAAAUGAGCAUAGAUGCGCUUAUAGAGGAAAUUCAAAUUAAAUUCAUAACAAAUUUCAAGAGAAAUUCGUAUGAAUUUAGCCUAAAUUCCCUAUAUAAGGGCAUCAAUUUUCAUUUUCAGAGGAGCUCCAUAAAGCAGAGAGGGAGGGGCUUAUAAACCGGUCUGAUUCCCCUCCGGUUGGCGAGGUGGGACUAAACUUUGGCCGCCACGAGGACCAACCCUUUAGUCCCGGUUGGUGGAAUGGACCGGGACUAAUGGUCGUCCUUUGGUCCCGGUUCAGGCCACCAAUCGGGACCAAUGCUGGUGGGCCAGGAGCGAGGCACAUUGGUCCCGGUUCGUCCCACCAACCGGGACCAAUAGGUCCAGACGCACCGGGACCAAUGGCCCACGUGGCCCGGCCGGCCCCUGGGGCUCACGAACUGGGUCCAAUGCCCCCAUUGGUCCCGUUUCUGGAUUGAACCGGGACUAAUGGGCUGGACCGGCCUGGACCAUUGGCCCCUUUUCUACUUGUGUAGGCAGAUUGUAUUCCAUGUAAAAGAUCGAAACCUAUGUAAAAGUUAGAAAUGACACUUUCUUUCUAUACAACGCAGUGUUCGUUACCCACACAUGAUGGAAGAGAUCACGUAGAGAAAUACUAUUCACUCAUGUCUACGGUUCCAGUAUUUAGAAACAGGGUGGUCCACCCUAAAAGAAUAUUGACAACAAAUAUGACAAGGCAAGCAUAGAUGUAUUGAAUCAAUCAUUUACUUGUGAGCUUAUUAGGACAAGUAUGCAGAAUUGUAACUUCAGUAAGAGACCGUCCAUAAUCCGAAUGAAGAAGUUUGUCUAGCACUUAUUGUUUGCAACUAAUUGAUGUGAAUAAUUGGAUAUUAUAUCGAAUGAGUAAGAAAGACAAGUAAAAUUGUCAACAAAUCUGGCUUGAAGUAGUAAUCUGGGUCAAUGUCACUACGACCAACAAUCCAAAAUGACUAGUUUCUACUCCGAGGGCCGGAAUUUUGAAAACCCUGUGAACUUUAGAGGUACUAAAGAUUACCAAAAUACAUCUGAACCAUUAAGUGUAGGUAGCACUGAGCACACAACAAACCCUAAUGACAGUCCUCCUAAUGAGUAAUGAAUCAAUUAGAAAAUGGGUGAUGAGGAGUGGCUGCUGAGUGUUGAGGACGUAUCUCAGGAUAAAUCGGGUUGGCUGGUGGGUGCUGCAUGACUGAGCACUGAACAGACUGGGAAGGUAGGCACGGCGGUGCGCCCGGGCAGCGGUGACGCUGUUGGGCGAGUGGCUCCUGGCCUCCUGCUAGUCCGGUGUCUCCUCCUUGAGUCAUGUCGUCCGGGGACGGCAAGUCGCCGGCGAGGCAGGCGGCUGGGGGCGAGUAGAGAUCCGAAGCGCGCAGCAGAACAGAGGGGAAUCGGGGCCUGGGAGGACCCAAAAUCCCAGGGUGGGCCAGCCCACCUUGGGCACCCUAUAGAGAUACACACCUGAGCGUCGAACAUGCAUUUUCGAAACUAAUUUAGGAACAUUUAGCUAAGCAAUUAAACAACUCUGUUUUAACAAUAUCAGAUUCGUAUUUGAACAUCUAAGCUUGUUUGGCUUGAUGGGUGGAGCAGUGUUAUUAUGACACAAAGCACGUAUUCUGAUCGUAUAGUGAUCAUAAAAGGGGGAAACUCUAAGCAUAUUUUUUUUAGCAAAAGAGGGUUUCCCCUCCGAUUUCUAUUAAAGAAACCACCACGGAACCAACAUGAUCAAUUAAACCCUAAGCAUGAUCAAUUAAACCGUAUUAUGGUUGUGCCAUGGCAGAUUUGUAGCUGCAAACCAGAGAAAUGAUAUUUAGCAUCCAUUGUUUUCUUCGAACUAAGAACUAAAUUCUAAGAGCUGAAAAGAAAGUAGAGUAACCAAGUUAAGAUCUAUUUUCUGGUUGAUAUCAAAAAGUUGAGGAGAUAUGAAGUACCACCUCUCUUGCGGCGCCGUGUAGGCAUCGGGGGUGCUUUGGCUGUCAGUGGCAUUGAAGCAGAUCUGCGACGGUAGAUGGGUGCAUCGGGGGAUAAGUUCCGUUGCGGUGGAAGAGAAGGUCGUGUGAGCGGCCCCGGCAAAGAGGACGACGGCGCCAAUGAAGCAAGAGGACGCGAUGCAAGGCUAUUGGUCCGUCGCCGUGGAUGAGAAACGUCCAUCUCUAGCAGUGGACGACACGGUCUUGGUAGGCGCUCCGGCAUGGUGGAGGACGGUGGCGAUGGAUGUGGUGGAGGACGACGGCGAUGGAUGGGGUGGCGGACGGAGGCUGGUUUGGGUAUGGGGUGUUCUAGCGUGGACGGUGUAUGAAUGGGAAAAUGGAGGGAGAGGUACGGGGAACCAUGUUUUUGGGACGCGCCUGUCUGAAAUAUGGGAAAGUUACGAACUUAGCCCCCAUUUAAAAUUUGGCCGUCUCGUCGGUUGGGGAUAGGACGGUAAUCUCGCAUCUCGCCAAUAUUUGCCUAGAGCGAUUUUGGGCGAGGAGAGGGUGGUUGGCGCCCAUGGUUGGCUCCCACGGUGUAUGAAUGGGGCUGAUAGGUAGGACAGUUGUGUCACGUCUGAGUGAAGUUACAAACCUGCCCCUAUUGAAAAUAUUUGCCUACAUCGAUUUUGGCCGAGUCGAGUUUGUUUUGCCGCCCACCGUGUAUGAAUGGGGAAUGGAGGGAUAAACAGAGGUCUUUCGGACGAGCUUGAAUCAAAUGUGUUUUGCCGCCCAUGUUUGACGCCCACCGUGUCGGAAUGAGCUCAAAGGCGGUCGUGUCACGUCUAAUUGAAGUUACUAACCUACCCCUAUUUAGAGCAGUGGAAAUCGGGCCGAUGGAUUGUCCGUGUAAUGGGUAGACAGUAAUUUCCAUCUCCCAAACACUUGGCUUCGGGCAGCUAACGUGGGAGUGGACAUUUUGCUGCUUCUUUCGAAUUUUGGGACAAUAAGCAUCCACGUUUACCCUGGCAACUAAAUUCGAAUCCACUUUGUAUUCCUAUAUGAAUCUUUAUAAAUCAUUCUAUGUGUUUCUAUAUAUCUUCAAAAGGACGACAACGAUGUAUUCCACUGUCAUAUAUGAAUAUGGUUUACAAAUGCCGAUACUCAAAUUCAGAAACUAGAAUCCAGUUUAAGGUGAAUUCGAAUAUUUGGAACACUUCAUGUCCAACUCAAAUGUCACACGCAGCAUAAUGUGUACUCCCAUUUAGAUGUGUACACAAGCGAUGUAUCAAGAUUCAAAUACCAAGUCAAUCAACCAAGAAUGUAUAGAACUAACAGACAUAUAGACACUUAUAGAGUAUAUGGAUCAAUAAUAUCAACUAACAUACAUAAGCCAGGCCGCUGUACUUUUUUUUGGCAACAACAACAUCAUUUUUUUAGCCAGCAUCUUGGCCCUUUCCGAUGCGUGCCACUUAUGGUCCAUCUAUAGUACUACUAUUGUUGAAUGCACAUUCAGCCCGAUUGGCAUAUUUGUAGGUCUAGCACAGCAAUCCAAAUGAAAUGUCUCCGAGUCUUAUCAAUUAAUACAGACUUGUGCUCAAAUAAAAUUACAAACCAAAAAACAAAAAAAACAAUUAUUACAUGAUCUCUAAAACAAAUGGAUUGAUUGAUUACAUGAACAGACAACACAAAGGUUAUUCAACUAUGGAAAGAACAUUUCACCUAUGAUUUACCAAGUAGGAAUUUAAUUUCCUUUUUUCCUUCAGGACCUUAACAAUCUGGUCAGUCUCAGCUUGCUUCGUUUUGAAAUCCACCAAAUAUUUAAUGGUUGUCUUGAGUACUGCUUGUGAUUGUGAUGUUUGCUUCCUCAACAUGUCAACUUCAUCUCUAAGUACAGAAGCAGAAUCUCUUUCUACCACUAGUUUAGCCUCUAGAGCAUCAGCAGUUGGCAAUUCAUAAUGCACGAUUGGGCCGGUGCCACUGCUGUGGGAUGAUGCAACGUCCAUGGGGACCUCGCUCUUUGAUCUUGGGCUAACCUGUUUUGUCAUUAAAGUUCCGAUUGGAUUCAGAAAAGUUGAAGUUAGCAGAACAUCUCAACUGGGAGUUAUAACAGCAAACUAGUUAAACAAAUAAGGAAUUAAAGAGUUUCAAUUGGAUGCUGAAAAGUACAGUAGUUAUUAACAUCAUUGUAACCCGCUGUUGCAGCAGCAAAGCAGUUAAACAAACAAGUAGAUAUUUAAGUUAAGGCAAACAGGUAAUUCUUAACAGUAAGUAUCAAACACAUAGAUAGGCGCAGUCUACAAUAUGAUAAACAGGCUGUGCCAUUAUGUAAUCAGUAGCAAACUAAAUUAAGCUAAGCAACAUAAUUGAACAAUUUUGCAAUAAGUGGCUAACUAAAAUUCCGAGAAGUAGGUAACUGAACUUACACUAGUUCUUUGUACAUGCACACUGCAACUUCUUUUUUGCUUACAAGGUUGUACAAAGGAGUCCAUGGCAUCAAUUGCUUGGAUACGCAGUCCCAGUACUUCUUUCUUCCCAUACUGCAUGGGUAAGUCGAAUGGUUAAUCUAUUAAGAUGGUGCGUCCUUGAUAUGUUAUAUGAGGACGUGUAGUCAGACUAGUUGUAGCCAAACACAUCACACUGGCUUUUACUGUAUAUUUCAUGCGAUUACUUUUGGCAUAUCGAGAUCUAAGCAAUCUACAAUAGGAUGAAAAGACUGGCAUCCUUCACAUUAUUGGUGAACUCAGUUUAUAGAAACAAGCAAUUCAACCAUUCUGUGGGUAAAUCAAAAGCGCCAUUGGAAUAUUUUUCACUAUCCAAUAAUACACGCAAAAAGGGGCGACGCCACCAUAGGGGCUGGUAUGGGCGGCCUCCUCAGGUGGCUGGAAAGUGUGCACCUAGUUUGAGUCGUCCAGGUUGGCCCACGCUAGUUUUGUUUGUCCCAAGGCACGAGCAGACAAUGUAAAAAAUGAAGAAAAAUGUUUCAGUUUGUAUGGGCCAAUAACAUAAGUGCAAGGCAGACCCUAUAGCAGGCUCGUGGCCCAUACGAGUGCCUCCCAUAUUGAUUGACAGCAGGAAAAAUCCUAAUUCAUUCGCUCCAGCCUCCAGUCUAGUUCGCUCCUAACCUAGCCGCUGCUGGACAGACCGACACAGCACUUCCUCGCGCCCUCGUUGGAGGGUGGUCGCCGGGCUUCAAGCGAACGGAAGGACAAGAAGAUGAAUAUCCAACCCUGGGUGUAGCCUGCAUGGGAGGCAGCGGCGGCAGCACGGGCAUGGCAUCGAGCUUGUGAAAACGGAUAGUCGCAGCUUGCAAGAGUAGCAUGUGCAUCGAGCAGGUACAUCACAUCCCUGAUUAUAUCUAAUUUAACUCUUCAAUUUUUGGCCAAUAGUUAAACCUGACGGUGUUGUAAAACUGCUUGUAUGUAGGGAAUCUAUGAGAAAAUGAAACCAAUUUCUAUUUAUUUUAUAAAUCCCCCAAUCAAUACUGAACUGACUGAAUCUGAUGUAUCUAAUCAAGUUUUCGGUGCAAACAUACAAGCUCAUGUUGUUCUUGAGCCUGAAGUGUCUAAUGAACAGACUGCUAAUGAAGGAUUUGAUGCAAACAUUUUACAUGCUCCUGGUGAUGAACAUAUAGUGUCUAAUGAGGGAUCUAAUGCAAGCAUUUUGCAAGCUCAUUGAACGAUUUAGUGUCUAAUGAUGAUCUACUAUGUUGAGAGAGACAGAGAUUUGCAGGCAUUGAUGACAAGCAAAUUAUAGUGCAUUUUCAUAGCUUGAGGAAACGUCGAGGCCAUCUACCAGAAAGUCCCCGUAUCAUGACAACAUAGCAUAAAUACUUUUCUAAUAUGUUGUUUGAAACUAAUGGCAUACUUGUGCAGGAUAGAUAUAUUGAUGCGUAGUUUGUGCACUGGUUAUAUGUGCAAUUACACUUCGAUAUUUUUAGCCAUAGAACGAAUAAUUCAAGCAGGUACAGACCAUGUUUGUAGUCCUUGUACACCAUGUUGCAUUUUGUGUUUUUUGGUGCUUGCAUCAUUUAGUGUUUAUAAUCUGAACUACUUUGGAUCAUUAGCUGGUCUUCAAAGUGCAUGUAGCUUCACAUUUCUCAAGUUAUGUUGAUUUCUGGAUUGCAAGUGCCUUCGUAUUUUUUAAGUUAAAUGUUCGCCCCUGGUAACUUGAAUUCGUGGAUCAGCCAGUGCACACAAAUCAUACACGAAUGCCAGUACGAAUUAAAUGAAAUGCAGGGACUUACGCUAGCUUGUUGUACAGGUUCACUGCAGCUCUGCUUCCGCUUGGGAUGUUCCAUGUACAAGUCCUUGUUACCACUUUCUUGAAUGUGCAGGCCUUGUACUCCUUGCAUCCCCCUCUGCAUUUUGACACGGUGAAUGGUUGAACAAAUAAGAGGAAUCGACCUUGAUGUUGUACCGGAGGACAGAUACUUGCAAGGUUAUACGGGUGUGCAGGAUGUGUACCAGAUCCCGUAGCGCCGUCAUGCUUCGCUAAAAAUGGAUUUGCUUGUUUCAGAUGAUAUCUCCAGAAGAAAUAAGAGUUAAAGUCAGAGUUGCAUUGGCGUGUAAGCUAAGAGAGCAGUGAAAGGAUAUUCAAACAUCGUUGGAACAGUGCACAAGGGAGUGAUGUGUGGAUACCUAGUUCGGGCCGGCGUUUGGGCAUGCUCGCCUAGCUAGAGUGCGGGUCACUUCAGAGCCGUUGAGGGUGAUGCGGUGGCGUUGGCUGGCCGCGCACGGAUGCAGAUCUUGAGUGGCAGCGGAGCGCUACGAUGCGGUGGACGAGACCGUUGGUGAAGCCCCAACGGCCUCGAGGGGCGGAGGUGCGACGAUGUGCUCGGUGAAGUAGCCCCGGUGAACUGGGAGACGGCAUCGGUGAAGCGCACCUGAUGCGGUGGAACUCGGUGUCUGUGAGGCACGUCGGUUGGGGCGGCCGACAUUUUCGGUGGACCAUCUAGUGCGGUGGAUGAGGGCGUAGAUGAGGUAGCUCCGGUGCGGUGGUGAAGCGCGACCUCGUCUUCGUCAUCGUCGUCCGGCAAAGAGGUGGGGAACGGUGGGGAAAGAGACGAGACAAGGGGUGAUUCGAGGGAUGGCGGCAAAUUAGGGAUUUGAGCAAUCUGGGCGCGGAAGGGGACAGUGGAGAAGAGAGAUUUUGCAGGGCUGGAAAUGGGGCCGCCAGAUAUUUCAAUCCGAAACAUGGAAGCGGGAACUUAUAUUGUCGUCUUCCUUUUUUUGGGGGGGAGGGGUGGGUAGCUGGGUGCUACGCGCCCGUCCGACACACGCGACCACCCCGACAGGACUAUGCUUCGGUGCCUUAAGGCACCUGCCUUUGUGUCCAUGACAAGUGGGCCCAACAGGUGGCUGGCCCACAUGUCAGUCACCCAAGGGCAGUUGCCUUUAAGGCACCGAAGCAGCAUCCACCUAGACACGACCCUGGUCUGCCUGGUGCGCCUACAUUUUAGAAUGCAAAUGAAACUAAUCUUCUUUCAUUUGCAAAAGAAUCUGUAUGUAUUACCAUGCCCGUGUUUUCCUUGCAAUAAUUAGUCAUUCAAAACGAGAUACUCCAUCCGUUCACUUUUGUAAGUCGUUUCAGACAACUUAAAAUGAACUGUUUUGCACAUUGUCUGAAAUGUCUUCAAGUUCUUAUAAAAGUGAACAGAGGGAGUACUAUAAAUUAAUUAAUGAGGAGUUAUUUGAAAAAAAAAUCGAAAUGGUACCCACGCUAACGUGGAUUAGAGUGUGUCACAUAAUUAGUUAUUUGAAUUAGAGUGUGUCUCACGUAGUUAGUUAUUUGAAUUAGAGUGUGUGUCACGUAGCGAUCUCCAAUUCUAACGUGGAUUUUGCAUUUCACUGUAUCCACGCUACUUUUUUAAUACAAAUUCAUAUGUAUAUGAUGAACACCAUGGUAGUGAGAAAACUUUUGGAUGGAUUCAAACAUAUGACCUACAAAAUAGCACAACAAAUUGAGUCAAUGUCAACUUUUUGAAACUUAGUAUGGCACGAAUUCGAAAUAAUUACCCUCAUGUCUGGUCCUCGGUUCAAAUCUUACAAUGUACACCGAAUUGAAACAUCGAUAUUAAGUCUCGUACUAUGUACAUNNNNNNNNNNNNNNNNNNNNNNNNNNNNNNNNNNNNNNNNNNNNNNNNNNNNNNNNNNNNNNNNNNNNNNNNNNNNNNNNNNNNNNNNNNNNNNNNNNNNNNNNNNNNNNNNNNNNNNNNNNNNNNNNNNNNNNNNNNNNNNNNNNNNNNNNNNNNNNNNNNNNNNNNNNNNNNNNNNNNNNNNNNNNNNNNNNNNNNNNNNNNNNNNNNNNNNNNNNNNNNNNNNNNNNNNNNNNNNNNNNNNNNNNNNNNNNNNNNNNNNNNNNNNNNNNNNNNNNNCUAACCACCUUAGCAAGCUAUCGGUUUCCAACACAGGUUCAUUCUUUCUCUUCAUGUUUCGAUCUCUAAGUCUCUCAACUACACAACCCCUUUUUCCACUCCUGUUACCGAAUGUAUUUACCUCACACACCCGCCAUUGCACCCCAUGCCGAGCUCUCUCUCUCUCUCCCCACCUCUCCCUCUCACACUCUCGUGCUAAAUACAUGCAUUGCCUAUCUAGCCCCCCAACCUCUCGUGCGCACGCACGCACGUUGUAUAGCUAGGUCACUCCCUCGAGACUGUCUCACUCUUUCUUCGGUGCGGCAGGCCACACUGGCUCAAUCUCGCUCUCUUUAUCUGAGUCUCGUUUAACCUCGUUUUCUUUCACACACAAAUGAUAUAUCUCCUUGUUCGGGCCUCGAUCGACACACUUAUACUCUCUCACGCAGAUUGUCUAUCUAGGUCAGUCCAUCCAAGCCGCCGCCACUCUUUCGACCUCAUGGUGGGCCACGCUCUCUCUCUCUCUCUCUCUCUCUCUCUCUCUCUUUCUCUCUCUCUCCCUCUCCAUCCCUCGCAAAGCCGGAGCUAUUUACAUUGCGAGGGCCACUCCAACCUUGGAUUAAUUUGUGUAGGCAUUUAUUCCGGUCGGUUUAGAUUAUAUUUUCGUAGCAUUUGGCCCACAACUACUCCAAACACCGUUGCAACCCACGCAACUCCCCUAGUUGAUUUCCCUCUGGCUCGGUCAUCGCUCUCUCGCACGUCCUUUCUCGCCUUCAAUGUCGCACCAUGGUAUUAUUGAAAAAACUAUGUUGUUCUCUUUAGUUAUUAUAAAUAAGCUACAAAACUACACACCGAUAUUCCACUUGGAAUGGAACAAAUUUCGACCCACAAAUUAAAGUGCUACAAACUACACAUCGAGGGGCCCACAUGUCGUGAAACAAAUUUGGACCCAUAUACAAAUUAAACAAUAAAGGACGAGGAUCGGACAUGCGACCGGGCCUUCAAGGCGCACGUCAAUAGGCAACAUACGUAGAAUAGCAAUGUUUGUUGUACCCCCUUUGUUUACAUAAUGUUUUUAUAUUACCACAGCCUAAUUAAUGGAUAACAUGUAAUAUUAUUUUUAGUACUAUCCGCCUUCACUUACUGGUGGGUUCCAUGUGUGCUCUCUCUCUCCUCCCCUUCUGCGUUUAUACGCACGGGCAAACAGGAGGAACUCGCGGGCGAUGUUGCCGUUGAACAUAUUUGGACGCGUUCACAAGUCACGGCACCAGUUUCACGUACUAGCAGCACUAGUCAGUGUGUAUGUGCAAUGCACGUUAAUUUGGAAGUAUAUUAAGUGCGUGCGGAUAUUAACUACUAGGAUGUUAUUUGCGUGUUGUCAUGUGAUUAGCACUAUUUUUGCCAUGAAAUUAACUGCACGCUAAACGUGUUGAGCGCUCGACAUUGAAGCAGUCUAGGUCGUUGGAAGAUAAGGAAUACAUGUGGCUUGAUGACAUUUUAUAUUUAAUUUGAUACGGCUCUAGCAGAACAUUCAAUCGAUCAAACCAUACAUUUCGUUCAGUAUGACUCCGACUUUAAAUUAUACGAUGAUCGAUGUAAAAUAAACGGAAAUGAUAAACAUUCGGAUUUUAAGCAUGGCAAUCCGAACGUUUUUCAUGGCAAAUUUAGAUUACGCGGCGGCGGCGGGGGCGUCUCGCGGUGGGAAGCGGCUCCUCUACCAUGCUCUGUGUGUCGUCGGGCCCCUGAUCGACGGCGACGGCGGUGUCUUGCGCCGUUGUUGGCGUACUCAUGGACAUUGGCCUAGCUUCAAGGAAGGCCAAAAUGUUCUGGACUUCGGAGCAAGUUAACUGGCGGGAGGAGGCGACUGGCGUUGGUGCAAGGAAGCGGUCGACAACGGCCAUUCAUGCCGCUGAUGGGGGCACUGGCACCCGCGCGGGGACGGGCGCUGUCAAUGGCGCGGCGGAGACAUUCGUGUGCAUGGGCACCGGCAUGGGCGCACACGUCAGUGCAUGCGCAGGCGCAUGCACUGGCAGGUGCACGGGCACCGGCACGGGCGUGCGCGUCAGUGCACACGCAGGCGUGCACUGACGCUGGCAGGUGCACAGGCGCGUGAAAGUCGGCGAGGACCUCGUGGAACCCGUGGCAUCAAGCUCGGCAACAAUGUGCGGCUGCCAGCCCAUCAAUGCCACGGGGAUGGGCGCUGGCGCAUUCGGGGCGACGGGAGCCGGAACGGGAGCGGGGACAGGCGCGGCGUCUUCCCGCAAGGCCAGUUCAAGCUCGUCCCAAAGUGCCUUAUGUUCUUGAGACUCCGGCUGGGUGUCUUCCUCAUGAAACUGGAACACUAAGGGCAGACCAUCGUGAUGCGGCACGGCGUACGUUUAGGUCAGGCUAGUUGGAGGGACGACAGGAGAAUCGGAGAGGAAGAGAGAGGAUUGUAGUGCGGGGUUGAUUUUAAACUGCGGCGUUGGCGACAUUAAAACUGGGAGCAGUUGGGACGACGAUGGGCGGCGGAGCCUGGUCAAAGGGCUCGCCUCCCAGUGAGUCUGCAUAGUGGUCUUCUCGCAUGCCUCCCUGACAGCCAGUGCAGCGGUCUGCUCACACGCCUCCCAUCAACUCACACGCUUGCUGGGACGGUACCUGUCGAUGAGAAGCGGGGACUCGUGGCGGCACGUAAACGCCCACGGUUUCAAUAGUGAAAGCGUUCGACUUAACAUGACAGGUCUUUGUUCCAAAAUAUCUUGGCUCUUCAUUUGUGCAACUUGUCAUAAGAAGCUUUUCUCGAAUUGAAGAAAAAACUUGCGAAGUAAUAUUUGUGCCAUAUCACGUGACUAUGCUCCGUUUCAAGAAUUUAUGCUCACUUUUGGAUUUUCUGAAAUUUCAGAUCCAGGAUUCGAAACAAUAUCUUAACCUGCAUCAUGCAAUAAAUUUUCAAGCCGUACAUCUAUCCUGUUGUAUUUUUUAAGUAUGGAUUUGGUCAAACAUUUUGCUUAGUUAAACCUCCUUUCCGGUUUAUAGGGCUCAAUUCAAAAUUCUCACCAACCAAGGUAGAUGGUGAGUUGUGGAACAAUUAUUGUAGUUUGCAAAACCACUCAAUUAAUGCGCUUGUUUUCCUCAAAAAUUGUGUUUACGAAUGCAUUAAUUGCAAUGCAUGCAUGCAUAAAGUACAUUGGUCAAUUUUCUCUUAAUUCUUGCAUGUAAGGAUUUAUUGCACCUUGAAAUAUGAACAUGUGAUGGGGAACAACCAAAUUGAGACUUAUAAAAUUGGAAAACUAAAAUUUUGAGAUAAGCCCUAUAAACCGUAAAAGGAUAAUCCCUGUGUAAUAGUGCAUUGCCUGAUAUAUUAACUCAAGUACUAGGCACGAACAAACGGGCUCAAUUCUGUGCUCAUCCUGGUGUAGUAGUAGUAGUACUAGGCAAUGCAGUUGACGGGUGACAUUGACGAGCGGCGACCGAGGGAAUUGAACUGUGCUCGGCACGCUAGGUAACGUUGUCUAGUUACUAAAGCAUCCCUCCAUUGUUCAUCGGUAGUCAGUAUGGACCGGGGACAUGAGGGGGAUUUCCUAGGGCUGGAAUUCUGGCCGCCAGAUAUUUCAACUUGAAACGCUGAGGCUCGACUGGUUGGGGUUGCCUAAUGUGUGUACCACGCACGCCACCGAAGGACACGAGCCUGUUUUUUUAGGAUCAACACGAGCCAAGGUCUGGCUGGUA